UCAAGAUACAACGUCUUAUCCGUUGAUUUUAGGACAACCUUAUAUUAUAGCAACACGAAUGGAAACAAAAGUACUUGACGAUGGUUUUGCUUAUGCAAGGGUAUAUAGCGAAGAUGGGAGGAAAGCUGUACAAUUUCUAACAGUACCUCUUAACCAUGAACGAAAUCGAGAUAGGUUGAGGGAGAAACCAUUGCCAAAGAUUGUUAAAGGAUUUAAGGAUUUUGGAGAGGUACCACUAUAAAGCGAGGUUAUAGAGGUACAAAAGAGGAGGUACUCUUACGACAUGAAGGUGCCUUUGAUGCGAAUUUUAUUGGUAUUUUUGAGAAUAGAAAUAUUAUGUAUAAAAAAGUUGAUGAUUUUAAAAGAAGAAAAAGAAAAAGAUUAUAUAAUAUUAAAGAAAAAUUACGCAAAUUAGGUACGCAGCAAGAAGAUGAAAUUGAUUUGGAUAAUGAAGAUGACAAAGACGAACUGGACAAAGACAUAGAAAAUAUAUUUUAAAUCAAACAGCAAUUGGGUAAAUUGGUGCAUACCGGAGGAUGCACAGGUUCAGAGGGGGUGGAUGUCGUGAUGUAACAUGACUGUACUGUGAAAAUAUAGAGAAAGAAAACUUUUAUUAAUGUUCAAUUACCUCGAAUAUUGGGAGCAAUGAUCGAUUGCAGUGCCAAUAUUCAAGGGCCAGUUUAGACACCCCGUCACAGUUGGUCAGGGCACAUUUACCAGUAACGAAAUGCUCUGUUCGAGUCCAAUAGUGGAAGUCAACAGAAUUGAAAGGACUAAAUCGAUGACUGAGUGAGCUUGACACGAAGGACCAAUUUGACCCAAUUAUGAGAACAUUCAGGUCUUAUUACGGGCCUCUUAGCCAAUCUGACGCGAAGGACCAAUUUGACCCAAUUAGGGGAACAUCCAGGUCUUACUACGGGCCUCUUAGCGAAUAUGAGACUUGAAUUACUCGGACGACUCAAUGUGGUCCCGAUUACGGGGGUUUCGAUUCCGUUUCAAGCUGUCCUGUUCUUUGUACUGUUUCAGGGAACGUUGUUUCCAGAAAAAGAACCUUUUAAAAGGCAAAAAAUGGAGGAAAAAGCUCUGACAGCGGAGCCAAUUCCGGAUCCAAGAUAGAAGAUUGAAGAAAUUCAAAGGUUAGGGUUUGAAAGAGGGAAGAAUUAGGAUUAAAGGGGAGGAUGGAUUAAGAAAUAAAGAGGGGAAAAUAAGGGUUUGAAGGGUGGAAGAGCUAGCUUCAUGCUUCGGGAGGGAGAAAAAAGACAGAGAAUUGGAUUUUUUUUUUUCAUAGGGUUUUGGGAAGACUGAGGCAAUCGUUGCUGAAAUCAGUGUUGUAUUGGUGAAUCGGGGUUUUAAUGAAGUGGGUGUGAUUAUUCUUGACUGUUUUGUGAAAUCGAAGUUACGUCUGUGAUUGAAGGAUUAAAAGGGUGUCUAUAGGAUUGAGUAUGGGGAGUGAAUGAAAAUUUUUGGAUUAAUCUAACAAGACAGUCAGUGGAUACAAAAUCGUGAGUAUAAAGCGGUAUCAAAGAUUAGUAGUUUCGGUUGUUUGGGAUUCUCUGUAAUGUCUAGAGACCUAUCGGCUAGGGCAAAAAGGAUUUUGGCGAGCAGUUAAAGGACAUCCGUAUAGAUUUAUGGUAUAUUCUUACAGUCAUUUAUAUUCCAACAGUCAAAAAUCGAUAGACUGCUUGAAUAUUAGCGAAUCUCUAUACUACCUUCUAUAGCAACACGCCCGACACGUUCUUGAGUAGGAAAGCACGUAAUACGACACCGCUCAAUCUGCCUUUUGUUUUACAAUCCCUUUGCUUAUUGGCCCUCAGAAACUGAGAACCUUAGCAUUAUUAGAUUCAGGAGUAUCUGCUUGUUUCUUAGACGAAGAAUUUGCAAAGCAUCAUAAGAUCCCUUUAGUACAAAAAUCCAAACCUAUUCACGUUGAGGUCAUAGAUGGAUGACCUUUAUUGUUUGGUAGUGUCACCCAUGAAUCAAAACCUAUAGAAGUGACGUUUAAGGGCCAUAGUAGUCAUAUUAUUUUCAAUAUUAUUAGAACCCCAUCAAAUCUUGUUAUUCUUGGUCUUUUCUGGUUAGAUAAGCAUAACCCAUCCAUAGAUUGGAGGUUGCAAAAGAUGACCUUUUCCACAAAACUAUCCAAGAGCAAGCCUAGUAGAAGACCCCAAAUAAAAAAACCUUUAUUCAUUGGAGCAAGAGCAUUUGUAAGAUCGUCCAAGGAAGGCACACCAUUUAUCAUUUAUGCGGCUCCAACUAUUGAGGAAAAGAUCUCGACAGCAAAUAUACCGGAGCAAUACAAGGAUUUUGAAGAUGUGUUUUAAAAGAAGAAUGUUGACAUGCUACCAGAACAUCGACCAUAUGAUUGUGCCAUAGACUUGCAAGAAGGAGCACAACCACCUUUUGGCCCAAUCUACAAUUUAUCGCAAAUAGAAUUGACGGAGUUGCAGAAGUAUAUUGACGAGAAUCUAGCCAAGAACUUCAUUCGUCAUUCAAAAUCGCCAGUUGGGGCACCCAUCUUAUUUUUAAAGAGGAAAGAUAGCUCAUUACGGAUGUGUGUGGACUAUCGAGGCGUCAACAAGGUAACAAAGAAGAACCGUUACCCAUUACUUUUGAUUUCUGGUCUCUUAGAACAACUUGGACAUACGAGGAUCUUUACAAAAAUUGAUCUAAGGGGAGCUUACAACCUCGUACGAAUCAAUGAAGGAGAUGAGUGGAAGACAGCGUUCCGUACAAGGUAUGGCCAUUUUGAGUAUAAUGUCAUGCCUUUUGGUCUUAUCAAUGCUCCAGCGGUCUUUCAACAUAUGAUGAAUGACAUCUUUCGGGAGCACCUUGAUGAUUUUGUUGUCAUCUAUUUGGAUGAUAUUUUGAUAUUCUCCAAAAACGAGGAAGAGCAUGAGAAGCAUGUUCAUCUGGUUUUGGAGAAACUACGUGAGCAAGGAUUGUACGCCAAGUUAGAGAAGUGUUUAUUUUAUCAAACAGAGAUGGAUUUUUUGGCGUUUGUUGUGACCACAGAAGGCUUAAAGAUAGAUCGCAAGAAGGUGGAAGCAAUCGUGUCUUGGGAAGUUCCAAAGAUAGUUAGAGAUAUACAAUGUUUUCUUGGUUUUGUUAACUUCUAUCGGAUCUUCAUCAAGAAUUACUCUCAAGUUGCUGCUCCUCUCACUCGGUUGACAUGCAAGGAUAAGCUAGAAUGGGGACCUCCAGCGGAAAAGGCGUUUCAAGAUCUGAAGACAGCAUUUACUACGGCUCCAAUCUUGGUACAUACAGACUUUACAAAGGCCUUUUAUUUGGAAACUGAUGCUUUGGACUUUGCUUUGGGAGUUGUACUUUCACAAAUGGAUGAAGACAAGAAGCUCCAUCCGGUUGCAUUCUAUUCUCGAAAGUUCUCAGCUGUUGAAAUCAAUUAUGAGAUCCACGAUAAAGAACUUCUUGCUAUAGUGGAUUCUUUCCAAGAAUGGCGUCACUUUCUUGAAGGAACUGCACAUCCAGUGACUGUAUAUACGGAUCACAAGAAUUUGGAGUAUUUCAUGUCAGCUUGAGUUCUAAAUUAACGUCAAGCUUGGUGGAAUAUGUCGCUAUCUAAGUUCGAUUAUGUUAUCACUUAUCGACCUGGAAAGUAGCAAGGACUAUCUGAUGCCUUAUCGAGGAGAUCGUAUCUUGCACCAAAGGUUGGAGAAGUAGUGUUUGAUCAACAAUAUACGACGUUGUCGUGCUGUAAAUGCUUACAGUAUGUAAAAAUUAGUUAAAACAUAUUACAUGUUGAUAAAUCUAGAUGUGUGUUAGAAUGGCUAGUAGAUUAAAUUAAAAAGAGUUGGUGUAAGAAACUUUACUUUGUUUCUUUAUUUCUUUUGAUUUUGAUAUUAUAUAUAUAUAUAUAUAUAUAUAUGACCUAAAUGUUUAGUAUGAAGCUUUGGGAGAAGGUAGAAGCCUAAAGUUGAAGAUUUAAAGUAAUAGGAGGUUAAUUGGGAGGGAUGAAACUAAGGCAUGGUUGGAUGAAGGUAGAAAUAAGGAUCUUCAUCUCCAUUGGUCGAAAUCCAUGCCCAAUGGACUUUUAGGAGGGUGCCUGCGACCUUGAUAAGGGUUUUGGAGACUUCAAAGUGCCAUUAGGAAAUCAGAGGCAAGUAUUGUAGAUUUUAGGAUUUUGGCUACAAUUUUUGUGCAAAUUUUAUAGAGUUUGGAGUUAGGGUGAAUAAGUUAUAGCCGUUUGAAGUUAAGGUGUCAAUUUGAGACCUAUUGUUACUCUUUUGAGUUUAAGAGGAGUCUUACUAAUGCUUUUGAAGAUCGGAAGGUGCGGCUCAAAGGGCAACUUCAAGACAUACAUCUUUUGUGAAGGAAAUUUUGCAUUUGGAGUUUAUGUGAAGGAGUUAUAGGGAGUUAAAGACAGCACAUUCAAAUCAAAGGCAGUAGGUGAGCGGUUUUGUUCAAAGUAGUGUUAGGAGCCAUAACUUGAGUUUUCGAAUGAAAUUUUGGCUCAAACUCUGGGUGAAUGUAAAACUUUGUGUUGAAAAGCUAUCUAUACAAGUUUCGUGGCAUUUGAACUUAUGGUUUGUGAGUUAUAAAGAAAAAUGCGCGUGGGUAUAUAAAGAUUAGGGUUUGAAGCGACUGUUAGGGUUUUGAAGAUAUCUCAAGAUCCGCGACGAAUUUGCGGUUGAAGUUUGUUAUAAAAAUUAAUAAUAACAUAUCAGUACUUCAUGUGAAUUUUGAUCUUGUUUGGACGGUUGGAUCAAGAGGUAUGUGGUAUUGAGAUUCGGGAGAAUUUCCACACAAGGAUAUACAAGGUUUUAGAGUACUUCUACCAUAUUUUGGGUGUUGUUGGUUAUUUAAGACUUAAGUAUUUGGUGUAAUUUUCCCAAAACGAGAACUUAUAUAUAUAAAAUUAAGGUUCUUUAUUUUAAGCUUGAUUGAGCAAUUAGUGACAGCCAGAAGCCCAACGCUUUCUUGAGGCAAAACUUCUCUACCCGGACAAUGUUGUUGAAGCCAAAGCAAUUUCGGCUUUGCACUACUAUUGUGCCAAUUGAUGCUGACUUCCUGAACCAGGUACGUGCCGUGACCAUUGAAGAUUCAGUAGCCAUUGAUAUCAAGCAGCGUGCCAAUGACGACAAGUUCAAGGUGGAAGGAGAUCUUUUAUACUUUGAAGAGCGAUUAUAUAUUCCAAAAGGACCAGCACGACUCCGAGUUCUUCAAUCUUACCACGAUUUUCUAGUUGCGGGACAUUUUGGAUUCAACAAGACCUUGGAGCUUAUUUCUUAAGAUUUUUGGUGGCCUCAAAUGUAGAAGGAUGUGAAAGAUUUUGUCCUCUCCUACGACAUCUGUUUAAGAUCCAAGAAUCCUCGACAUCGUCCUUAUAGACUUCUACAGCCAUUGCCAAUUCCACGUCGACCAUGGUCUUCAGUUUCCAUGGACUUCAUCACGGACCUGCCAUCAUCGAACUCAUUUGAUAGCAUCUUUGUUGUGGUAGAUCGGCUUACGAAGAUGGCGCACUUUGUCCCUUGCAAGAAGACAUCAUCUAGUGAAGUCACAAUAAGGCUCUUUCUUGAUAAUGUGUAUCGAUAUCAUAGACUACUAGAUGAUAUCAUAUCAGAUCGAGGAACCCAGUUCGUAUCAAAGUUUUGGAGAUCUCUCUUUGAGAUAUUGAAAGUGGAUAUCAAGCUUUCUUUGACUUUUCAGCUUCAAACUGACGGCCAAACGUAAUGCGUGAACCAAGUCUUGGAGCAGUACUUACGAUGUAGCAUCAACUAUCAGCAAGAUGAUUGGACCGCAUAUUUGCUGCUAGUCGAGUUUGCAUAUAACAAUAGCCUUCACGCAUCGACUCAAUACACACCAUUCUUUUUCAACUAUGGAUAUCAUCCGAAGCUUGAUUUAUUGAGUCCGUCAACAAAUAACAAUCCAGUAGCUGAAGGAUUUGCGAAGCAACUAUCACAGCUUCAAACUACGUUGAAGCUUCAAUUACAAUCCGCUCAAGAAUCCUACAAGGCGUCUGCAGAUAGAUUUCGGAAUCAAGCACCUACUUUCAAAGUUGGAGAUAAAGCUUGACUUCUUCAACGAGAUAUCAAAACCAAGCGACCAUGUGAUAAGUUGGACUAUCGAAGAAUCGGAUCAUUUAUCAUUCAGAAGCAAAUCAAUCCAGUGGCGUACCGUCUGGAGUUACCGGCUUCUAUGAAGGUACAUCCAGUCUUUCAUGUUUCUCUAUUGGAACCUUAUCGAGAGUCGUCUUUUCCUAGAAGAGUGCAAUGUUCGCCACUUAGUAUUGAGAUCGAGAACCACGAGGAAUAUGACGUUGAAAAAGUGCUAGAUUCAUGGCGAAGGUGGGGCAAGUUGGAAUAUCUUGUUCAUUGGUGCGGCUACGAUAUUAAUGAGUGAACGUGGGAGCUAGCUGAAAAUCUCGCCAAUGCGCCACAAAAGAUACAUGAGUUUCAUCAACAACAUCUUCAUAAAUCCAAGUUGUUUCGAUGAUAGCUUCUUUUCAAAGCUUGCUCAUCCAAGAAUAUAAGAAAGGGGGGAAAGGACCACCAAAAUUCGUAGUUGAUGUAGUUAUUUUCUCCAAGAUAGAGUAGAAUUAUUUUACUAGCCAUAGUUUGGUCUUCUGAUAUGGAUAAUCAAGAGGUAGAUACUUUGUCAGUCAAAUUAUUUCAAUCAAGUAGCUCACGAAGGCGAUCCCAAGAUGAAGAACCGCCUACACCACGACGACAACGGAGGAUAUCGAGUAGCCGAUCACUGGUGAUUGUAUUUGAAAUCGAGCCUGCUUACGAUAGUCAGCCAGAAGGUGUAUUUGCAGGACAAUUUCACAAUGAGGACACGGAAGUUCAUGCUUGGUCAGAAGUCAAAGGCAUGGGCCACUACUGUUGGCUUCAAGGGCUGAUGAACCACUUGCCUCGUGAACAACAGUUGAAGUUCAUAGCAGACGUUAUGCGACAUAUCUUCAUUUUCUUGCAAUGGUAUUGAUUAACAACAACAUUGCUUCUCAGAGACCUCGAAGCUAAAAGAAGGGGUGAUGUUAGGGACAUAGUCCUUAGAACCUUCUAGAAACAAGUUUCUAGAACCUUCUAGAAGCAAGUGUUUGGAACCUUCUAGAAGCUUCCUAGUUUGAUGGAAGUUACUUGAGAAGCUUUUUAAUUGGUAGAAGUUGCUUAAGAAGCUUCUUAGUUAGUGGAAGUUACUUGAGAAGCUUCCUAAUUAGUAGAAGUUGCUUCAGAAGCUUCCUAAAUAGGAGUAUAUAUUAGAAUCGAGGCUGAAGAGUUCUUCAGUCUCGACAACACAUCUCUUAGAGCUCUAGUUCACCUCUCUGGUAUUGUUCUUGUACUCAUUUGAUUAAUCUAAUUCUUGCUAGUUUUUCUUGAACUUUUUGUUAGAUUUCGAGCUUGUAUUUCUGUGUCCGUGACAUAUAGAGACAAGAGUGAAGCCUUCUUCACUCUUGUCAACUCCUUUCUUAUUUCCACUCUAGUUUCAAGAGUCGUCAUAUUUUUUAGUCUUUGGCAAUAGCAAUUCUAAUUCAAUAUAUUAUCACCUUUGAGUGAUUUCUAAGUAUUUUCAAAUGACACAAGAAUGUAUUGAGAUUAUCUUUCUUUAGAGUUCAUGUCCUUGAUAUGCUGCAAAAGAAAGAUCAUCUUUUGCUGUAUAUGCUACAUCCAUUUUUAAUUGUGAAACAACGUAGAGUGGUAUUCCUAAGCAAUAUCAAGAAUUCUAAGAUGUUUUUGAAAAGAAGAAUAUAAAUAUUCUCCCUGAGCAUCGAUCUCAUAAUUGCUCAAUUGAUCUGCAAGAAGGAUCUCAACCAUCAUUUGGACCAAUCUAUAGCUUAUCACAGAAUGAAUUGGCUGCAUUAAAAGAAUACAUUGAUGAGAAUUUUGCAAAGAACUUCAUACGACAUUCUAAAUCUCCAGCCGAGGCUCUUAUCUUAUUUGUGAAGAAGAAAGACGGAUCUCUACAAAUGUGUGUGGAUUAUUGAGGACUCAACAAGAUCACCAUCAAAAAUAAGUAUCCUUUACCUUUGAUUUCAGGACUUCUUGACCAACUCAAUCAAGCAAAGAUCUAUACCAAAAUAGAUCUACGAGGAGCUUACAACUUAGUUUGUAUCAAAGAAGGAGAUGAAUGGAAGACUGCUUUUUGAACUAGGUAUGGACAUUUUGAAUAUAAUGUCAUGCCUUUUGGACUCACGAAUGCACCGGCCGCUUUUCAACAUCUUAUGAAUGAUGUUUUUUGAAAGUUUUUAAAUGAUUUCGUUGUUUGUUAUUUAGACAACAUUCUAAUCUACUCUAAGAACAUAGAAGAACAUGAGCUUCAUGUUUGUCGCGUAUUACAAAAAUUUAAAGAUGCAGGAUUAUAUGCCAAGUUAGAAAAGUGUGUAUUCCACACUACUCAAGUUGACUUUUUAGAAUACAUCAUUUUCAAUGAAGGCCUUAUGAUGGAUCCCAAGAAGGUUCAAACUAUCAUUGAUUGAAAGAUUCCAAGAACAGUACGAGAUGUGUAAUGUUUUUUGGGCUUUUCUAAUUAUUCUCGAAUCUUCAUCAAGAAUUUUUCUCAAGUUGCAGCUCCACUUACAUGUUUGAUUUGUAAAGACAAAUUUGAGUGGAGUAAAGAAGCUGAAGUAGCAUUUGAUGCUUUAAAGAAGGAAUUUACUUCUGCACCAAUCUUGUAUUGCAUCGACUUCUCCAAGGCAUUUUUUAUGGAAACAGAUGCAUCAGACUUUGCCAUUGGUGCCAUUUUGUCACAAAUGGGAACAAAUGACAAACUCCAUCCAAUAGCUUGCAAGAGUGGCAUCAUUAUCUAAAACUCCUCGUCAUCGAUCUUACGAACUUCUUCAGUCGUUACCUAUUCCACAACAACCAUGGUCUUCUGUUUCUAUGGAUUUCAUAACGGAUCUUCCAAUUUCAUGUUCUUAUGACUCUAUAUUCAUGAUAGUAGAUCGUUUUAUCAAGAUGGCAUAUUUUGUAUCAUGUACAAAAUCUAUGACAAGUAAAGAAACAGCUAAGCUUUUCAUUGACAAUAUCUAUCGCUAUCAUGGAUUACCAAAAGAUAUUAUAUUGGAUAUGGGAACUCAAUUUGUAUCAAGAUUUUGGAGAAUCCUAUUCAAGUUUCUAAAGGUGGAUAUAAAGCUUUCUUCAGCUUUUCAUCUUCAAACUAAUGGACAAACAGAACGAGUAAAUCAAGUUUUGGAGCAAUAUUUGAGAUGUACCAUCAACUAUCAUCAAGAUGACUCGACAACUCUUUUACUAUUGGCAGAUUUUGCAUAUAAUUAUUCGGUACAUUCUUCCACUCAAUAAACAUCUUUCUUUGUCAAUUAUGAUUAUCAUCCAUGUCUUGAUACUUUUGACUUUUCAAAAGUUGAUAAUCCUAUAACGAAAGAUUUAGCAAAUUGCUUAUCAGAGCUAUAUACAACAAUGAAGAUACAAUUAAAGGAAGCUCAAGAAUGACAAAAGAUGAACGUGGAUGCCUAUUGCAAGGAGCAACAACAAUAUAAUAUGGGCGACAAGAUAUGGUUACUUUGUCAUAAUAUCAAGACUACUCGUCCUUGUGAUAAAUUAGAUUAUCGUAGGUUGGGACUUUUUCUUAUUUGUGAACAAAUCAAUCCUGUUGCCUAUUGAUUACAUCUACUGGAGUCUAUGAAGAUCCACCUUGUAUUUCAUGUAUUUCUUCUGGAGCCAUAUAAGACAGUGAAUAUCUUGAGAAGAAGACAAAUACCACCUCCUCCUAUAGAAGCGGAUAAUAACCAAGAGUUUGAGGUGGAAGAAGUCUUAGACUCAAGGUGGCACCGAAAUAGAUUGGAAUAUCUUGUUCAUUGAUACAAAUAUGAUAUUAGUGAACGUACAUGGGAGCCAUCAAAGAAUCUUAUAAUUACAUCAAAGAAAGUUGAAGUCUUUCAUCAACGACAUCUAUCAAAACCAAGAUGAAGAAUAGCAAAACUUUGCUAUAAAAGAAAUAAGAUCAAAAAAAAUAACAUUCUAUCUUCUAUCUUUCAUUGUAGCUUGUGUAAUGAGAUAGAGCACCAACAAUGAGCAGAUUCAACUCAAGAACUUUCAUUUGUGGACUUAUCAGAUGAGACGUUGUGAUUGUCACAACCUUCAAGAUGACAAAAUUGAGAUGAAGAUCCUCAAGAACAAUAUGUCUUCCCUCGAACAGAUGGCAAGAUACAGCGUGUUUGGUAUUACGACCUUGGAAGAGAAUCUCAAUGUUUAGACAUUUUAUUAGAGGUAGGAACUACUCCUAACAGUGUUUCAAAUGUUUUAUUUGAAGAAAGUUACGAAGGCCUUAACAAUGAUCAAAUAAUAGGGUGGUCUUCUCGUCCUGGGAUGGGACACUAUAGAUGGUUGAGAGGAUCUAUCAACCAUCUUCAAAGAGAGCAAAGAUUGGAGUAUGUAGCAAAUAUAAUUCAUCGCAUCUUAGACUUCUUGAACAUAUGAAGACCACUCCUCAUGGAACUCGUCCCUAGAAGAAGGGAUAAUGUCACGGACAUAUGUAUUUACCUCAAUAGUUAUUUAUAUGAUUAAGUAAAAGUAGGUAAAAUAGAAUAAUUUCAUAAAGUCUUCUAGAAAAACUUCCUAGAAGCUUCAUAGACGUGGUUUUGACUUUAGAUGUGUUCGUAGGUUAGAAACUUGGCCAAAAAACUCACCAUGUAUUGGUAGCUUGUAGAACAAGUUACCUCCGCGUAUUAGCUUGUGGAACAAGCCAACUACAUGGCAUAUACAUAGAUAACUUGCCUUACAAGAUAAGACAUGUGGCUAGCAAAAUCAACACAUGUUGGAGAUCCUAUAGGACAUUGUUAUGUAGGUCUUAGUUAGAUUGUAUAUAUAAAGGCAAGAGUGAAGCCUUCUUCACUCUUGUCAAUGCCUUUCCAGUCUUAGUCUUGUUUCAAGACUUUCUUGUCUUCUUGUUUUUGGCAAUAGCCAUUCUAGUUAAUAUUACAUCACCUUUUGAAUGACUUUCUAGUUCUCUUCAGUGAUAGAAGAGUGUAUUGAGGAUUCUCUUUCUUCAAGAUUUAUGUCCUUGAUAAUAAUCUACCAUAUAAAUUCGCCAAAAAUGCUAUUAAGCUACAUAUAUAUGAAUUGAACAAGAGAUCUAAGUAAUGGUUGAUCAAUAAUGGGUUUUGUUUUUAAAUUAGAGCCAUGUUCAAUUACUUGGCUCUCAAAAAAAACAAGCCACCAUUACCUUUUCAUCUUCAAAAGCAAAAUAUAUGGGCUUGUCCACAACAUCUAAAGAAGCAACAUGGUUGACAAACUUGCAUUCAAUUUUGGUUUUCAAAUCAAAAAACCAAUUCUAAUAUAUUGUGAUAAUGAAGGAAGUAUCAAAAUGGAAAGGGAUGCCGCCAGCACCCNNNNNNNNNNNNNNNNNNNNNNNNNNNNNNNNNNNNNNNNNNNNNNNNNNNNNNNNNNNNNNNNNNNNNNNNNNNNNNNNNNNNNNNNNNNNNNNNNNNNNNNNNNNNNNNNNNNNNNNNNNNNNNNNNNNNNNNNNNNNNNNNNNNNNNNNNNNNNNNNNNNNNNNNNNNNNNNNNNNNNNNNNNNNNNNNNNNNNNNNNNNNNNNNNNNNNNNNNNNNNNNNNNNNNNNNNNNNNNNNNNNNNNNNNNNNNNNNNNNNNNNNNNNNNNNNNNNNNNNNNNNNNNNNNNNNNNNNNNNNNNNNNNNNNNNNNNNNNNNNNNNNNNNNNNNNNNNNNNNNNNNNNNNNNNNNNNNNNNNNNNNNNNNNNNNNNNNNNNNNNNNNNNNNNNNNNNNNNNNNNNNNNNNNNNNNNNNNNNNNNNNNNNNNNNNNNNNNNNNNNNNNNNNNNNNNNNNNNNNNNNNNNNNNNNNNNNNNNNNNNNNNNNNNNNNNNNNNNNNNNNNNNNNNNNNNNNNAAAACAAAUUUCUUUUCAAAACUGGAUUCAAAAAGUACAAGUAAUUUCGUGAUAAGUAUCAAAUUGAUGAUUUUGUAGUAAGGGGGGUUGUUAGAACAUUCAUCCGUACUUCAUCAUUGAAUGAAGUUUGUAUGGAUGAUCUGAGAUCCGACAUUUGUGCCGAAUACUCAGAUCUCUGCACACAUGUACUUAAGACUGCAUCAGCAGUCUCGUAGCAAGGCAGUAAGCCCCUUUUGUUUUGUUCAUUCAUUUAAUUGUUCUCUAAGAACUCACUCUCAUUAGCGGCAACCUGCAUCAUCUGCGCACCAAUCCAACGUCUUAAUUCUCAUAGAUGCCAAUUAGAUUGGGUUAUUUGUUAAAACAAAGCACAAUCUGGAGAAUUUUGGACUUAACAUUCUUAUCCAACAACUCACAGUAACCUUGUGAGUUUCUUAUGAUGGAGAAUAAAGAGAAUGCUCGUUUGGCUAGAGCUUCCUUCUUACACCUUCCAGAAAAUCUUAAAGGAGAACCCCACCAGCAGUUUAAAACUCUCAUCGUAGCAGAGAUUCACACGACGAGUGAAAAAAAUCUGCCGCAUUGAUCAUUAACCCGCAACGUCGCAAUUCACCGGAACAAUAGCCAUGAAUCUCAACACGAGUGAGCUAUUCCUUCGACCUGCUGCGGAGAAAUGAAUAAUUUGGGUCCCAGCGCCGCGCGAUAUCAUUCGCGUUUUAUCUCGUGGAAAUGGGUGUCCUUUUGCUGAUCCCCGAACUCUCCUACCGAAGCACUUGUUCGGCAACACAAUGUGAAAACUCAUAAGAAGAUAGAGGACAGGUUGCUGAAGAAACUUUCUGAGAAGCAUCACUUCCACAAAUUCAAAGAAAGUAUUUUAACCGAAAGGUUUAUAGCUCUCAAGGAGGCAUAGAAACAAGAACGAAAAGGUCUUUCUGGCUGAAGGAAUCGUCCCAAAUCAGUUUGCAGAUGGGAUAAUGAGGGACGUAGUAGUCAUGGACCUCCAAGUCAACGGUCUUCUUUACGAUUGCGUCCUCUCAGUAAGAAUCACAUUUGGCAUCCGACAAUUUAACAAAUGAAAUGUUAUUCCUUUGUUUGCUAUUCAAUUACUUAUCUUACUUAAAUCCAUGUAUUGUAUCUUUGCUCGAAUUAAUAAAUCGUAUCCAUGAUAGGUAUGAACAGGCUUGAUUUUGAAUCAGAUGCCGCAAAAGCAAAGAAGAAGUUGAUGAAAGAUCCUCGUGUAUAAGCAUUUUAUUAUAUCAAUAAUAUCAAGAAUAUCAAGGGUAGAUUUGCUAUUAUCAAGAAUACAUGGAUAUUCUUGAUAUUCCGACAAAUUUUAGAGACAUGCAUGAUAUUUUCUCUUUAAUGUAUUUGAAUGAAAUGGUUUUUAAAACUCAAUCAAGAUUUUGUUAAAAAUAUUUCUUUUAUUUAAAUGAAGUCCUUUAAUAUGAUAGUAAUAAAUAAAUAAAAAUAAGAAACUAUUAAGUAAUUCUUAUUAUAAAUCUAUUUAUGUUUGCAACUAUCUAAGUUUUUAUAAAAAGUAUCUUUUUAUUUGUAGUAAAAAAACAUGGAUAUAAUAUUUAUAGAUAUAAUCCCUCAAUUAUAAAUAUAACAUACAUAAUAGAAAAUUUGCAUUUAAGAAAAGAGAUAUCAAUUUCUUUAUGAUUGAUGGCCCAUCUAUGAUAAAAAUAUAUCUAGAAUAAUCCUAAUAUGUAUUGUUGCAUGACUCAUAUAGAUUAAAAAAAAUUGUAUAGGCUCUCUUAAUAUAUUCUAUUAUAUAUGUGUAUAAUAAAUAUUUCUAGAAUCCAUCUUUGUAUUAUAAAAUUUAAAAUAAAGAAGCUAAUAUUGAUAUAAUAAAAAAUAAAAAAUAAAAAAUAGAUAAUCAAUGCCAAUCUAAAAAUAAAGAAAAUAAAUGAUACAUCAUAUUGCUUAAAUCUUUGUGAAUCUAAAGAUGACUAUAUUUAUUAAUAUUAGAGAUUUUUUUCAUAAUGUGUUAUUGGCUAAUUUACUAAAAUUAAUUAACUAUAUUAUUAUUGACUCUAAUUAAAUUAAAAUACUCUUUUAUGCUAAUUUGUACUAAAAGUUGAUUAAUCGCUUGAAAACCAUAAAUAUUUAUUUUAUAUAGACAGAUUUUUAUUUUUAUUCUUUCUUUCAUUAAAAGUGAUAGAUAUUUGCAUCACUAUUACCCAGAUGUUACCAAUACCAUUUAAGUAUCUUCAAAGCUAAUUUUUUUGUUAUAUGUUUGUAUAAUUCUAUAAUAGAUUUUUUUGAGAUAAUCAUUUAAAUACUGAAAUAUCUGAAAUACCUAAAUUUAAUCAUUUAAAUUUUAAAGCAAGAAAUAAUAAAAUUCAAAGUUCUUUUCAUAAAUUAUAGAAUUUUUAAUCCAAAUAUUAUAUAUAUAUAUAUAUAUAUAUAUAUAUAUAUAUAUAUAUACAUAUAAUUUAAUUCCCAAAAUAUGAUUUGCUUCAUAUUAACCUUUUAAUUGUCAUGCACUAAGGUGGUAAAAUGAGGGAUCUAUCUUCUUAUAACAUGGUUUUUUUUUUUUUUUUUUUUUUUUUUUUUUUAAAAAAAAUGUUCUAAAAUUCUACCUUAUUAUUACACUAUGGUGACAAAAAAUAUAGUUUAUAAGUGUAGUAGGCAUUUUAAGCUAAAUGCCCUUUAAAAAAAAUGAUAUAAAAUAAUAUUUAAGAAGAGAUUUGAAAAUACUUCAAUGGUCGUUUGCAUUACUACAAAAAAUAAUAAAAGAACUGUAGAAGUAGAAGGAAAACUUUGGACAAUUAAUUGAUAGUUCUCUAUAAGCUUCUUAUUUGAUAGAUAUUUCACCACCACAUCAAUAUAAAGGUGUGUUCUAAAAUAAGAGUUAUCAAAUCUUUAUAUAAAUAUGUUUAUAAGGGACUUAAUUAUAUAGUUAUUGAUUUAUCAAAUCUUGUAGUAGAUGAAGGUAAUAUAGUAGUUACUAAUAAUAUUAAGCAAUAUUUGGAUGCUUCUUAUGUUUUAUCACCACAAGUGUGUUAAAUAACGAUUUAUUUAAAGUUUUAUUUUGAAAACCACAAUAUUUAAUAAAUAUAAGUUUACCUUCUAAAUCAAUACAAUGUAUGAUAUUAUUCUAAUAGAAAUUUCAAAAAAGUAAUAGAGCCACAUAGUCAAAAAUAAUUCAUUUAACUUUUUGUAGUAUAUUUGUACUUUAAGGUAGCCAAAAAUAUUUUAUAUAAUAAGAUUUUAAAGAAUUAUACUUAAAAGAAAAAAUAUACUUCUUUGAUUGUAUAAAGAAGGAUAUUUUUUCAAAUAUUGUGAAUUAUUUUUUGAAGAGUAAAAGAAAAAUUUAUUAACUUAAGAUUAAAACUCUCCUACUUAUGGCCAUCUAUUAAUCAAUUAAUUAAAUUUUAUUUUAAAACAUCUAUUAUAUCCAGCAUAAGUUUUUUCCAAUUUAAUAAUACUAAAUGAGAAAAAAUUAGAUAUUUUUCACAAUAACUGUCCUUUAAAUGAAAACAAACACAAAUUAUUCAUGUUGAAAAAAAAAAAAAAAAAAUCAGAUACUUACUAUGCAUACAAUGUUGUUUUAAUUAAUUAAAAAGGUUUGUGGCAAAAAAUUUAAGUAAACAAAGAAUGAAUAAUAUAUUGUAUGUUGUGAAAUUUUGAUCCCAUUAACAUAUACAUUGAUGAGUUUAUCUUCAUAUCAUGGAAAAAGAUUGAAAUAGAAAUUUUAUUAUUUUCACAAACAUUAUUUUAGCUACAAAUAUCAAUGUUUUUAAUUCUUUAUAAAUAAGCUCAAACUUAGAUCUCAGUGAAUUAUGUUAUAAAAAUCAAAACAUGGUAUAUAGAAUAAAUCACAUGUAGUUAUUUUUAAAAUAUUAAUUAGAGCCUAAAUUAGAAAUUCAGUAUUUAUUUCACAUCUCAACUUUAAAUCCUUAUAUAAUUUAUUUUUUUUAAACUAAGAUAAUAAAAAUUUCUAUUAAAGCUUAUUUCUAUUCUAAAUCAGUUAACGAAUCCUAAAAACAAACAAAUCUCAGCUCAGAGCUCAAUUUGUAAAAUCUAAAAACAAAUCGAUGAAAAAUUGUGUGCUUCUUUAUUACAGCUAAAUCUAAACAAAAUAUCAUCUCAUUAUUAUUAUUAUCUAAUAUUAGAUACUGCAGACAAACUAAAAACAUAAUUAAAAAAAAUAAUCCAAAUUCUACAAUUGAUUUUUAUAAUAUAAAAAAAUAUAAAAUAAUUAGAGUAAUAAAUAAGAAUCUUCUUAAAUGAACUAAAAGGUACAUAAUUAUGUAUAUCUAUUUAUCUUUGUAAUUAUCUAAGCUAUAUUAUUUUCUAUUACACCUCAAAAACUUGCUAUGUUAUGGUAAUCUCAAAUAAAAGCAAAGAAUCGUAUUGCUCAUAUAUAUAGAUAAUUUAAAAAGAAACACAUCUUCUCAAUAUAAAAGAAUAAGAUAGGACAAAAAAUUUAAUUAACAAAGAAAUAAGAAUAAGAAUUAUAUAUAAACAUUAUGUUGUAUUAAAACAUGUAAAAAUAAUUCUUUUUCAAUGAUAUUUUGAAUUAGAAAAGUUAAAAUAUAUAUAAGAAUCUAUAUAAAGUAUAAUUUCUUAUCAAUCAACUAUUAUUUUUUAUCAACUAUAUAAAAGUUGUUAUCACCAAAUAAAAUAAGAUGAGAUAAAAUGCUAAAAAAAACCGAAAUAAAGUCAAAUUGUCAUCUUAAAAAGUAAAUGUCAUAAUUUUGAAGUAAUUUUUUAUUUUAUAAAAUAUGUUAAUGUUUAUGUUUAUAUUUCCUAAAUAUAUGCUUUUAUCAAGUAAAAAGUUUACUAUAAAUAUUUUUUAUCACGGUGAGAUUAAAAAAAUAAUAAUAAAUAAUAAAUAAAUAUUUUAAAAACAUUAUUAAAUAAAUAUUUAUAAAUUUUACAAACACUUUUUUUUUAAAAUUUCUUUUAAAAAAUAUGUUAAUUUUUUUAAAAAAAAAUAGUUCUAAAUUUUUAUGAUUGUAUUAAAAAAACAUCUUUCCUUGAGUUAUUUUUAAUAAAAAAACUAAAAAAUUUAUAUGAAAUUUCUUAAAAUGAAUUAGAAUAAAAAAAAAUACGAUCUUCAAAUUUUGAUAUUAAAUUUAACAAUUUUUAUUCUUAAAAAAAAAUUAAAAAUCUUAAUAAACUCCCAUCUGACAAAAACAAUCUUCUAAAAUCAAUCAAAUAUGAAGGCAAUAUUUAAUGCUUAUAAUAUAACUUAAAACUAUGUCGCUGCUUUUUAAAAUAAUAAUAUAAAUUAAAAUUAAAUAAUUCAUAUAAUAAUCCAUAAUUUAAUUGUAAGAUCUAAUGACUUCUUCAAAAUAAAAAUAUUGAAGCAUCGGUAAUACUAUUUAGAAAUGGUUUUUAAAAUUGUGCUAAAAACGUUUUGUAAAAUUGAGUACAAUAGCAGAACAAAUCCUUAAAGCAAUUUUUUAAAAUAAGAAAAAAAAUAAAAUUAUAUAAAUUAUACUUUUAUUUAUAUAUAAAUAUAUACAAUAUUAUGGUAGUGAAUAUAUGUUUUAAAUUAAAUUAUAAAAAGUGAUAAUAUUGUUGUUUAACAUUGAAUAAGUAUAAAGUUUAUAAAUAGUCUAAAGUACAUUAAGUAGGGCUUUAAGACUGUAAAUCUAAGAUUAAUCAUGGGAAUUAAAAAAAAAAAAUCGUCAAGAUAUUAAAGUCGUAUACAAAGUGUAUACUAAGUUUUGUACAAAAAUCUCCUAAACAAACACUGGUGAAGAUAAUAACAUGUAUUAUUUUUUUACAGAAAAUAUUAUCUGAAACUAACAAUGUAGCUUUUAAAACUUUUAUUNNNNNNNNNNNNNNNNNNNNNNNNNNNNNNNNNNNNNNNNNNNNNNNNNNNNNNNNNNNNNNNNNNNNNNNNNNNNNNNNNNNNNNNNNNNNNNNNNNNNAUUAUGAAAUUAAAAAUAGUAAUAAUAAUUAAUAAUAAUAAUAUCUUGUGGUUAAAUAAAAAAAUUUCACUAUAAUUUGUUUUCAAUACAAAAUUACAUUGAUCAAUUUUUUUAAAAUUUAAAUUUAUAUUUAAAUUUUUUAAAAUUUAUGACCAUUGAUACAUCGUUGUGGAGAGAGAAUAUUGCCUUCAAAAACAUUAGGCCUUUAUUUGCUACUAAUUUCUAUAUCUUCUCCUACAUAUUUUAAAAAAAAUAUCCAAUAAAAAUUUAGUCCUUCCUAAAUCUUUUUGUCUUUAAAUCAAUUAACAAACUAUAUAUUUCAAGUUCAUAUAACAAAAACAAGAGAAGAACGCCUCCUUUGGGGCUCUUAUAUUACUUUCUAAAGAAGGUUGUUACUUUCUAAAAUCCAAAAUCUUACCCUAAAUCCUAAAUCUUUAAUUUACUCACAAGUAUUUAUUAUUUAUUUUUUAAAAAGAAGAGUUGAAAAUUUUGAAGGAUUGAUGUCAUUACACUUUAGUCACUACUUUUAUUUUCAAUAUAUAUAUAUAUAUAUAUAUAUAUAUAUAUAUAUUCUAAAAUAGUAUUGAAUUAUAUUAUUUAAAAAUAAAAAAAAGAUAAGAAAUAUCAAUUAAAAUAUAAGAUAUUUAUUUUCUUUGUAUUCUCUUAUCACUUUGUAUUAGUUAAAACAAAAAAUAUUUAUUAAAUUUAUAUAUUUCUAUUAAUCAUGAAAUUUUAAAAUUUUGAGUUUAAUAAUUUUUGUUUUAUUAAAUAUUUUUUUUCUUAAGAUUUUUUAUUUAAAUUUUAUUUAAUUCUAUUAAUAUGAUUUCUAUAAAAUUCUAAUAAUUUUUUAUCAUAUAAUAAUAUUCUUUCUAUGAUAAAAAGAAUAUUUCAAUUAUUUUUUGACAAGUUAUUGUACAUUAUUUACAAACUCACCCAUAAAACAUACUCAACAUGCAAUCUAAUAAUACAAAUGCAGUACAAUUAUGUAGAUGGUGUUUUGUUAUAACACAUUGUUGGAUAAAAGAGUGAAUAAAGACUAAUAUAUUAAGAAAUGCGUAAUUAAAUUAUUUGUAGAGAUUUCUUCAGAAUUCACAGAUAAUAUAUGAAAGAUUAUUAAAAUAAAAAAUUAAUGUUCAAUGCUGAUAUUUUAAAAAUAAAUAAAUAAAUAAAAUAAAAUAAAAUACUUCUACUUACCUUUGUGGACCUUUAAAUAAGACACAAGACAUUGUAGGAUAGACAUAAAACCAUUACAAACUCCUUUAGAUAAGUUUCAUGAAUAGAUUCACCAAAAUCAUCAAAAAAAGAAAAAAGAAAAAAACAAUUAGAUUGAUAUUUGAGGAAGACCAUUUUUUUAAAAAUGUCAAAAACAGACCACCAAGAUACAAAAAAUGGUACCCACAAAAAAAGUAGGAUUAUUUUAUUAAUAAAAGAAUAGAAUUAGAGAGGAGAAUAAAAGAAGUUUUACAAUUUGUAGAUAUGUACAGAUUUGAUUUGCUAAAAUUUUUCAGAGCUAAUUAAAGUCAAGGAUAUUGAUUUGACAUUAUUAUUUUGAAUAAUAAAUUUAUAUCUAUAAUUUUAGAAAUAUUGUAUUUUCUUUCAUAGAUAUGUAUUUUUUUCUUGCUACAAAUUUAUUAGUAAUUUUUAUUGAAAAACCAACUUGUAUUUACAUAUAUUCUAAAACAUUAGAUUAGUAUUUAUUUAUUUUUUAGAAAAUAUUAAUUUAAUAUUUAUUAUAAAAUAUUUGUAUAUCAAUAAAAUAACUUGCAAAAAAAAUACAAAAUCAUUUUAGUUAAAUUUUUGAAAUUUAUAAAUUUUUUUACUUAAUGAUUCUAUUUAAACUGAAAAGACUUAAAUAUUAUCAUAUUUAGGUUUUUUUAAAAAAUAAGUAGCUAAAUUAUUAAAUAAUUUUUUUACAAAUUUAUUUGAAAUUUUAAUAAAAUUCUUAAGUAGAUUCUAUUAAUGAUUUUUUAUUUUUUAUUUAUAUUUAUCAAGUUCUCAAAAGAAAUUAAAUAGUUUAAAUAUCAAAGAUUGAAUGUUUAAUAUUAGGACUUUUUUGAAACACAAGGAAUAAAUGAAUUAUAUUUUAAUUAUUUUUUAAUUUUAAAUUUAUUCCUAAAUAAUAACCUAAAGGCUCUUAUUUUAUAUUUUAUUAUAAUUUAAUUGUAUGGAAUUUUUUUGCAGCCUUCAAAGAUUUAAGUUAUUUUUAUUUUUAAUAGUUAUUUAUAAAUAAAAUUAUUCAAAAAAAACUAUUAAAUUUAAAUAUAUUUUAUUUUAUAUUUUAUUAAAUAUAUACAUAUAAUAAAUAAAAAUAGCACCAAUUAGAUCUUCUUAUCAUAGGUUAUUUUUGAUAAUAUAAUUACAUUAGUAUUUUUAUUAGAUUUUUUACUCUAUAAUUUACUAUUUAUAUAUAUAUAUAUAUAUAUAUAUAUAUGUUUACUUAUUUAUAUAUUUAUAUAUUCAAAGGUCUUAUCCAACUAUAAUAAUAAAUAUUAAAGGUUAAUAAGAAUCUAAUUAUAAUUAAAAUAAAUCUAUAUUAAAACUUAAUAACUAGUAUUGCACCUAUCAUCUACUUUUUUAUUUCAUUAUUUUUUAUAAUAACAACACUCUUUGAAAUACUUCUUUUAAACUUAAAUAUUUAAAGUUUAACUUCUUAUUAUUAUUUCAUUUUUGUUGGGAUAGCAUCAACCAUUAACUAUUACAUUUGUAAUGGAUGCCAACAUUGCUUAAGUAAACACAAAUAAACAAAAGUAAGCAAAAGUAGAUAGAAUAUAUUAGAUAGAUAAUAGAUUCCUUAAGAAACUAUGAUGAAGGUUCUAAUAUAAAAAUUUAAUCUUCAGAUUUCCAUAGUUAUGUUGUGUAGCUAUUAAAACUUCUUUCACUAGUUUCCUAUAUUUAAAAAAUUGUAUUGGAAGCAAACUACAAUGUGGACCAUAAGUCUUAUGGUUCUUAAAAAGCUUCCACAAGAUCUUUUAGUAGCAAGCAUGUAUGGAGACAAGAUUGAAGUCAUCCUCAAUCUUGUCAAUGUGUUCCUUAUAUUCCAAUCUUAGUUCAAUAUUAUCUUCUUAAUAUUUGGCAAUAGCUAUUUUUUUAUAUACAUAUAAUUUUCUUUUACUUCCUCCCUUCUUCAAUUACAAAAUAGUGUAUUAUCUUAUAAUUUUUGUCUAGAUUUAUAUUUUUAACAACAUUAACCAACUUCUUUAAAACAUAAUUAAUUUCAAAAAAUAGAAGUAAAACAAUUUACAAUGUUGUUAAUUCAUCAUUACUGCCAUAUUUAUAUAACUUAUAAUUUUUUAAAGAAAAACCAGACUUGCAUUCAAAAUACAAAUUUCAAAUAUGAAAAAUUUUAUUAGUUCUAAAAACAAUCAUUUUUUUAAUUUUUUUUAAUCUUUUAUCUGAAAAAGAAGAUUUAUGUUCUUUGUAGAUGAUUUGAAUUUUUAACAUUAUUACAAAUAUUUUAUAAUUAAAAUAUUGUAAAUUAAUAAAAAAAUCAAAAAUAAAAUAAUAUUUAUAAUUCCAUCAACAUCUAGAUUUUAAAUCUUGUUUUUUUUAAAAAAAAAUACUUGUAGGUUGUAAUUUAAAAAAAAAAAAAAAAAAAAAAAAAAAAAAAUCUCACUUUAGCAUUUAUUUAAACAUUACAAACGAUUAGUUUAAAUAAGGCAUAAUCAAGGGCAUCCAUAUCUCUAUCUUAAUUUUUGCAAAAUUACUUCCAUGAUGUUUAGCAAAUGAGCUUCCAUAUAUAUAUAUAUAUAUAUAUAUAUAUAUAUAUAUAUUCUCACUUUUAUAUUUUAUUUAAUAUUACAAAGCACGUGAAAAAAAAUUUAAAAAAUUAAUACCAUACUAUCAAAUUUAAUUUGCAAUAUUUCAUGCAAUUUAAAUAUAUACAUAUAUAUAUAUAUAUAUAUAUAUAUAUAUAGAUAAAUAGCCAAAAAGUCUUUAGAACUAACUCUUGAUUCAACCAAUCUUAUUAUAUGUUAAAAUUAUCCAGUUAUGAAAUUCUUCAAUUUUAGUUUCAUAAAAGACUUACCUACCAUAAUGUAGAAGAAAUUUUACCAUAUUAUAUUUUCAAGGUAAACUAGAACUUACUUUAGUAGGAAAUUUUAAAGAAAUAAUGAAACAUUGUUUGCAACAAUUUCACCUUAAAGAAUUCCACAACUUAUUCAUAUUAAGGUUCAUGUCAACAUACAUUCUUUGUUUGUCAAAAUCAUGACCCCUACAUUGUUCCUACAACGUGCAAAAUUUAAUUAUACAAAAAUAAAUAAAUAAAUAAAUAAUAAACUUGAAUUGUGUAAAAGUGGAAGAAGGAAGAAGAAUCCAUGACACGGCCAACGUAGAAGACGAAUUUGGUCAUUCAUUGCACAGCUCAUGGCGAUUCUUCCCCUUCUAACGCACAUCACGGCGAAAUCCUACUUGUGCCCAAAGCAGCUUCGCAAAUUGCUCAUUCGAGCAGAGGAUUCAAUCGCACGGGAUUUAUUCCACACAUCGAUAGAUGCCUGUGCCACAAUUCGCUCAGAUCUUUACUUUAAAGUGCCAAAAAUAUCGAGCAAUCAGCCAACUGAUGAAGGCACAUUCAAUCAGCUGCAAUCCGGGAGGAGCGGAAUUGCAUUAUUACGUGUGAGAACAAUGUCGUGUCGCAACACCGGAAUUCCGCGUGCAAUGCUGUUGUGAUUCCGUUGCGACGUCUCCCGACGACGGUUGUCUCGAAUUGGGUUGUGGGUUUCCAAUUCUCGCCUCACGCACAAUCAGAGCACUGAGUUUUGGACGAGGGGUUGGUUAGAUUUGCGGUGUGUGAGAAUUGUACAUGCGAGGCUCGAUGAAAGUCGUUUCGAUGGCCACUCUGCUAGCUGGUUGAUGAGAUCAAGACUUAGAGGCAAUCUGUUAAACUUGAAGUGGAAAAUUACUGCAAGCGAUGUCAGAGAUGAGCGUGCAUCCGUCGAAGAGAAGCGGUGAGGUGGGCCGCAAGUCUGAGUCUGGGUGAGAGCUUGAUAGUAGGACUUCGAGGAACUCUGUUGUUAGGUCUUGCACCUCCAGGAUUGCUGGUUGUGUGGCCUUCUCCACCUCACUUGCUGUGGAUCCCGUCUCUAUGCCCUCGUCGGUCGAGACAUUUGCGCUGGGUUCGGGUUCUGGGGAGGAAUCCGGUUGCAGAUCCGGUUCCGAAGGAGACGGUGUUGAGGAUGCUGAUGCAGUCGGUGGCGGUGUUGGUGUCGGGAGAGUGGCUCUGAGCGGGAAGUUGAGAAGUGCUCUGCGUCCUCGCAUUUUCAGCGCGGCCGCGUCGUACGCCAAAGCUGCUUGCUCCGCUGUGUCGAAAGUCCCGAGCCAAACACGCGUCCCUUGCCUUGAGGAAUCCCGGAUUUCAGCUGCAAAUUUCCCCCAAGGCCGUUGGCGCACGCCUCGAUAAUGGAGAAUGCUGCGCGUCACCUUCGUCUGUGCGCAUUUUUUCUCUUGCGGGGGAGUGCUGGGAGUGUCCACGCUUGAUCGGUCAUUCUCCUGCUGGUUGUGCUUAGCACAUCCCAUAACAGCGGCCUCUGGAAAUACUCGCCGAGUUCGAACAGGGCUACGCAGCACAGAGGCUGGAGCAGUCUCUGCAGGUGAGGGCUCGUCCAUGUCCAUUAUCAUUUGGUAGAACACGGCAUCCUCGGAAUUGUUUUCAUUUAACGGCAGGUGCGUGGAGACGGGCUCGUCUGGUGGCGAAGGCACGCCUCCCGAUCUGGUUUGUUUGCGCCAAUCGGGCCACGAUCCUGGUUCCUGCUUUGUGGCGAGGAUUUGGAGCAAAUACGAUUCAGUCGAGUCCGUCGUCACAUUUGAUUGGCCAUGUCGUACAGAUGGCCAUGGUUUGGUUAGACAUGUGGUAUGUUCUGGGACGAGAGGAGUGGUGAGUGAGGGGUCCCGGAACCAGUCAAACUGCGAUGAAGUGGUAUUCCAUGCGGCCCUUUCUGUCACAGCAUGAUCGAUGGUUUCCUUAAAUGUAGAUCCGAGCGAAUAUGGAGGCUGAUCCGCGAGCAACCAAGUCCGAUGGCAGAGCUUCUCCUGAUUCUCAAAUCGGACGAACUCAUUGGAACGAGAUCGCUUCAACAUAUGGCCUCUCCCCUCAUAAAAGCGCGACGAUGAGGUUGUUUCCUCGUGGCAAGGGAAUGUAUCACUGGUCGAAAGUAUCCUGGUUGCAAGCGCUGCAAGAGGAUCACAAUUCCGAAACUGUGAGCUGAAUGCCUGCAAAUCCGAUUGCUGGGGUGUCUGCAGCGAAAGUGCCUUUGCGACAACCGAUUCAGGACUCGUGUUAUUUCCCUCCAGUAACCCCCUGGUUCUCUUUGCUGCGGCGAAAGUGAACAUGUUCACUGUCUUGAAGUUCCUCGAAACACACAACUUACACGAAUGGCCAAAAAUCCCAAUACCCUCACAAUUCUAGUGUACACACAAUUUUCUCCCGUCCUUCACGUCUACAUCAUCACAACAAGACGCUUAUUCCAAACGUAAUUCCUCAACUAACUUCUACUUCAAAAAGACUUCACCCUCUUGUCACUUGCUGAUUGAUAACCUUCUAACCAACCAACCCAUUUCUUCCCUUCAUACUUCUACAAAUUCCUUCAAUUUCUGAACUGUCGCUUCUCUUGGCCAAAUAACGAUUCCAUAAACCAGCAUAGUGCUCAAGUCAAGCUCCAUCGGUGCAAAUUUUGACCUCUCGACACUGAGGCCCUAAAAAGUCCAAUGCUGGACCUGCAUCAGGAAAAACGAUCCGACUUAAUCCAGUCGACUCACAUACAGUUUCACAGUUCGACUCAACGAGCGAAACUGGCGCUUUACAAGUGAGACUGAUGCGGCACACUGCAUGACCCAGAGACGGGGCAAGGGUGUCAUUUAAAAUGGUGCGAUCUCGGGAGGAAAGGCAAUAGGAAACUUACGUCAUGAAUCUGGACGCCGCGACACAACAGAUGCUUCGCAAUUGAAAUUCUAUGACUGUGAUUGGGUCCCGAUGCAACACAUAGGCCUGCAGCACACUAUUCGAAAACUCAUACCCAACCUAAUCUUGUCACUGGUUCUUUUCUACUUGGGAAACUCGGUGGUGGCCUAUUCUUAACCGCUCUCGCCGCUCAGAUUCCCCAUACACAAACAGCUUUUAUGAGUUGUACCCGGGUUUACUUUUCGUCGUUGCGGAUCUUAGUCUCCUACUCUCCCGCGGCGCGAUUUCCAAUGCGGGGCAGGUCAAUUCUGCUUUCAAAUCCGCGACAAUUUCUGCUGUCUUUACUCGCGUUUUUAACGUAUCGUUGCAUGUGUGGCUCGCGACCAUCGCUUGACUCUCAGAUUUUCGUAAACAAUCCGGAACGGAGUUGGGGCGGUGGAGCCCAUCGAUCCCCCUUUCGGUAUCGCCCGACGCUUCUUCGAACCAGUUCGAUGACUCCGCUCUGGAGGCACAUGCUCCGUUCACACAGCGCAUCGUUGUCGGUAAAAUUUCCCUGUUCGACGAAUGCAUAAACACUUUGCCAUGCAUUCGUCCAAAAUUUUCUGUUUUUGUGUACGUGCAGAAGUUAAAGCCUUAAGUCAUGCACAUCACCAAGGUGAGGUAUUUAGAUUAUGGAUGAUUUAUUCUUAUCUCAUCAAUGCAAUAAAAUCACCUUAUUUUUGUCGAAAGGUAAACGAAACUGAAUGAUGCAAAAUUAUAUAUAUACUACAUUCAAAGAAGUAAAUAUAUCAUAAACUAACUUAAUUGGAAAAUCUAUGUUUAACACACAUUCAUGCACUGAAACUUACAUAUACAUCUUUUGAUUUCUAAACUUUUAAGCGUGAAGAACUUGUACUGUGUUCAUGUCUAUUUCUAUAAUUAGGUUACAUUCAUGAUUAAUGACUGGUUCAAUUUUAAACUCAUAAAAAAACAAAAAAAAUAUAUAUAUUUCUAUUUCUGUUCUCUAGUAGAAAAACUUGAAGUUUUAAAAAAACAAUCAACUGUGAAUAACAAAAUAAUUCUGUGUUAAUUUGAUUUAUCAAGAUUAUUUAAUUAUUUUCAACAAUGCACGUAAGGAAAUUAUUUUACUUUUGAACCUUUGCACACAAAAUUGAUUUGUUGAGUGUUUGUUCCACUGUAAUGAGUAUUUUGCCUUGAUCUGCUUAUUUAUUUUGUUUUUUUGGUAUCACACAUCUUAUCACCAACAUUCAUUGACUCUCACGUCACCCUGAUUAAUACCCAAGUCAACACCUGCAAAUAAAUCAUUCUUUUUAAACUAUUCCUUUUAAUGUUAACUAUUCACUUGAUAUAAAAACUGAUAAUGGCUUUUGAAAAUGAAGAUGUAAUUAAUUUUCCACAAGCAGUAUUUUCCAAUACAUACAUGCAUGGUCCUAGAAAGAGGUAUUGGAGAAAAAUGUAAAAACCGUCCCAUAAAUCGGCAGAAUUUUUUAUUAUUUUACAUUUUUUAAUUUACAACACAAAACCAUAGAGGAGCUGUAUGAGGAAGAAUAUGCAAAUAUGAAUUUGUAUUUGUUGACAAAAGAAAAAAAAAAAAAAAAAAAAAAAAAAAGAAAAAAGAAAGAAAGAAAGGGAAGAAGUAAAUGAUUGUCAUUUUUUGUAUUAUUAUUAUUAUUAUUAUUAUUAUUUUUAAUGUGAACUAAUAAUCUAUUCUAGUGCACCAAUUUAAGAAGUAAUAACAAUCCUUAUCUCUGCUCUCUUGAUAUCUCUGCUCCCUUGAUAUCUCUGCUCCCUUGAUAUCUUUAGGUAUCAAGGGAUAAGGUGUCUAUUGUAACUCUUUUAUUCAAUCAAUGCAUUGGAUAUACCUUGUUUGUGGUGUCAAAUCAUAAAAUAAAAGAAAAAUAAUAAAUAAGAAAAGUAAAAAAGAGAUGAAAAGAAAAGCCAAGAAGACAUGAGAAAAAAGACAAAAAGAGAUGGAAAAAAUGACAAGGUAGAGUAUUUAUUGCAUGGCAUAAAUAUUGCUUUUAUUUGAAUUUGUAAUAGACUUACUUUAAGAGUUGUUUUUUUUAUAAAUUUUGAGAGAUUAUAUCAAAUUUCUCAAAAAAAAUUAUUAAAAAUUUGAAAUGUUGAUUUUGUUCACAUUUAUAAUUAUUUUCAUAAUUAUUAAAAUUAAACUUGUGUAUUUAGAAAUAUAAAUAAAACAAUGAAUUGAUCCAAGAAGUAGCUUCUUAAAACUCUAUACUAUCUCCGAAGGUCAAGACUUCCAAAGGACAAAUAUUCUUCGCUAAGAAAAGAAUUUCAUAAGGCUUUUAAACUAUGUUCUUUAAAAGUUGAUUUUGGCCUAAAAAUCCAUAAGUUACAUUAGAUUGGUUAAACCAUUAAUUUAAUUAAGAAGAAGUAAGACAACAAUACAAACUUCAAAAAUAUAUAUAUAUAUAUAUAUAUAUAUAUAUAUAUGAAGACAAAUAAAUUUAUAAGAAGUAUAAAAAUUUAAUUCAAAAAAUAAAAAUAUUUUCAUGCAAAAUAAGAUAUAAUAUUAUUCAAAAUAUUUGAAUAAUAUCAUUUGAAAUUAUUAAUACAUAGCUUAAAAUUAACUGAAAUAAAAUACCAUUUAAAAAAUAUAUAAUUGAAGAUUGUUUAAUUAUACAUAUUAAUUAAAAAAACAAAAAAACAAAGAAAAAAAUUCAUAUUAGUAACUAAGCUAUAUAAAGUGUUGUUGGUGUAAAAUACAAGGAAGAAUGAUUUACAUUUCUUUUGUAUUUGGAUAAACCAAAUAACACUUUGAGUGAAAAAGAGAAUACUAAAAUAAUUAUACUAAAGAAACAAAAAGAAAAGAAAAAAGUUGCAUAUUUCAUGAUAUUUUUAUGUGUAUUCUUAAAAGAAUUAUUACAAAAAUAUAAUCAAAAAAAAAAUAAGAAUCUAUUUUAAUUAUAAAGUAGCCAUAUAAUUUUGAUUAUUUUAUUAAUCAUUUCCAUAUAAUCAAUGUGAAAAAAUCGCCUUAACAAAUAGUAUUUCUUUUUAAGAGAUCCUUCAUAUAAGAAGUAGAAAUUUCAGAACUAAUUAAUUUAUCAUCAUAAAUAAAAUAAAAUAAAAUAAAAACUAUGUGAAAAACUUGCUUAAAAGCUUUGAAUGGUUCUUGUCUCUGAGUCUGCUUUAAUUUUUUGAAAUGGGUCCUUUCAAGGUUCUAUGAGUUAAGGCAUAAAACUUCAAAACCAUAUCUAACUAUAAAUCUUAGAGAAAGUAUAGAAUUUUUUUAUAUAUAUCUAUGAGUUGUAUAUGUCUCAAAGAAAAAGAAAAUGUCUAAGAAUAAUAUCUCUAUUUUUGAUAAUGCCCAAAGGUAGAAAAUAUUAUCAAAGAAAGUUAAAUUAAUGACAUGAUUUUAUUAUUAUGAUGAAUUUCACUAUUUUUUAUUUUUUAUGGUUUUUUAUUAGAUUAAUAUUAAAUAUUAAAUAUUUAAUAUAUAAUAUUUAUUAGGAUUAAAUCAAUAUUAUUCUCUCUCUCUCUCUCUCUCUCUAUAUAUAUAUAUAUAUAUAUAUAUAUAUAUAUAUAUAUAAAAAAAAAGUUAAAAUAUUUAUGAGAUUAUUAAUGUAAUCCUGAAAUAUCAAUAAUCUUUUUAAAGAUGAUAUUUUUAUCAUUAUGCAAGUCAUAUAGAAUUUUGAAAUAUUGUCAAGGACAUAAAUCAUAACAAAACUUUAUAGAAGCAUUAUAUUCUUGUGACAUUUAAAGAUAAAAAUUAGAUAUACCAUGGAUAGUUAUAAAUUAGACAUUAGAAUGGCUAUUAUCAAACACAAAAGACUAGAAUUUUUUUAAAAAAGACUAAUAACAAAAAAAAACUUUAAUAAAAUGACAAAGGCUUCAUUCUUGCUUUUAAUAUAUACUAUCUUAUUAGGAGCUAUAUGAAAACUUUCUAUAGGUCAUUCAAUACCUAUCUAACUUGUGGAAUACAUGUCUAUCUUACAAUACAAGUUUCUAAUAUAUAUGCUACACGAAGAGCUUAUAUAAUAGUAAUCAACAUGUACAAUAUGUAGCUAAUUUCUUUGUUAAGUUUUUCAACCUACUAAUCAUCUACCAAUACUUAGAAAGUCAAAACUGUAUCUAUAUAAUUUCUAAGAAGCUUUUCUAUAAAAAAUUAUAAAAUUUGCUUGCUUCUACUUAUUUCUAUCUUAUUCUUCUAAACUUAAUAAUUAUUAAUAUAUAUAUAUAUAUAUAUAUAUAUAUUUAUUUAUGUGCCAUUAUCCAUCUUUCUCUUUUCUAGAAACAAGUUCUACAAAUAAAACUAAUCUCAUGUUUAUAAAGUUAAAAAUACAACAAACUAUAUUUGUCAUAUUUUCUAUUUUUUUCUUUUAAUCAAAGAUAGUUGAUGGGCCCUCUCAAUCAUUGAUAAUGUUCUAUAAUAAAGCAAAAAUAACACCCUAUUAUUUGAUCAUUAUUGAGGCUUUAUAACUUCUUUCAAAUAAAAUAUUAAAAAUAUCAUUUGAAGUAAUUUCUAUUUUAAUAAUAUCAUCAAAUAUAGAUUUUUAAAAAAAAUUGUGAUACUCAACACAUUAUAUUUUUCCAUCUAUUCAAGAAAGUACAUAAUUUUUUAAAAAGUCUUCAUCUUUUUUAUAUUGUCUUGAAUGUUGAAAUAAUUUUAGUAUUUUUUUAAAUUUGUUUGCAAAUAAUAGCGCUUGAGUUGAAUUUAUGUAAGUUCUACCAAUACAACUUAAUUGGUAAAUAGAUUAAAAGCAUAGUUUUAGGUCUGUUAAUUAUACAAAUAUUAAGGUUAGAAAUUCUUUUUGACUAUUAAAUUAUUUAUUAAGAAUUAGAAGUAUUUAUAAGUUACAAAAGUCUUAUUAGAAGAAAAGUAAUAAAAAUGGAGUCUUAGUAAGUCUUAGAAGUAAUAAUCUUAGUUGAUUUAGUAUUUUUAUUUAUAUUUAUUUAUUUUUAAUUAUUAAAGAUUAAUUAUUGAAACUAAUGUCUUUAUUAGCCUCCUAUCUAUAUAUGUCACUUUAAAAAAAUCCUAUAAAUGAUUAAUUAGUAGUUAGAAAAAACAUAAAAAGAACUUCAUAUUAUUUUAAUUAAUUAUAUAAAAAAUAGGAUUUUUAGUGGAUUUAAAUUGAUUUUAUUUCUAUAAAAAAUCACCAAGAUAAGAAAAUAUGGCUUUAAAUAUGAAUUUAAAUAAAUAAAAAAUUUAAAAGUUUUUCAAAAUUUAUUUAGGAAUUUUUAGAAAAGAUUUCAAGACUUUGGUAAAAAUGAGUUUUACCACAUUGGAAGCCAUUAUAAAAAAAUGGAACAAGAUUUGAAGUCCAUACAAGAUUCUUAAGCUAUUCAUAUUUUUAAAUACCAUAGUGAAGUCAAAAAUUCAAAAAUUUGAAUUUUGUUUCAUAGAAAAUAUGAGUACCAACACCAUUGUAACGAAUCAAGUAGAAGAUUUAGUAGACGUAGAUAAGCUCAUUGAGCAGUUUACCAAUAUAGGAUUUAAGUUGGAAACAAGAAAUAGACUUAACAGGAACAAGUUUAUGUCUUCUAAUGAGUAUUUGCUAUCUUGCAUGUACGAGUCUCUAGUGAUGACAAGGACAAAGUAGACUUAAUAGAGUAGUAAGCUAGUUGUAAUAUAAUAGAUUUUUUUUUAUCUAUUAGUGCCACUGAUUUUUUUAUUAUAUGCUACAAAGAAACACCAUCUGCUGUUGUUACAAGCACUCAUCAUCAUGGACACCAGACAUAAGAUAUUAACAUUGACACCUAUGCUACUAAGUAGAGCACCCAAGAAGGUAUACUCUUCACCUGCGCAAGAGUCUCACAAGUACUUUUCACAGAAGGUUGAAGAGAUAGACACAUCAGAGGUGUUCACCUACACUCCAGAGAAAGUCCUUUCCAAGGAAAAGAUCAAGUAUGUUGUAUCUCGAACAGUUAAUAGAAACAUGCUUGUAGCGAUUGAUCUUCUUAAGCAACUAAAGAACACCAACAACAUUAGUAAUAUCAGCAGUGCAGACUUUGAAGCUCUUAUUACUAAACCUCUUGAUAAGUUUCUUGAUGGAAGAGUAAUUAAGAAGCAACAAGAAAGAACAAACCCGUUUGAUACUCCUAGGGAUGUCACAGGUUCCUUUAUUAAGCUCUUAAACAUACUCAAGCGACAAGGUGCAGAUGUUACAGCUAUCAAAGUCAAAGACAAUCAAUCAUCAUUGUCAUCUGCAUCAAAGUUGCUUAGGAUGUACAUAUCAAACAAUCUAGAGAAGAAUGGAAGACGAAUAGUACUUGAUCCUACACUUAAAAAUCUCUUUUCAGAAGACCAGAUACAAGAUUUGUACGACAAGAACAAAGGAAAGUUCAUAACACAAGGUCAGAUACAAAAGCUAGCAUCUCUCUUAGUAACAAAAAGUGCAUAAAAAAAACUUUUUUUUAUUCUAGAUUUAAUCUAUACUCCCAUCCGUUAAGGUCACAAAUCUUGAUAUCCUUCUUCGAUAGAAGUGUCAUCUCAUCAUCAUACAUGUGUCCAAUAGCCAUCAUCUUAUUAUCGACCUCAGCGAAUAUGACCUUGGUGUUUAGAUCAACGUAUACGUCUUCCAUAUGCUCAAUAGCUCGUAGCUUCAUCUCUGCUGGUAAUCUCCUUUGCUGUCUCUUUAUACCAAUGACAUCACAGAAGUUAUUUAUUUGUUUUUGCUUAGUAUCAUUAAGGAGCCCAUCAGCUUUCAUCAUCAUGUUCAAAUGCCUCUUACAAAACUCAGAGUUUGUUGUUCUUGGAAGAGAACACUUCCUACCCUUGUUGGCACCACUUUGAAGUACCUUCUCGCAUGUUUCUGCGUCGUUUCUAGAGGGUUUAGAGCUAGAUCCUAUUACGAUGGAGAUAUCAACAGAUUGAAACGUUCUUGAUGCUACACUAUUUAUAAUGUCAGUGUGAGCUUCAAGAUCUGGUAUUUGCUGUAUCAAGUUUGCAAUGAAGUUUUGGCACAAGGCCCAAUUGAGUUGGACACCAACAUCUUCGAGGGCACUCUUCAACUUGGUGACAUCAAAGGAAUCCAUAUCUUAUUACUUGUAUCUACCCUGAAAUGACUUUAAGGAUAGAUAAACUAGUACAAUAAUUAGUAUGUCUAACGAGGAAUUAAUAAUACACGCUCCCCUAUAGUCUUAUGUUAAAGAGGCAUGCAUGAGACAAUCCCAUUGUCAGUUACAGAAGCUCAAUGAGAAUGAAAGACAAGCAUUUAUUGCAAGGCACUCUCAAGCUCAAGUAUGUCCUGGAGAAGAUGUAGGUGUCAUAGCAUUACAGUCUAUUGGACAACCAACCACUUAGAUAGCUCUCAGUUCAUUUCACAGUGCUGGUACUACAGCUGUAGAGGUACUCGAGGGAAUACCUAGACUAGAAUCUAUUUUGAACUGUUCAUUCAAGCAAUCAACAUCAACUAUACGUACUACAAAGCAUACAAGUCUUUCAGACUUUGUAUAUCUUACUAUUCCUGAUGUAAUGUCAUCGUACUAUAUAGAACAUGAUUUAGACUCUUGGUGGUAUACAAUAGCAGAAAAGCACAACUUCUAUAUAGCUCCUACUAGUUACAACGAAGAUGUUGUAUUUAGAAUGAUCGUUGAUAGUAAGAAGAUGAGAGCUUAUAUAUAAGCUUGAAGCUGAUGAGAGAUAGAAUUGCUGAGUCAAUGUAUGGAAAUAACAACAUAUGUGUACUUAUCUCUCCAGAGUUUGAACAUACUAUAGACAUAGCAAUACAACGUGCAGCAAAAAGCAAAGAUAUAGAGAUGUACGUAUAUGGUCUAGUCAAGUCUAUAAUAUUCCCUAUACAAAUCUGUGGCAUUAAAAGUAUAGAACAUGUACUCAUCAACAACAAUGAAGUAAAGACAAAAGAUUCUAAUCUAAUGAGUACAUUAGGACUUGACUUCGUGGAUACUAAGUUUACCAUCUCUGACUCAGCUGUAGACGUUCUCAAGUGUCUAGGGAUAGAAGCUGCAAGAAAUGUAUUAGUAAGAGAAUUAUCAAAGGUACUUAAGGGUGAUGUACGCUUUGAUGACAAGCAUAUUAAUCUGCUUGCAGACUUCAUGACAAACAAAGGUAAGAUAGUACCUGUGAAUAUAUCUGGAAUGGUUGAAAGAGGUCAUAGCUACCUUACUAGAGCAUCUAAUGAAAGGACAAUGGUUGAGUUAGCUAGAGCUGCAUGCAAGGGAGUAGCAGAACUGGUACAAAGUAUAUCCGAUAGUAUAAUAAUAGGUAGUAGAUCAAAAGUAGGAACAAGUAUUGUUGAUAUACUUUACCACACUUAACAAUGUUAUAAAAAGUUUUUUUUAUGAUAAGAUAUGAAUGUUAAGCAUAUUUUAGACCUACUUUAAUAUUAGCUAUGGAUAGCUCUUGGACUAACAAUUUAAAGCUGUAAGGUAAACGAUGCUCCUUUGUGUUCCUUCCGUUACAAUUAAUGCAUGGAUUACUAGAGCAUAUCGUACUACAAUCAUGACAUAUCCAUACUUCACACAAAUCAGAAGUGUUUUUUAGCUUCUCAAGAAGCAUUGAUGCUGCUCCAUGCGCUAUAAGACAGUCCUUCUCCAUCUCUCCAAAUCGCAGUCCUCCUUUUCUUGAUCGUCCUUCAACUGGUUGCUUUGUAAGACUUUGUAUAACACCUUUGGAUAUCGAAUGGGCCUUGUCUCUAGCUUGAUGUCUAAGAGCGUGGUAGUAACAUAUACCAGUUGCAACUCUUGCUUCUAUAGGUAAUCCUGUAGUACCACAGUACAUCUUCUCUUUAGAGAGUUUAGCUAUAUCAGCUUCAAAGCUUCUAUAAGCCUUGUUGAAUGCUGUUGCAUCUAUGCAACUGCUCUCUCUAGACUUCGGCUUUGAAGGAAGCAUUGGGUCUCUAGCAUUGUUUGAGUCUAGCACGUAGAUCUUACACAUUACCAUCUUUAGUAGGUGACCCAUAGUCAUCCUACUAGGUAUUGCAUGAGGAUUGAUUAUAAGAUCAGGUACUAUCUCAUCUUUAGUAAAUGGUAAAUCUUCUUGUGAUAGAAUAGCUCCUAUUACACCUUUCUGUGAAUGCCGUGAUGUGAACUUAUCUCCCACGAUAGGAAAUCUGUAUAGUAAUAUUCUUACUCUAACUAUCUUGUUCCCUUCUGCACUUGUGUGUUUAGUUACUUUAUCAAUCCAUCCCGAUACAAAGCUCUUCAGUACUAUCUUCUCUAUGCUUUGUUUCUUUUCUGUUAUUACAAGUUUAGCAGCAAUGGUAUCACCAUCUUUUACUUUCUGACCAAUCAACACAAUGCCAUCGUUGUCACGUAAGAUAUCUCCAUCUGGAAUGUAUAUAAGAGUUUCGUUCAUAAACUUGUUCUCGAUGAUUUCAACAACUUCGUAUUUAAUGCUUGAGAAUAGCCCUCUGUCUAUUGAUGACUUGUUAAACAACAAAGAAUCCUCUUGGUUAUAUCCAGAGUAUGACAAUACACCAAUUACAACGUUUAUUCCAUUGUAUUCCUUUAUUGUGUUUGAUAUAGUCGUUGUACAUAUAGGCUUUUGAGCGUAUGUUAAUAUCUUUGAAAAUAUUAGUCUUGUACGAAGAAAGGUGCAUAAAUUCUAUAUGAGUUGUAGCACCUUGGAUGUAGGUAGAAAGAUAAGAAUAAGGCCUUAAGGCUUCUUUAAGCAACUUAUAUAUACUACAUGUGAUCUUAAGUGAGGCUUGAAUCUUUAAUUUGUAAGUAAAUUAUCUUUGCAGUAAAAUAUUUUCACUUAAUUUUUUAACUAUUCACUUCUUAUUUUUAAACUUUUAUAAUUUAUUCAUAGUAAUUUGGAUUUAUAUGUUGUUUAUAUCAUUAAAAAGAUAAUAAAAUUAUCUAUCUAAAAAAUAUUUUUAGUAUUUAUUUUUAUUUUUUACUAGGUAAAAACUAAAUGAACAAAUUAUAGAUUACUUUUGUUGUAUGUAAUUGCUUGAUUGCACUUAUUUCACUUAUUUUAUAUUAUUCUUACUUUUUUUCUUAUCUAUUGCAUCUUCUACUUCACACCACUAAUUACAAUAAACUUUUAAUUAAGAUAAUCUUAUAAUUUGGAUCAAGAAAAAAUAAUUAUCUUCAUAAUUAAUUAAUCAUUGAUUUUUUAUCUUUAUAAUAAUAUAAAUAUAUAAAAACCACAAAUAAGUUUAGAAGAUAGAAUUUAAUCUGUAUUGAACCUCAUUUGUUUUAUAAAAAAAUAAUUUUUAGUUAUUUAUCUUAAUUUUAAUGGAUGUCAACAAUAAAAAGCAAUAAUCUUCUUUGCUGCAUCUAUAAGAUUCCUAGAUAGUUUCCAUAUCAUAUUUGGAUUAAUAUACAAGAUAUUUUAACCUAUUUUGGCACAACCUUAAAUCUAAAAUAUCUUCUAUUACAAACUCUUGAUUGUGUUCUACUUCUAUGGAAAAAAGUGACAUUUUGCUUCUUCUUGUUAUAUUCUAUAUCUUGUAUAAUUAAAAAAAAGAACAUAUGAAAUAUACAUUGGAUAUUUACAGAUAUAAGUAGGUAUAAUUGAUAUACAAUUAUAUUGAUUUGAUUACAAAUAAAAUAUGAUUUAAGUCUACAAUAAUUCAACUUAUCGUAAGAACCAAUAGUCUUAAUAUUGUAUCAAAGUAACUAUAUUUUGUUGCCAAUGUCAAAUUGAUGUUGUUUUUUGUAAUGUAUAUCUUAUUUAAUCUUUUAUUAUUUUUAAGCUUUACAUAAUUAUAUUUUUAUUUUUUUAUAUAGCUUUGAUAAAUAAUUUGCCAAAUCUUUCAUUGUAUGAUUAAUAACAUUUACAAAAUCAAAGAUAUCAAAUUAUGAAUAAUAAUCUUAAUUAAUAAAAAAAUUUAAAUAUUGUUAUAUUAUAUUAUAUUAUAUUAUAUAAUAAAAAUUUAUUAUAUUAUAGGCAAACUCUACAAAUGACAUAACAAUUGUCUAGUUAUUUAGAUAAUAGUUGAUGGUACAUCUCAAAUACUAUUUUUAAACUUAAUUUAUUUGUUUUUAUUUAUCCAUCAAUUUGACAGUAGAAGAUGGAAAAUAAUUAAAUAUCAAAUUUUAAUAACUUAAAAAAAUCAUGAUUUAGAUAAAAUUUAAGUCUUUCUAUUCAUAUAAUAUUCCUUGAAAAUUCACAAUAGUAAUAGAUGUCCAAAAAAAAUAAAGCUAUUCCUUUAUUUAUAAUACUUUUUGUACGUGGUACAAAAUAUGCCAUUUUAGUGAAGUAAUAUACAAUUAUAAAUAUAAAUCAUAAGAGCUUGAAAUUAAAGGAUCAAUAAUAAAAUUCUUAAAAAUUUAAAAAUAUAAUUAUUUAAAUAUAGAUAAUGGAUAUAAAAGUCUAUUAGAAUAAUGAUAAAGAAGUUUUGAUCUUCAACAUACAUUACAUGUCUAUACAAAGUCUUUAUCUUCCUUCUACAUUUGAAGCCACAAAAAUAAUCCUUGAAAUUAAUUCUAAAAUCUUAUUCUAUCCAAAAUAUUAUAUAAUUGAAAAAAAAUUUGGAGCUUGAAAAGCACAUAUUUUGAAAUACAUUAGUAUUCUUUGAUAUAAAAAAAAAAUCUUGCAUUCAAACCUAGAAGUAUUAUGAAAUAUAAAAAAAUUUAUUCUUAAUAUCAUGCAUAAGAAGAUUUGAGAAUAUAUUUAAUUAAACUAGAUCAAAAAAUAUUGAAUUAAUAAUUUAUAUUAAUUUUUUUGUCUAAAGAUGAAAUUUCUUUUGCUUCUAAAGAAUCAUUUUUUGUUAAACAAAAGCUACAUCACUUUCUUUUAGUGCAAGAUAAAAAUACUUAAUAAGAGUAUUUAACAAAAUUUUUCGUUUUUUCGGCCAAUAAGUAUUCUUAAAUUCAAAUCUUGGUAAAGACAUGCUCUAACAAGCUUAGCAAUAAUUUAAAACAUGUAUUGACAUAAAAUACUUGAGAUUCUUGUGAUUUUUAUAAAAAAAUUACUAGACUAAAUUAUUAUUUAAAUAAUGAUACCAUUCUUAAAAUAAAUCCAUAAUUGUAAAAAGAUUUUUAUUAUAGAUGUUAUAUUAAUUGUGAUUGCUAAAAAGUUUCUUAAAUAUAAAACUAAUAGAUGUAGUUUAUCAUCUACUUUCAUUUGUGGUAAUAUUGCACUCAAAUUAGAUUUUCAUGAGUUUUUUUUCUAAAAUAAGUAAAAAAAUAAAAACAAUAUAAAAUUGGAAUUAUAAUAAAAGUUAUAUUUAAAGCUUCAAAUGUUGCUUUAGCUUCUUAUUCCACUUAAAUUUGUCUUUAUAAGUAAAAUAUAUAAAAGAGAUAUAACUUGAAAGAAAUUAUUGAUAAAGAUAUGAUAUUAAUUAGAAAAUCUCAAAUAACACUGAACAUCUUUUAUUGUCACAAAUAUAUAAUUAUUUAGAUUAGAAAUAUUAGAUAGAAGGUAAAUAUGAGUAGAUUUGACAAUAUCUUAUAGAAAGACUUCUUAAAAGCUUCAAAGAUGCAAAUUUGUCUUUACACAUAUUUAUAGUUGAUUGAUAGGUUAAAAAGUGGACUAACAUGUUGGUUACACAUUAUACAUGUUGGCAACUUGUGGUACAAGUUGGCCAUGUGGUGUACAUGUAGAAAUUUAUUUUUGCAAGUUAGACACAUAGCUUCUAGUUAGAUAAUAUAUAUAUAUAUAUAUAUAUAUAUAUAUAUAUAUAUAGAAGUAAGAAUAAAGCCCUUAUGAUUCUUUUUAACAACUCUUUUUUUUAAUCUAAUUUCAAGAGUCUUUAGUCUUCUUGCCUUUAGCAAUAGCUAUUCUAGUUUUAAUAUUAUAUUAUUUUUGAGAGAAUGUUUAUUUUUUUUGAGUGACACAAGAAUGUAUUGAGAUUUUUAUUAUUUGUGAUUUAUGUCUUUGACACUUAUUUUUCUUAGAACCUUCCAAUCUAUGAUAAUUUGAACUUUCUUAGGAUCUAUUAUAAGAUUGCUAUUUAAAAUAAUAUAUUUUAAUAAAUUAAUUUGAGUUGUAUAAAAUAUAUAUACAUUUUAAAUCUUAGCAUAUAAUCUUUCAUUUCUAAGUUUUUGUAACACAUAAUAAAUAAAAAAAAUUAUUCUUUUUUGUAUUCUUAGAAUAGUUUAAAAUAUUUUUUAGAUAUAAAAUGAUAAAAUCAUCUAAUAAUUCUUAAAAGUAUAUUAUUCAUGAGACAUUAAAAAUCAUUUGGCAUAUUUGUGAAUCUAAAAGACAUAAUAUUACAUUCAAGAUGCCUAUACAUAGUUCAAAAUAAAGUCUUUCAUUUAAUUUUUAAUUUUUAAUUUUAUUUUUUAAAUAUAUCAUAUUAUGUAUUUAUUGUAUAUUUAUUUAUUUAUUUAUUUAUUUAAUAAAUAUUGAGAUUAAAGAUAGGAGGUACCUAUUAUUAAUAAGAAUUUUUUUUAAUCUUUAAUAAUCAAGGUACAUUUGUAGUGAUUCAUUUUUUUUUCUUCACAAAUAAAAUAGAUGCUUCUAUUGAAGAUUAUUAUUGAUAUUUAAAGUUCUUAGCCACAUUCUCAUUAGUAUAUUUCUUAAGUGAAGUCAAAUUAUUUUAUAAUAAAUUAUGGAUUAGUCAAAAUGGUAGUUGAACUCUUUUUUAAAGAUCAAUUGAGCAAUCAUAAGGAUAAUGCUUUAGAAGAGUAUGUGAAAUCUAUUUCUUAAAAACAUCUUGAUAAGCUUUAUACUAGCUUAGAAUGUUGCUUUAAGUCUUUUCAAUAUUAGAAAUGAAUGUGGCAUAUAUAACAAAAGACAACAUUUUUUUGUAGCAUGUAUAAAAGCCAUUGGAACUAUAAAUAAAUGUUUGGUCAUAUUAGACUUAUGAAUUUCCACUUAUUAGCAAAAGUCUCAAUUAUUCCAUGAAAAAAAUUAAUAUUAUAAGAUAUUCAAUCUAUCCAAGGAUUAUAUAUUUUUAAAAUGAUUGGAUUAAAAAGAUUGGAUCUAAUAACAUUAAAUAUUACUAAGCUAUUAUAUUCAUGUAUUGCUAUAUAUAUAAGAAUGAUUUUUUAGAUAGCACUUUCUAAAGACAAAUAAAAACCAUCUAUAACUUUUAUAUGUACAAGCUUAUUUUUCUUUCUUAAAAAUAUUUUAUGUUUUUUUAACAAAGUAUUCAUCUAAAAAUAUAUAUAUUAAAGCUUUUAAAUCUAACAAUGUAGAGACUUUGUAGUUUUUAGGUCCUAAAAAAAAUAUCUAUUACAAAAAAGGUGAAAGAUUUGAAUAGAUAUUGCAAAUGAUUCCAAUUACAUGGUUGUUAUUAUAAUUGAAGAAACUUGUUUUUUGACACAUUAUCUUUUUUGACAUCCAUGCUAUUUAUUUUACAGUUGCAUUGCUUCUUUAGAUAAUGUUGAAAAGUAUGCUUAGGUUUUUUACAAUAUAAAUAAAAUCUUCUUUGACAAUGUUGAGUCUUUUAUAUUCAAUAAAAAAUUUACUACAUAUUAUAUUAAUUUACAUAGAUGUUUGCCUAAAUAAAUAUUAUUUUAUUAUAUAUCUCUCUUAUAAUUGCAAUAGUAAAAAUAUCUGGAUUUAAUUAUAAAGUUGAUAUACUUGCUUCUUUCAAUUGUCCAACUUCUUUUCUUAGAUAUUAGAUUUCAUUGUUGACUUUUCCAAUAGGCAUAAAAAUAGUAUUUUAUAAUUGACAUUGUUAAUAUAUAAAAUCUUUGCUCUAAAAAUAUUGACAAGAUCAUGAAGAUUAGUAAUAGUUGCAAAUCUAUUUUUACUUCUACCAAAUUUAGUAUCCAUAAUUUUUUCUUUCAUCUAGUAUCCAUAAUUUUUAAUUUCAUCUAGUAUCCAAAUUUAGUAUCCAUAAUUUUUUCUUUCAUCUAGUAUCCAUAAUUUAGUAUGCAUAAUUUUUUCUUUCAUUUAGUAUCCAUAAUUUUUUCUUUCCAUAAUUUUUUUUUCUUUAAUAAAAAAAACUUUAAAAAAUCUAUAAAUAAAAUUAAAGAAGGAUAAUUUUCAAUAUCUAAUAUUAAAUAAAAAUCCCUAUAAAGAAAGAUAUUUUACUCUCUUUGAAAAAAGAAUGAAUGUUAUAAGACAAAAAAUAUUGAUUUAAAAGUGAGAAGUUUACAAUCUUUAAAAUACAACAAAAAAGUAGAAUAUUCUUUUUACUUUUUUUAAAAAAAAAGUAUAACAAAUUAACACUCUUGUCAAUAACAUGAAUUAUAACAAAACUCUACAAAAGUAUUAUACUCUUGCGAUAUUUAAAAAGAGGAAGUAAACAAAUUAAAAUUAGUUAUAAGAUAGAAACUAUAAUGACUAUUGCCAAAUAAAAGAAGACUAAGAAAGAAGAAAAACUUUGAUAAGAGUAAAGAAUGCAUCACUCUUGUAUCCAUAUUUACUAUCUAAUUAGAGAGCUAUGUACUAUUUACAUAUUUACUAUCUAAUUAAACAUUCUUUAGGUCAUUCAAUACGUGUCCAACUUAUGAUACAAGUUUUCAACAUAUGUGCUACAUGGAGAACUUGUAUGACAAAUGACUAACAUGUGCAAUAUGUACCAAAGUUUUUCAAACUACCAACACUUGGAAAAUCAAUUAGCAUCUAUAAAACUUCUAAAAAGCUUUUCUAUAAGAUAUAGAAUUUACUUACUUCUACUUACUUCCAUCUAACUCCUUUAAUAUAAGUAAUUACUAAUAUAAAUUUGCAUGUUUGUAAAAAAUUCAUAUUUUAAUCGUACAUAAAUAUUAAAUACAUUAACUUUAUUUGUAUUUAAGAGUUUGAAAGAUUAUUUUUUAUUAUAAUAUUAUUAUUUGAAUAUGUGUUUUUAAUGGCCUUACAUCAUCUUGUUAUUGUUAGUGAAUUAAAUCACUUAAUAUUUUUUUUGUAAGAAAGCUAUUUUAAAAAUGUAAUAAAGUCUUUAAAAUUUAAAAUUUUGCAUCAAAAGAUAGUAUGAAUAUUUGUAUGCUAUUAAGACAUCAUCUUGCUUUGCAAUUGUGUCUUAUUUGUGGUCACUCUUUCUAUAAAUUAUAUAGGAUAUUUUCAUGUUGGAUUGAAGAAAAACUAAAUAAAAACAACCUUUACUUUAACAAUGUUUUUAUAACAUUUUUAUGAUCCACAUUUUUAUGAUCCACCAAAACUUGGAGUGAUCCAUCUUUUAUUUUUAAAAUAAAUCAUUUGCUUUAAAAUCAAACAUAUGUGCUCAAUGAGGUUUGUUAGUAAACAUGUUAUCAAAAUGUUUGUUCCAACUGUUAAAUUCUAUGUGUAAAAAAAUUAAUCAGUACUUCAAACAGAAUAUGUACUUAAUUUUAAAAGUGUAAAGUAGGUUCAUAAGUUUGGCAUUUUGAUUUUAUAGUAACCAUUACUUCUUUAUAUUUAAGAAGCAUGUUAUUUUGUAUUCAAUAUAAGUCAUAUGUGUAUGUGUAUAUAUGCAAUUUUAAUAUGAAAAAACACGUUUGACAAAUGGAGUGCCAUUCUUAUGCUCAGGCAUAAUUGCUUUGGAUUUUUCUGAGGAAAAAAAAUAAAAAUGCUGGCUCACCUUACAAUUAUUUUUGUUGUUUCUGCUUAAAAAUAUCAUUGGCACAAUUUUAAACUAACAUUAAAAAUAAAUAAUUUAAAUCAAAGUAUUUCAAAGACUAAAGAUGCAGAAUGAGUUGAACAAUAAAUAGAAAAUGCAUUUUUAUGCUACUGCUCCAAGUGCACAUGUUUGUACUCAUAGCAAUCUUAAAAUUAAGAGCAAUGCUGCAAGUUGAUUUUUCAUAAAAAAUAUAUUGUAGUGAUUUCAUAUGGUUUUAGUCUUGAUAAAAAUUUAAGUUAUCAAUAAAUAUGUAUACAUACAUAUAGUAUUCAGAUAAAUAAGAAAAUUUACUUUUUUUUUUUUUUUUUUUUUUUUUUUUGUUUUUAUUCAUAUUUUUUGAAAACUUAAUAUAUUUUGAGAUUUUAUUUUUAAAGUAUUUGGUUAUCAUACAAAAUUAGAUGUUUUGAAAUACUCAGUUACCAACAAUAGUAUAAAUUUAUGACUUUGAUAAAAGUAUGACUAAAAACAUUCAUACCAAAGUUUAUACAUAUAUAUAUAUAUAUAUAUAUAUAUAUAUGUAUGUAUAUAUAUAUAUAUAUGUGUUUGGUUUAAACCGUAUUUAUAAAUUCACAUAAAACAUGCCAUGAAUAAUAGUAUUCCAAAAAAAAUUAUAAGAAAUAAUUUCAAGAAAUGAGGGCAUGAAUUUCUAAAUCAGAAACUGUAAAUCAAUUUGAUUCCUAAAUACUCAUAUACACCUAUGUGAGCAUACUUUUAAUGAUCAACAAAAGUAUAUAUAUAUAUAUAUAUAUACAUGUAUAUAUGUAUUAAAUACAAAAUCUAUCAUUCUACAGAUGUGACAUUCGGAAUGCAAAUGUAGACAACGAUUAAGCAUCAAAAAUUGACAUGGGAAUUCUGUUCUAUUGGGCUGUUCUGUUGGGGGUGGUUUGGUGGGCAUGGGCAAAAGGGGUUUAGAACGGCCAGAGGGCUUCAGAAUUAGGGUUAGGGUUUAAGGCCGCUUGCAGGCGUUGAGAAGGAGGACGACGAUGAUGACGGGUCAUCAUGGAGCUUUGGUUUGUGCCUUGUGAUGGGCAGAAUUGGAAAUUUGCUUCUCGAGUAGAGGAAGCUUAGAAUGAGCAAGUAGUCUUUGUGUUGCACUGCGGAUUCUGGGAAUGGCCCCAGGGAUGAAGGGCAAAUGUCUCGGGAAGGGAAGGGCACGCAGGGCAAAUUUCAGGGGGAAGAGAGUGGACGAGGAUGAGGAGAUUCAAUCCCUCGAGGCGCGAAUCGCCGCAGGAGCGCCUGCGCCAGGCACCAAUCCUCUUGCGUUCACAAUUGCCAAGGAAUCGGAUGAGAGUGGGAAGAAAGGGGAGCCAGGGGACGGGGAUGCUCUGAAGCCGUAUGCCGGAGCCAAGGAUUUCGCCGCGUUGCCUCUCUCGGACCGGACGCAAAGGGGUUUGAAGGAGCAUAAGUUUGUGCACAUGACUGCUAUUCAGAGAGCGGCGAUACCCCACGCGCUCUGUGGGCACGAUGUGCUUGGCGCAGCGAAGACUGGCAGCGGCAAGACGUUGGCCUUUCUCCUGCCGGUGAGGUUUCAAAUUUCAGCUCGAGUGUACCCAGGGUUUUGCAGUCGAGAAUUUCCGUAACUUGGGCUUUGCUGGAGUGAGUGGUUGUUUUUAGAGAGGUUUUCGAGCGUGAGCACCAUAGUUUUGGUUGUUCAUCGACGGAAUUCGAUCAUAUGAAUGGUUUUGCUGAAUUUGUUUCUUUUUUUCCUGUGGGCUUUUAUUUCCCUUGUUACUUCCGAGCUUUUUGACAUGUUUUCGGAGCUGGGUCCUCUCACAGUAGGUGAUGUAAAGAUUUGUCACCCCACCGAAAUAUCUUUCAGAUGCUUGCGUGUCUUUUGAAGCGAGAGAGAGAGAGAGAGAGAGAGAGAGAGAGUGAGAGAGAGAGAGAGAGAGAGUUUUUUUUUGCAGUUACAGGCUUUACUCGUGUUCACAGGAUUGAGGUGUUUUAUGACGUGCAGGUAGUUGAGAAGCUGUAUCGAUUGAAGUGGGGUGCUGUGGAUGGAGUUGGUGCCAUCAUCAUUUCUCCCACACGAGAACUUGCAGGUCAAAUUUUCGAUGAGCUUCGAAAAGUCGGCAAACACCAUUCAAUUAGUGCAGGGCUGCUUAUAGGAGGGCGAAAGGGAGUGGACACUGAGAAAGAAACUGUAAUGAACCUGAACAUAUUGGUUUGUACCCCUGGCCGGCUGUUGCAACACAUGGACGAGACACCGAACUUCGACUGCUCACAACUUCAGGUGAGUUGGUAGAAGGACACAAAGUCUCGAUUUUUUCACUAGUUGCAGGGUACUGCUCCUUGGAUACUGCAAUUUUGUUUAAUUAAUAAUCUGGCUUGCUGACAAGUUUUCAUAAUAUUCAUCUAAAGAAGCUAAGCUUCUCUUACGGUUCAGCUGAAGCCAAGGUGUGUUUCUUGCGGUCAUGUGGAAUAGGUGCUGGUGCUCGAUGAGGCAGAUCGCAUCUUGGACAUGGGGUUUUCUGGAACUUUGAAUGCUAUACUGGGACAACUUCCUAAGGAGAGACAGACAAUGCUUUUCUCCGCCACACAAACAAAGUCGGUAAAAGAUUUAGCUCGUCUGAGCUUACGAGAUCCUGAAUUUUUGGCAGUUCACGCAGAAUCUGCAGCGGCUACGCCAGCUAGGCUUCAACAAACUGUUAUGAUCGUCCCUUUGGAUGAGAAGAUGGACAUGCUCUGGAGUUUUGUAAAGACACAUCUUCAAACUAAGAUGCUCGUCUUUCUAUCUAGUUGCAAACAGGUAGAUGGUGCACCUAGUGACUUCAUUGUGCGUUUGUCCUAUUCUCUAGCUGCAACUAUCGGACGCAUUAUAUCCACAGAUUACAUGCGACGCUUACGUGCUUUGCUGUGUUGAGCAGGUGAAGUUUGUACAUGAAGCAUUUAGACGACUUCGGCCUGGUAUACCUUUGGCCUGUUUGCAUGGGCGCAUGAAACAAAUGGCAAGAAUGGCCACUUUUUACAAAUAUUGUGAAUCUAAGCACGCACUCCUCUUUGCUACUGAUGUCGCAGCACGAGGAUUGGACUUUCCAACUGUUGAUUGGGUCCUACAGGUAACCGUUGAAUUAUUUGGUAGUUGUAUUUCAUCAUAACCUCAAUUUUCCUGGUAUGAUUCGCGUCUCUAUAGAUCUUUCUUAUGCGACAAAUGUCUGCUUUCAUUUAAGCAUUUAAUAAGUAUCUUUAUACAUGGCCCGUCUCCUAAUCAAAUAACAUGCCUAAACAGGUAGAUUGCCCUGAAGACGUGGCCACUUACAUUCACAGAGUGGGGCGUACUGCCCGUUACACUGCAUCUGGCCAUUCUCUUCUCUUCCUUGCACCGUCAGAGGAGCCUAUGCUGGCUGCAUUGGAGGCGGCGAAGAUUCCUGUGAGAUUGAUCAAGGUUGGGCUACUUAUCAUUUACGUACUUCUAAUAGCUUUUAAUAGAUAUUUGUUUGAAAGGAUCUGUGAAGCUGUUAAUUUUUUUGCCUUAGCAAAGCCUUAACAUUUUUAGCUUAAAUUCUUGCAUUUCAUUUCGUGCUUGUGCAUGCUUUAAUGGGAUUAUCUUUUUUACUUGCGUUGAGAGCUGCGUUGUGAACAUGACAGGCAAACAAGGAAAAGGUUCAACCUGUAUCAGGGGCUCUCGCCGGAUUACUAUCAAAAGAUCCAGAUUUGAAGUACAUGGCUCAACGAGCAUUUACAACAUAUCUCCGCGGUAUACAUGUACGUGCAGAUAAGUCAAUUUUUGAUGUAACUCAACUUCCACAUGCCGAGUAUGCCGCAUCAUUGGGAUUGCCCACAACGCCGCGCAUCCGUUUCCUGAAGAGAGGGGUGAAGGGUGGCAAGAAUAUUCAAGGCUCAGAGCAGGUAACUACUCACUUUGCUGGCCAAGUUCCAUGGCUGGAUAUGCAGAAGAUAGUUGGCAGUUUCUUUGUUUACCUCUGUUUAUCUCUCGCCUCUAUCGCCUCCUUACCUUUCUUUAUUCGCAUUCAUUUUAUCAAUAGUGCAGUAUAGGGAGUAAUUUCGCUGUAAGAACAGUUGUUUUGUAUCUUUGUUAUGCACUAUGUUGAUUCGUUGUCCAUGGUAUCUCAAUUAACAGACCAAAGUUUUGUCCAGGAUGUUGGUGGAGGAACCGACGAAGAAAAUGAUGGGGAAGAUGAGGCUGAACCUAUGACCACUUUAGAUGACAAAGAAGAGACAACUAAGGAGACAAAUGGUCUUACAGCGAAGAAGAAAAACAAAUUGGAUCGACUUUUUGCCCGGAAAAACAAUGACGUUCUCUCUUCUGCAUUUGACAAAAUUAGAGCACAUGACGAUGAUGAGAGUGAUGGUGAGGACAACAGUGACGCUGACGAGUUUUUGACUAAGAAAAGACCAAGAGAGCAGGGAGAGGCGGACGAGUUCCUGACAAAGAAAAAACCUAAAUCAGACGCUGAAGAAGUAGAGGGCAAAGCAAUGAAAAUGAAAAGGUGGGACGUAAUUCAGUGCAGAUGCCGUUCCCGUCGUAGGAGUUUUUCAAAACACUCGUUAUUACUAGUACAUUCAUUUGCGUAUUCGCCGACAAAGGUAACAGUAAUACGCUUGGAAUUGUUCUCAAAGAAGUAAACGGUGUUUUUUGUUCCUGCAGCUCGGGUGUCAAGAUCUUGAAAAAGAAUAAGUUGAAGAUAGAUCCUAGUAGGGCUGGAGCACAUCGCAUGGUGUUUGACGAUGAGGGUGUUGCUUUGCCUCCCUUAGAAGCUCUUGCUAGACAAAGCAAAGAAGUACUCAGCGCCCCACCAGGUAUUUAUUUUUAUAUUAUUUUCUUUCAGCCUUUUUUAUCAUUCUUUUUGCGUUAGGACCUUGCGGAUUAUACGCCUCGAGUAUUAUACUUUUUGUUGUUAAUGCUGUCUUUCAUGUUCAGGUGUGAGUAAUGAAGUUGUGGAAGCAGCGAAUGAACGGUACAAACAUCUGAAAAUGGAGAUGAAACAAAGAGACAAGGAAGAUCGUCUUCAAGAGAAACAAAGGCUACGAGAGAAGAGAACGAAAAUGAAGCAAAAACUGCGUGCUGUAUCGGAUGAGGAUGAGGAUGACGAUGAAGUUGCAGACAGUGGUGGGGAUACUAGUGAUGCGAGCGACGGUGAGAAUAUCAAAGAAAAACAGAGGAGAAAAUACAGGCGAGCAGCAAACGAGGAGAAUGAAGAGAGUGGCAGUGAUGGUGAAGAUAGUUUCAGAAAUGGUAGUGACUCAGAUGCGCCAUCACAGAAGCCGAAAGCAAGACGCGUAGGUCGAAAGAGGGACUCCAGUGAAGAUCAUCCCUCUGAUGUUCAGGAGUUGUCAUUAGCUGAAAAAGAGGCCCUUGCUCUCAAGCUUUUGAAAAUGAGAAGAAAAUAAGAUGUUACUUUUCAGUCUGGCCGGACCCAACGUCAUUUUUUUGUAGAUAGGACCAUAGGACCCAUUUCAGCUUUCUCUCUAAAUACAGAGAUUGCAACCAAAACAGGUCAUCAGGAUAGCACAUCAAAUGGUGUGAUCAGCAAGUAUACAGUUGAGAGUAUUCCCAUGAUUUCUACACUUCCUUUUUGAGAUAGUAUUGUUCUACUGAUUUCAACUCGAUGUAAGAUGAGUCACAGUUCUACACAACCUCUAUUAAUUGUAUGACUUAUCUCAAAAGAGCUGAUUAUUGAUUAUCUGGAUUGAUUGAACGCGCAAUUCUUAAUUUAACCUGUCUGAUACUCUUUCCGACAUUUGACACGAGUAAUCCAGAAAUAUACAAGGAUCUUCUGAUGCAUCAUAUAGUGCGCUUAAAACAGGUCUCAAUCUGAGCCUCAAAGCAAGUCUCAACAUCUACAGUACUGAAGUCAUUAACCGACAGUUAAAAAUAAUCAAAAGUACAUUAUCCCUUCAAAACAUUGAAACCAUCUCUGCAUUCACACUGGAACAUGUUCAGAUUCUGACGAAUUCACAGUGGAACAUGUCCAGAUUUCAACGCAUUCACACGGGCAAGUUUCACGUCGCACAUGAGCAUGGGAUAGACUUGUGUCGUCUCUUUCUGAUUGCUAUCUCAUGGAUCUGUUCGUCUUGUUUGCUUGCGUCAAAACUAGCGUUCGGAGCGAAUUCGCUGAGGAGCUGCUCGCUGGGUCCUUAGCUUUGCUAGAUGGGUAAACAUAUACAGUGAAUUCAACCUCGAGGAUCUCAGUUUCUGCGCGUGUAUUUGUUACAAAUCCGUCCUCACAGACGGCGAUUAUGACGAUGCUUGAGACUUGGUAGAUGGUCAGAAUUGUAGUCGCUGCCUCUCACCUGCGGUAGAUCUGUGGAAGGAGGGGUGUUACUUAGUCAGAAUUUUCAACGAUCGAAAUACAAGGAUAAGAAGUUCUGAACCACCAGGACUGCUACUAUUUUUGACACCCUAUGAAAGGUUUCUGCAAUGAAGAAUCGGUUCUGGAGCUCGCUUGACACAAUUCGAAUGACGCCAUGGCCAUGUUAAGGUGCAGCAGCGGCAACCUCAGAGUCCCCGCUUGCUUCUCAUGUGCUGAUUUCAUAGCGUAAACACAAUUGACGUUUGUGGGCUUUGCUCACGUAUCCUCAAUCACUAUAAUCUCGGUAGCCAAUUCUCUGGGAUUUUGCAACGACUGGUCCCGAUCAGGGCUUCUGAAAGGCAUCUUGCGUUCGUCCUCUGCGGAUGCAAUCAUCUGGUCGUAGGAUGACAAUGCAAUUUAGUGUCUCGAGGCCUUGAAGCGUUGGAUGAUUUGUAUCCUGCUAACUUGCAGAAGCUUCUCAAUCAGUGCUUCGGUUUGCGUGUUGGCAUCGAAAUGUAGAGAUACAUCCAGCCGCAGCUCGGUGUCUCGGUGAUGUUAACACUGAGGUAACGGGAUACUGAAGAGAAUCUAGAGCGUGGCUUCCAAUGCAGGAUGUCUAUGGCGGUGUUUGGUGGACAUUUAUUCUUCUUCCUUUAUCCCACGUACCGAUGCAUGGAAGCGUUGUAAUGAGGGACUCUUUCAGCGAAAUAUUGUAUUAAAUUGUAGAUUCUGGUUGCAUUAACCGCAAGAAGAGUCCACUCAUUUGGUGCUAGAGGUUACACGGAGGUGGGAUUUGAGUGAUGUGGGCUUUAUGGUCUCGCUUGUGAUCGGUAUCGCCUUCCAAAUUUGAUUUGAUUUGAUUCGACAUCUUGUGGUCUUAGUUCCGCAGCUUCAUAUUUCUUCUUUGGGUUGGGAUGAGGAAGCAUGCUUUUCUAGGUCACGCUCAGUUCUUAGGCUUCUCGUGCACUUUGAACUGCAGCAUACAGUUAGGGGAUGAGGAAAAGAAUCGGAGAGCCGCAGAUACAGGAUCUUGAGAAAUUAAGUCGCGCAAAUAGAGUACUCUGAAUCACCUAAUGCUCUUGUUAAAACCUGCGAGUUCCUGAUUUGUGGAGGAAUUGUCUGAAGUGGGUUUGCGGGCCCUCCGUCCAAGUUCAAUUGAGGCAGGUGCCAUGAAGAUCCAGUGUCUACUUAGCAUUGGGUUACCUGGGUACCAAUUUUCAACAUGCGACAAGCAUCUGUGCAUUUCGAUAGCGGUGUAAGGCAGUGUCCUAACUUGAUAUUCGUCACCAGCAAUUUUCACUGGUAGGUUUGAUUAAACAAUGUAUCACCCACUUUGAACAUGUGCGCAGAAGGGACAUCUACAAUGUCGAGGUCGACGAAAGACAGCCGAGAACCUAAGGGCAGACCACGAGGUAUGCGAAAAGGGAGGAUACCACCACCAAAUCGACAAGGAAUUGGAAUGACACCUGCUAACAUACGAGGUGGAGUAAUGCGACCACCGAAUGUUCACAUGGUGGGAAGGCCAGCACCGAACCUGCAAGCCGGGGUUAUGCUUCCACCGGUUGCUCAAGUAGCAGGAAUACCACCGCCGAAUGUGCAAGGUUGGAGAAUACCGCCACCCAAUGCGCCCGUCGUAGGAGUUCAACCAAAUGUGCAAGGUGGGGGAAUGAUGCUACCAAAUAUGCUAGUCAUAAGAAUGCCGCAACCGAAUUUGCAAGUCAGGGGAAUGCCGCCAAUUCCCGAAGUCAUGGGAGUACCGCCAGGUAUUGAUCCUGACAGUCCACCGCGUGAGGAUCUUACACCAAUACCGGUUCCGAAUUGGUUACUGUACCGACCUCGACGAGUGGGUGAACACGGAUGGGCUAAAGACAACAUCAAGAGCUUUUUGGUAACGAAUAAGCAUUCAAAACUUUUUCCCCUAUCUGCAGUUUUAUUUUAUUUUAGUUUUAUUUUAGUUUUAUUUUUUUAUGUUCAUUUUCUACAGUCAGAAUAUCAUUUGAGGAGACUAGAAUAUUUGCAGUACAUCCCCGAAUUCGAUCAGGAGUGGGGGUCCGUCCAAAUCGCAAAGCGAUUCUUCACAUGAAUAUUCUCCUUUGAAUAUGUAAAUAUAUAUACACAUACAUGUCAGUGUGUGUGUAUUUGUUAACGCUUCUCAAGUGGUGAUCGGUAUCAAAUUUAACAUGUUUGAGCAUCUGAAUCACGACCCCCCGCUUUCAUAUACUUCCUGAUCGAUCUAAACUGGUAUGUAUAUUCCAUGAUACAGGCCUCGGAAGAAAGGGCCGCUCACAUGUGGGCCCGCCAGGUAUCACUUCAAGAACAAAUGAAGCGGUUCUUUUCCAACCAUGAUGGGGCCUUUGAGGAGUUUUCAGAUUUGUUGGACUCUAUUAUAAUAGAUGUCGCAUCUGAAGAGCACAGAGCAGCGAAACUUGGUUUCGACAGGCGCUAUGAGCGUGGUGACCAUCCAGUAGCUUUUUCAGAACUAACAAUCGACUCAUUUGGAGUCGAUACGGUUGGAUCAUCAGACCCGUUUGCCAAUACUACAAAAAAAACUGACGUAUUUGGUUCGUCAGAUCCAGGUGCCGGUGCUACGGUUGAAUGUCCAGUUUGUGAAAAGCAAAUGGAGGCUGGGAUCUUUGCUGCUCAUUUGGAGGAAUGUAUGGCCGAUGUGAAGACCACAAAAGCAACAGUAGGAAUCACAUUUUCUUUUUAGAUCCUUCCGUUUACCAUCAUACUAUCUGUAUCGUUUCUUGGGCAACGCUUCCUUAGUAGUAUUCAAAACUAAGGGAUGUACGAUGAUGAGCAUGUUGGGAAUCGUAAGCAUGGAAUGUUGCUCUUGAGGUGAGAUCAUUAUUGUAUCGUUAUCAUCUCUGGACAAAGCUCUUUGGACAAAGAUAUUUAACAUGAAAUGUAGCUUAUAUGACGCCUCGGAACAGACAGCAUGCGGGACGCAAUGUCAGAAGCAAAAGCAGCAACAAUCUCAGGAGCGAGGCAAGAUGAUAGCUGACGAAAGCGCCCCAUCACCUGACUCUAGCGAGAUGAGUUCAAGUUCUGACGAACUAGUACGUGCUUUUGACUUUCUUCUUUCUCUGAUCUACUGCGCCAAAAUCAGGAAAAGAGGUAAUUCACCCGAAAAUUUGAAGUAGGUGGGGUUAGAUACGAUGUGGUGAAGAAGCAUCUCUAAAUUGAUCAGCUGCCGAGUAUCCUCACACAUCUUCCUGGUACGGUGACUCAAGGCAGUACUGGUGGGAAGAUAUUGAAGACUAAUCCCUCACAUUUACAAUCACGAUUUGGAUUCAUGUUGAUAUUUUUAUUUACGUUUUUUUUUUUAUUUUGAUUAUUUUUUUAUACAGCCUAAGGAAGCUCAGUUUGAGGAAGCUCAGUUAGAGAAAUCUCAGUUUGAGGAAGGUCGGUGUAAGGAAUCACUGCCUGAUGAGACAGCAUCUCAAGAACACGAUUCGCAGGUAAUGCCCAAUGAAGUCCUGGUCGCUAAUCCACCUACUUUUGCAAUUUUUUUUCUUGAAGUAAUUUCCAUAAGUAAUACUUUGUUCAUGACAGUUCCUAAUGGCUGCUUCCUCCUCUUUUGUUUUUCUGAAGCGGGAGGAUGAUUUAGCACAAGUGUUGGCACUAUCAUACAGCAGCGACGAUUCAUCAAACGAGGAUCCGCCUGAGGAUGAUUCACCACCUGAGGAUGAUUCACCGCCUGAGGAUGGUUCACCCCCUGAGGACGAUCCACCGCCUGAAGAUGAUUCACCACCCCCUGAGGACGAUCCACCGCCUAAAGAUGAUCCACCAUCCCCUGAGGAUGACUCACCACCAGAUGAUGAUUUAGAGAUAAUUUCCGAAAAAAACCCGGCUAAGGACGUGUUGAUAAAUUUUCUGGGCUCGGCUAUAAUGGACGUUGCAAGAGAAGAAUACAGAGAAGCGAAACUUGGUUUCCACAUUAGCUAUGAAAGUGAUAAGCACUCAUCAGCAUCUGCACAAUCGGAAGGAGACUUACCGAGUAACGUGAACGAAUUUGGUUCACCUAAUCGGGUGGCCAAUGAUACAGUUCGGUGUCCGAUUUGUGGGAUCAAGAACAUUGGGGCUGAUGAUUUCAGUUACCAUUUGAAGAAAUGUAUGGAUAAGGUGAGAACCUCCGCACUAGCUGUUACUGCAACAAUAUCCUCAUUUAUUACAUCAGUGUACAGAAGAAAUAUGAUCAUUAUAUUUGAGGAUCUUAAAGAAUAUUUCUGAAUUGCAAUUGAACUGAGAUUAUUCCUGUUGGGUUGCGCGUAAUUCUCCCGAGUCUUCCGCAUCUACGUUCAAUUUUUCAGUCUAAUAUGUUGAUUUUCCCACCCCUUCGACCUUCAUUGCUCUGUAUGUUGAUUAUUCACGAUAACAACUGGAGCUAGUGUGAAGGUUUGCGUAAUCCACAAUAUCUAGUAACGUGACAGUAUCAAUGUGCACCACCGCUGCCAACGCUAGACAGCAUUAUCUUGUUGGAUCGAAGCGACAUGCAUGACUGCGGCAUGUAACAUAUAGUCUACCGAGUGCAGGUUCAGAGUCAAGCUGAGGCAAGUAAUUUACGGAGAAUUUCAAGUUCUUUGGAAUCAUCUGGUUCAAGCGGGGCGAGGUCAAGCACUAGCAAACCAAGAAGAACCGCACGCAACGCAACAGAGAGACUGCUGUCACUAACACCUCGAUACAAAGCAAAAUCUCAUAGAAAUACAAGGGUUUCAGAAACAGGAAGCUCCAGGGUGGGAUCACCCGCAGAACGUCAAGCCUCGCAGCCAGACUGGGUUCCGCAAGAACAUUGGACAGAUCCCACUCAGCGCAACACAGAGAGAAUCGAUGUGGGAAAUAUUGUGGUGGAAUCGCCCCCGAGUCCCCCACUAGCCUGGAUUCUGCAAGAACUGUCAACAGACUCUUCUCAGCCCAACAUAAACCGUAAUGACGCAAGAAAUCCCAUAGAGCAAACACCAGCAGUAAAUAAGGCUUUUCCACCAGAGUUGGUUCUGAAAGGACAGUCAACAGACCCUAUUCAGCCCAACAUUGAGCCAACACAUGCAGUUAAUCCUACGGUAGAAACACCCGCAGUCUGUCAGGCUUUUGCAUCAGACCGCAUUCGGGAAGACGCUGCUUAGUCUGAAAUAGAGCUCAUUGAAAACCCAUAUAUGUUGCACCGAACCCUUUCUAAGGUCUAUAGAAGAUUAUUUCCGGGCGUCAGCAGUAUGGUAACAGCACAACAAGGCCUAUCCUUAAAUCAUUUUCGUUGUCUCUCGGGUGUUUAUACGUCAAUGCUUUAAUACUAAACCUUCAGCAUGCCUUUUAGGGUAAGCGCAAACCACAGGUUUUACGUGCAGUCUACGUGUAAGAGUGGUUUUUGGCACGUUUUGAAGUUGAGAAGUUCCUAACAUUGUUGUUUUCCAUUUGAGCUUUCUGUUUAUAUUUUGGAAGUGGUCUUGCGAAAUUCAGGUCUUGAAAACUUGAGCAUUGCAUUCGUGGCCUCUUACAAUCAUGACCUAGAUGUGAGUUUCAACUUGUGUAUGCUUCUUUGUAGUGCAGGCCGCUGAAGAGCAGGCAAUUGAAUCACUGGCCGAUGACACAGCGACUCCAGAACACCUCAAACGGGUAAUGUUCAUGCAACACCCGGUCGUUGAUUAUUCAGCCUAACAUUAUUUUUAUAUUGAUUUCUCCAGAUUUUACCCUAUUCAAAAUUGUACCUGAUGAUUACUUCCCCUGUUUCAAUCACUAACCGCAGAGUGACAAUGAGUUAGCGCAUGCAUUGGAAGUGGAAAUUGGUAGCAGUGGUGAACCUGUGGAUAAUGAAUCAAAGGAUGCUCCACAUGAGGAUGGCUCGCCACCAGUUAUCGAUUCGUGGAUAAUUACGAAAGGUGACCUGGUUCAGUGGAUCUAUUUGGAUUUGCUGGACGCAAUUACAAUGGACUUCGUGAACGAACAACACAGAGAUGAACACUUUGCAAACGUUGAACAUUCGGUAGCCAAUCCGAGGUUCACGGUCAAACCGAAAUCCAAAGUUUAUGUGUUGUUAUCACCAAAGAGCAAUACCAAGGCUAGAGUACCAUGCUCGGAUUGUGGAAGGAGCAUGACACCUGGUCGUAUUGAACGUCACUUGCAGAGAUGUAGCUUAAAGGUGAGCGCCUCUUCACGAACCGUGAGACAAACAAUUGUUUAUAUAAUAGGCCUUCUGUAACCGAACAUCCGAUCCAACACAUGGGCGAGAUUGAGCAAAGCUCACUUGGGGUGUGACAUCACUCUACAGGGGAUGCCAGCCAGUUGAGAACACCGCAAAGAUUACACUUCUCAGCUCGAGUCUCUUUCGGUGCAACCCUUCAAACCGAGAAACUACGGUACAAUUCCCACAGAAACUCUCGACCCAACUCGGCAAAGGCGUGCGACUCCCAUCAUGCUCCCUCUGCAAUCACCAUCUGUGAGUCCAAAGACUUGGAUCUUGUGAAGGAGCCAUAGCCCACACCACCGGUGCCAGCUCUGGACGAUGUUGCUGGCUCAAACAGAAUCGUUCAUGAAGUUUAGUUUUACCUAGCCAUGGGAGCAGAGACCUGGCCAGAAGCUGGUUCUGAAGCAAGAGCAGGCUCCAGUUCAGCAACAAGCUCAGGCACCCAGUUGUGUCCGCUCCAUCGACACUCAGGAAGUAGUUGUGUUGAUGUAUCUGUGUGUAAUCGUCUCUCCAUGUACAGACUCCAUCCAGUAAUCGUUCAGCGACGAAAGAGGAAACGGGAGCUUCAGCAGCAGUAGCACCUGCAACAACAACAAAAAAGAAGCUCAAGAUGAAACGCUUGGAUGAGUUACAGAGCAUUUGGUAAACCUUCAACCCCCCAUGACCCUCCCUCCACAAGUUGAAGUAACGCAGUUUUGAAGAAAAAACAGGAUAAAAAACGGAGGAAACUACUACACAACACCAAUGAUUCUGGGCUUGGCAUUUCCGGGUCUCGUUUCCGUAUUGGAAGUAUGUAGCAAAGUGUGGUCAUUUCUCCCAAGUCAUUGUUAUUGUUGUUUUGAGUGUUGGUUAGAAUGCCACUAUGGCAAGUCAGUCGUUGUUGAAGAUGUUUGGUUCAUUUUUGGUGUAGAAAUUGUGCAAAACUUUGUGUUUGUUUUUUAUGCAUAUAAAGAUCGCUUUGAACAUUCAGCUUGUUACCUCUUGAUAAUGUGGUAGCAUGUUGUGUUGAUUCAGUCAGCAGGGUGGAUAGAUCAUUGUUUUAUUGGUUUUUCAUGUUUAUUCAAAGUUUUUUGUUGUUUUGUUUUGAUAUAAUAAACUUAUAUACAUUUUUAGAAAUAGGAUAUAUAUAUAUAUAUAUAUUAAUUAAAAAACUCCAAAGGAACGAAAAAAAUCUGAUGCUUUUUGGAGAUAUGAAGCAUCUUAUACGUAUGUUAUAUCUUACACACUAUAAUUGUGUUAAAAUACACUAUCAAACUAAACCAAAAUAUAUUAUUAAUUGCAAAUGCUGACUUUUAAAAUAAAGACCACGUACAUCCAAAAUCAAUGUUCAACCAAUGCCCCAAUUUCAUUAACAGAUAAUCAAUAUACUAAGUGCCUUGAAUUCUUUAAUUUUGUUUUUAAAUUUCCUCAAGACUAACUGCUAGAUUUUACUCAUAUCUAAGGUUUCACCGCAGCACUAAACCACAUAUUAAUGUAAUCACAAAAUUUGAUCAUAUGGCUUCACAGAAUGAUUAUGUAUUCAUUUUGGAUGUAAUAGAAGUAAAAAUAAAAAACAAAAACAAAACCAAAAAACAAACUGAGAAUUUAUUAAAAUCCAAACAUUUUGAAAUCACUUUGGUUCAUAGUGAAAUAUAAUAGGAAAGGAAAGAGAGUAAUUUUAAGAUUCCUAAAAUCUUUCCUUCCUUUAAACUUAAUAAAAUUUGAAAAAAAAAGUAUUGAUUUCAUAUUUUAAUUUUAAUUUUUUCUUAUUAAAGGAAAAUCAUGCAUUAUAAUACUUCAUAUUAUGAAAAUCUAAUUUUUUUUUAAAUAUUUAAUUAAUUUAUAUCAAUAAAAUUUAAGAAAAUUAUGUCUUUUUGAAUAUAUGAUAUUUCUAAAAAAAUGCUAUCAUAUUGUCUAUAAUUACUACCAUUAUUAAUAAUACUUAACUAUUUAUCAAUUUUUCUAAAAAAAAUAUUAUAUUUCAAUGGCAUAAUUCAAAACUUCAAUUGUAUUAGAUAAUUUUAUAAAAAAAAAUUAAAAGAUAUAAAGAAGUUAAAAUUUGGAUAAAAUACAGUAAUAAAAUGAUUAUAGCAAAGAUUUUUAAAAAAUAAGAUUAAAAAGUAGAAUUCAAAAAUAUUAAAAAUAAUAUUGAUUUUUUCUAUUUUUAUAUAUGUAUGUGUGUAUAUAUGUGUGUAUAUAAAUAUAUAUAUAUAUAUAUAUAUAUAUAUAUUACAAGCAUGGUUUAAAGCUUUUGGUCUAUGUUUCUUAUGUCUUUUUAUUUAAGCCAUUAGAAGAAGCUUUUUCAUAAAGUUUUCUAAUAUAACUUACCAACCAAGCUAUUUAAGAAGAUUUUAAAGAAUAUUUUUGAUAAGACUUCAUAACCAAAUAAUUAAAUAAGAAUUUUUAAAAAGAAUUUCAAAACAAGAAUUAUAUCUACUUUUGAAUUAGUCCAAGCAUCCCUAGAUGAAAGAUGCAUGAUGCUCAUUUUUACGAAGUAGCAAGUUCCUAGUGGUGAGAUGCACAUUGUAAUAGGCUAAAAGAUCAAUAGAGAUCAUAUAGAUGGCUAUGGUAUGUUGGACUAUGAAUUCGCCUAUUAUGAUUAAGUAUCAAGGAUAUGAAUCUCAAAAAAUUAAAAGAUCAAUACACUCUUAUGUCACUCAAAAAGAUUGGAGAAUCAUUCAAAGAUGGAAUAAUAUUAAAUUAAAAUGGUUAUUAUUUAAGAUAAGAAGACUAAAAAGCCUUGAAAUAAGAUCAAGAAUUAGAAAGGCAUAGAUAAGAGUGAUGAAGGCUUCACUCUUGCCUCCAUAUAUACUAUCUAACUAUGAGCUAUGUGGCAACAUUAUAUAAGACUUCUAAUACGUGACUAAUUUGUAAGACAUAUGUCUUAACUUGCAAGGCAAGUUUUCUAUAUGCAUGCCACAUUGUAAGCUUGUAUUACAAGCUAUUCACACAUGCAACACAAGACUAACUUGUUGGCUAGGUUUCUAAUCUACCAAUCAACUAUAAAUAUGUAUAAAUUCAAAUAUGCAUCUAUGAAGCUUCUAAAAAUAUUUACCAUAAGAUAAUAUGAAAUCUAUCUAUAUUUAUCUAAUAUUUUUAAUCCAAAUAAAUAUUAUUAUUUAUAAUAUUAUUUCUUCUUAUAGAGUUGAAUUCUAUAAGGAAUAAUUAUUGAGGAAGUUCAAGAUGUAGAAAAUUGUAUUUGUUACAUAUCCUAAUCUUUUUUCUUAUUUAUAGGUAGUUAAUAUAUCUUCUUAGCUAUUAAUAAUAUUCUAUAUUAGGAAAAAAAUAUUCUUCUAUUAUUUGAUUAGAGGCUUUUAUAACUCCUUUCAAAUAAAAUAUUUGGAAUUCCAUCAAGAGUUGUUUCUUUCUCUAAUAAAAUCAUCAAACAUCAAGGAUCUUUUUUAAUGUCAUGAUACCAAAUGCAUUAUAUCUUGCCAUCUAUUCAAAAGAGAACAUGUCAUUCUUAAGGAUCUCUAUUACAUUGUCUUAAAAGAUAUGACAAUUGUAAUGUGUUGUUUAAUAAGUCAGCAAACGAUAGCUCUUGAGUUAAAUUUUUUAGUUGUUGAUUCUCUAUUUUCUUAGCACUACAAAUACAUAAAAACUACAAACAAGGAUAGUGUCAUAGAUACACUAUAUAUGAAACCAAAAAAGAAGUUGAAUCAAAAAGUUUUAACAUAAAAGCUUAUAAGAAUUUAAUUAAACAUGUUAAGGAUUUUAGAUUUAGGUUUAGGGUUUAGAGUUUAGGAUGUAUAUGUUUAUUAAUAUCAUAGCUAUACCAAUGAAUAAAAUACUUUAAUUUCUCUCUUCUUUUUUGAGAAUUAAGAAUUUUUUUUAUCUCGUAUUCUACAUGAUUAUCUAUUUCAAUGCAAGACAAUGAUGGUUGUAUUUUUCUUGGAAUGGUUGAUUUUUAAUAAUAUUCUAAGAAAAAAAUAUGAAAGAAUGGAUGUACCUUUAUAGAUGUCGGUAGUUCCAACUAAUAAGCCAUUAGAUUGAUUUGCUUUUGAAUACAAAAUGGCCUCAAUUUUUGGUAGUCUAACUUAUUACAAGGCUGAUUGGUCUUGAUAUUUUUAUCAAAUUAGCCAUAUUUUAUCUCCAACUUGAAAAGUAGGAGAUUUUUUUCUAAAUUUGUUUAAAGAUGCUUUAUAAGAAUCUUGAAUUGCUUGUAAAUGAAGCUUCAAAGUUAUUUAGAGCUAUGACAAUUAUUUUGCAAGAUCUUCAACUCCUAGAUUUUCAUCCUUUGAUAUAAUUAAUAAAUCAAGCUUUGGAUGGUAAUGAUAAUUAGAAUAAAUGAUGUUUACUAAAUCAAAGUAUGAAGAAUAUUAUUAUAAGAAAACUUUAUUAAAGAUAAAUAUGAGGUCCAAUCUACUUCUUGAUAAUUAUGAUACAUUAUAAAUAUUGCUCCAAAAUUUGAUUCACUUGCUUUGUUUGAUCAUUUAUUUGAGGAUGAAAAGCAUAUGAAGAUUUGAUAUCUACCUUUAAUAUCUUAUUUUUUUUUUCUUCAAAACUUUGAUAUAAAUUAAGAUCUUCUACCAAAAAUGAUAUUAUCAAAUAAGCCAUGAUGUCAAUAUAUAUUAUCAAAAAAGAGCCUUGCCAUUUUUUUUUUCAAAAAUUACCUUUUUGUAUGGAACAAAAUGUGCCAUUUUUGUAAGCUAAUCUAUAAUAAUGUAGAUAGAAUCAAAUAUAGCUGAUGGCAAUAGAUCAAUGAUAAAAUCCAUUGAUAUUAAAGACCAUAAUUGCUUUUGGAUUGGUAUCAUUUAUAGAAGUUAAUAAGUACAAUGUGUCACGGACAUACAUAUUUAUCUAGAUAAUUAUCAAGAUAAUAAGAAUAUGUAGAAGUAAGUCAAAGUAGAUAAAUAUGAUAAUAUCUUAUGAAAAGCUUCUUAGAAGCUUCAUAGAUAUUAUUUUAUCUUUAUACAUGUCUAUAAGUGAUUGGUAGGUUGAAAACUUAGCCAACAAAGAGGCCACAUUGUCGUAAUACGUGAAGUCUUGCUUGAGAAUGCUCCGGGCACUUGGCUCUGGAAGGUAGAAUGGAAAUUGCAACAAAAAAAUCCUAAUUCUAAUAAAAUACUAACAAUGCUCUAAUUAGACCAUAAUAAUGCUAAGCAAGCUUUAAUCAAAUUCAAAGAAACUUCAAAGAAAUUUCAAAGAAAUAUUAAGAACUCUUAAAGAAAUAUUAGAAUGAUCACAAAUAUCUCUCAAAUACACCUCAAUUCAAUCUUAUUUUAAUCCUAGUUAAAAUCCUAUAGAACUUCAUUCAAACUUUAGGUCAAAACUAAUUAAAUCUUAAAUCCUAAAUAAACCCUAAUAAAAUCUUAAAUCCUAAAUCAAACCCUAAAUUCUAAACCAAAUCCUAAAUCCUAAACCAAAUCCUAACCAAAUCCUAAACCCUAAACCAAACCCUAAACAAAUCCUAAAUCCUAAACAAAUCCUAAACCACACCCCAACCAAAUCCUAAAUCCUAAAUCAAACUCUAAAUCUUAAUCCAAAUUCCAACCAAAUCCUAAAUCUUAAAUCCUAAAUCAAAUCCUAAUCAAAUCCUAACUCUGAAUCAAAUCCUAACCAAAUUUUAAAUCCUAAAUCAAAUCCUAAACCUAAACCAAAUCCUAACCAAAUCCUGAACCAUAAACCAAAUCCUAACUAAAUUCUAAAUCAAAUCCUAAACAAAUCCUAAACUAAAUUCUAAUCAAAUUCUAAACUAAAUCCUAAUCAAAUCCUAAACCAAAUCCUAAUCAAAUCCUAAAUCAAAUCCUAAAUCCUAAAUCAAACCCUAAUCAAAUCCUAAAUAAAAUUCCAACCAAAUCCUAAACCAAACCCUAAAUCCUAAAUCAAAUCCUAACCAAACUCUAAACCCUAAACCAAUCCCUAACCAAAUUCUAGUAAUUUCUAUAAUAGAUUUAAAUCUCAAUAACUAAUGAAUAAACUUUUGAUCUUAAUUCAAAUUUUGCACACUUCUUAAAAAUUAAGUUGAAAGCAAGCACAAAAAGUUUUAAAAAGAAUCGCAAUUACCAAAUAGACAAUAACCUCAAAAAUGUGCUUAGGUAUUGGCCAGCCUCCUUCUCCAACCUUGAUGCCAAUCUCCCAGAGCCAAUAUCUCUCCUUUUCACCGUUCGAUUGAUUUCAAAAUUCUCAUAUAUAUAGAAAAACAAGUCUAAUAUCCUCUCACAAAAAUUUCACUCCAAUCCAACUAUUAGAUUGCAAGAAAUCUUGAAAACCCUCACUAGAUCUAAAAUUCUACUUUUUGAGACCUUGACUCACUUAAACCUUAAUAAUCUUCAAUUCAACCAUUAGAUCGAGCUCAAAUUUACAACACGUAUUAAAAACAAAUAUAACCAUGAAUUCACAAAAUUUUACCUAUAGAUCUGUUACAAAACUCUUGAAAUCAUCCAAAAUAUAAACCCUAUUUUAUUUCACAAAACCCAAGUCAUCUAAAACAAACCUUGACUUUGCAAAGCUCUUACAAAGUCAUAACAACUCCAAAUUGCCCAAAACUAAUGCUCAUAGAAACCCAAUCCAAUAUGCUAUCAAAUCUCAUUCUCCGAUCUGCACAACAAUCCUAUAGUCGUCGUCGAGACUUGGUUUUGUGCCUUAGGAUCUGAUUUCAACCCUGGUUUAUAACCAGUCCUCUCCGGGUAUCAAUAUCUAGUUUUUUUUAAGUAAAUUUUGCUAGAAUUUACUCUUAACUUCCUUCUAAAGAUGCUUAUAUCAUUUAUUUUUCCAAUCUACUUUGUUUUGCCUUACUUAUGGUCCUACAAAGCAAGUAGAAGUCACCUUUUUGAAAAGGCAGCAUUGGUAUCUUUUGAUUUUACUAUCUUUUUGACUAUUAACUAUAUUUCUAAGAUAAUUUGUUUUAAUACUUUGAACUAAGAUCUCCUACAUUACAAUAAUUUCCACACUCUUUCACCUAUUAAUUAUAUUAUAUCAUGACAAUGUAUUGACAUGUUGACCACUUGUAGUACAAGUUAGACAUAUGGUGCACACCUAGGAAACUUGCCUUAUAAAUUACAAAUAUGUCAUGAAAAUUAGACACAUAUUAGAGGUCCUAUAGCAUGUCACCACAUAGUUCUUAGUUAAGUAGUAUAUAUAGAGGCAAGAGUGAGGCCUUCUUCACUCUUGUCAACUCCUUUCUUGCUUUUAGUCUGAUUUUAAGAGUCUUAUGUUUUUUAAUCUUUGGCAAUAGCCAUUCCAAUUCUUCCUUGAAUAUACAUAAUUUCUUCUAUUUUUUCACUUUUAUUUUGACACAGAUUCCACGAGUUUAUGUAUCUUCUUUUAGUUUGUGUCCUUAAUAAAAUGUCAAAAAUUCUUGGAUCUUGAAAAAAAAUUAUGCUCUUCUAUAUUUGAGGCUAUUAGAAAUCUUAAAAAAUAAGCUUCAGUAUUUUAUUAAAUCAUGAAUGUCCUAUAUCUAAAAAAUCAUGAUAAGAUUGAAGAAUACAAAGUUGUAUCAAUUUUUUUAGAAUAUAUAAGCGAUCUUCAAAAUACAAAGAAACUUUGACAAAUUUGAACAUGUUAUUGUCAAGGUGCUCCUUAGUAUUACAAAUUAAUGAAUCCUUAGUUGACACUAUAUGAAUUUAUUCAAAAAAACUUAAAUCAAAAAAUAUAAUUAUAGAAGUAAUACAUAAAUAAAAUUAUUCUAGCUUCAAAAAAAUGGUAUAUUGUUGAUCAAAUGUUGCUUCUCCAACCCUCAGAAUAAGAUAUAAUUUCUUUAAUAAAGUGUUUGAUAGCUCUUGGUCUUUCUUGAUUGAUAUGUAAUAAUAAAUAUUUUUUUAACCUACUAAAGAUUUAGAAUGCUAAAUAAAGUUUUUUACAAGAUUUUUGUCAAUGUAAUCCUUCAUUGUUAAAAUCUCAUUCUAUAAUAGAUUGUAGAUUGGACCAAAUGAUGGUUGAGCCUCUUCUUAAAGUUUUAUAGUACAAUCAUAUUGUCAAUGCUCUAACAAUAUGUUAGCAUUUUUUUUUUUGAAGUCAUCUUGAAACUUCUUAUACUACUUUGAGAUAUCUACUAAUAAGCUUGUUUCUUCACCAGUUAGAGUUGCAUAAAUAACAAAUGGUAUUUCUUUCUUAGCCAUCUUCAUAAAAGUCCUUGCUCCUAGAAAUAAAGGCUUUGUUGUUAAUGACUUCUUAAUAGUUUUUUUCCAAAAUAAUUUUAUAGAAAACUCAAUCUUAUGAUAUUUCUAAUUUAUAGAUGGAUUAUAUCUUUUUAACCACAAAAUUCCUAGAAUGAUAGGAUUGGAUAUGAUUCUAAUAAUAUUUAAUAUUAUUUUAUUACUAUAGCCCUCAAAUGAUAUUUUUUGUAAUAUGGUUUCAUGAAUAACAUUUUUUGAAGAUAAAGAUUGGUUAUCUAUUACUUUUAUAUGUAUAGAUUUUGACUUUUGUACUAGAAGAAUUUUAUGAAGUUUGAAAAAAUUCUCAUCUAAAAAGCAAGUAGAUACUCUUAAAUUUAAUAAGGCAUUUAUUUGAAGUUUUUGUAGGCUAAGAAAUAAAGAUAUAGUAAAACAACAAGCAAGUUACACAAAAAAAAGACCUUGAUGAAUUUUAGGUAUUGAAAAGUCUAGCCGCAUAGUCCUCAUUAUUGCUGAAUUUCUUUUUUUUCAUGAAUAAUUGCACUUCUAGUUCUAGUUAUAUGUUAUUUCUUUGAAUAAUUCUUAGAUUUGUAAUCUUUUUCACUAUAAUAUAAAUAUAGACCUGAUUGAAAUCAACACUUUUUUUUUAUUUGUUGCAAGAGAUUUGAACCAUAUUGCAUCAAUUUGCUUAUCCUCAAUCCCAAUCACCUUUCAAGGCUAGAAGGAGAAUUAAAUCCUACUAUUAUUGAUAACUUGAUAAAUGAAUCCUUUUCUAAAAUUUCUAUCUAUCAUGCUUGAUACAACCACAUUGUAAAUUUUUUAAAUUCUAAUUAAUUUUCAAAAGAAUUAUUCAAAUAUAAAUAAUAUAAGAUUAGAAUUAAUAGUACUUAUUUUUUAUUAUAGAAAAAUAAUUAAAUCAUUAAAGAAUAGAUAGUCUAAUUGGAUGAUGUGUAGUGGUUAAUGAAAUACUAGUCAUAUUAAUGGCAUACCAUGGUAGUACAUAUUGAGGAUUCUUCUUACAUAAAUUGAUAACUCAAAAGGUAAUGAGAUCUACAUAUUAUUGGCCUAUCAUAUUUCAAGAUGCGCAUAAUUAUAUUAAAAGAUGUAAUACUUGCUAAUAUUAUGCAAAAAAUAAUUUGCAUAAUGCACCGCCUCUUUAUAUAUCCUUAUUUUUAAUUUUUUUUGAAAAAUAAAGAAUUGAUUAUAUAAAAAAAGUUCAUCCCAAUUCUUCAAGAGGGAUGAAACACAUUAUAGAAGCAAAAAAAUAAUUAACAAAAUAGGUUGAAGCAAGAGUUUUCAAAAUCAAUGAUGCUAUUUAUGUAGCUAAUUUUAUAUAUGAGAAAAUCAUUACUUGAUUUGGUUGUCCCAAAAUUUUGAUUAGUGAUUGAAGAACACACUUCUUAAAAAAUGUGAUAUAAGAGAUGAAUAAUAUGUUUAAUAUAAAUCAUCAUAUGACUAUUCCUUACCAUCCACAAAUUAACAGUCAUACAAAAUGAGUAAAUCAAAUCUUAAUAAAUAUCCUAAAAAAACAAUACAAGACUCAAAGAAGAAUUAGAACACAAAAUUACUAGCAACCUUGUGGGCUUAUUGUACAAUCUACAAGGUCACAACCUAUCACGAACAUACGCAUGUAAGCUAGUAAUUACAUGUAUAAAUAGAUAGAAGUAAGUAAAAGUAGAUAAAAGUAAGUUAAUUCUAUAAUAUUUGCUAUGAAAGCUUCUUAGAAGCUUCAUAGAUGCUGCUUUGAUUUUAUAGAUGUCUUUAAUUGACUUUUUGGAUUAAAAACGUGGUCAACAAGUUGACCAUGUGCCACACAUGUUGUUAGCUUGAAGACCAAGUUAAUUAUGUGGUCCAUACAUAGAAAAACUUGCCAUGUAAGUCAAUGCAUAUGUCCUACAAAGUCAACACAUAUUGGAGGUCCUAUAGAACAUCGCCACGUAGCCCUUAGUUAGAUAGUAUAUAUAGAGACAAGAGUGAAGCCCUCUUCACUCUUGUCAACUCCUUUCUUGCUUCUAGUCUAGUUUCAAGGUUCUCUAAUUUUCUUGUCUUUUGACAAUAGCCAUUUCAAUUUCUUUCUUAAUAUACAUAUUGAGUUAUUUCUAUUUUGUCAUCUUUCUUUGAGAGAAGCCUCACUUGUUUAUUUAUUUUUAUCAAGUUCUUGUCCUAAAAAAAUUGAUAAGAGUAUACUUACAAUAUCAGAGCUUUUUCUAAUCUUGAUUAAGAGUAGAUUAUCCCUUUCUCUUGAUAAGAUAUAAGCAUAUUAGUAGUUUUAGAUUACCCUCUUCUAAACUGAUAUUAUCCUUAGUAUUUUAUUUGUUCUCACGUCCUCUCUUCUAUUUGUCUUGAGCGAUAUUAGACAUCAUUUUUUCUAAGUGUUAUCAUGGCAGAACUUGCUGAAAUAAAGAGUACAAUGGUACAAAUGCAAGAGCGAUUGAGGGAGUUAAUGCUUGUAAUGCAUCAACUCAAUUUACCACCACAAGGAGCAAUAAGUUUUGCAAGAAGUGAAGAUAUAGAAAUGAUUGGAGCUGCUUCAACAUUUGCACCAAAUCAUAUUCCUUUUUCUAUGGUGGAAUGCCCUUCUAUUGUUAGAGAACCUAGAAUUACUUUAUAUGAGAAGUUUGAUGGCACUACAUCAAAGUUUAGAAGAUUUAUCAAUCAAGUACAACUUGUCAUUGAACUUCAACCCCAAAGCUAUUCAACUCUAAGAUCGCAAGUUAGAUUCAUUGAUAUGCUUCUUUUAAAUUCAGCAUUAUCAUGAUUUUCAUCUUUUUUUGAACGACGAGAUCCAAUAUUGAAUAAUCUAGAGGCUUAUUUGGUAGAGUUUUGAUCUAUGUAUGGAAAACACGAUGCAAUUUGAAUUGCAACUAACAAGAUCUAUAUUUUAUGACAAGAUAAUUGAUCAGUAACAUUGUAUGCUUCAUAUUUUUGAUAACUUACAACUAAUAUAAAGUGGGAUGAUGCUGCACUUGUUAACCAACUUCUCUACGGAUUAGAAUAUGAGGUAAAAAAAUUAAUGCUCAACUUACCUAAUCUUCAAACAUUGAAUCAAACAAUUGACUUUGCUAAUAAGUGUGAUAAUCAUCUUUUUGAAUUUUGAUUUGAGAACCAUAUAAGUAGACCUCAAAGUUACUAUAAUUCAAUGAUAACAUCAACAUUUCUUCAACACAUACACUUAAAAGUAGAGGAUAUGCAAAUUGAUGUGAUACAUUUCAAACCUCUUACUGAGCAAGAAAAAACUUGUCAUUGUCAAGAAGAAUUGUGCUUAUAUUUUGGAGAACCUAAGCACAGUGCUCAACAUUACUGAAAGAAGUGACGCAACUAUAAAAUGAAGAGUAUGGCGAUCAAAGAAGAUAGCAUGUCAGAAAACGAAUUUGUCUAGUUAUAAUAGGGACCAUGCAAUUGGAACCUUAUACAACACCUAGUGAAGGUCCUAUUCUCUCCUCAGAAUCCUUUCCAUGUUUUACGAUAAAUAUUAUUCUAAGACCUAAACAUCACAAAGCCUCUGCCUUGCUAGAUUCAAGAGCCUUAGCAUGUUUCUUAGAUAAAGAAUUUACUAAAAGACAUAGCAUACUUUUAGUGAAGAAAACUAAACCUGUUCAUGUAGAAGACAUAGAUAGUCAUCCAUUGUCUUUAAAAGAUGUUAUUUAUGAAAUCCUUCCUAUAGAAGUAGCAACUAAUGCUCAUAGUAACUUUAUAAUAUUUAAUAUCAUUAGAUCUCCUUCUAAUCCAGUCAUUUUAGGUUUAUCAUGGCUAGAAAAAUAUAACCCUAAAAUAGAUUGGACUUCUCAUAGACUUGACUUUUUUGAAAGUAUAACUAAGAGCAUAGUUAAUCAAGUAGAAAGUCAUAAGUCUAGUAUAAUUAAACCUAUAUUUGUAGCUGCAAGAGCUUUCUUGCAUGCUGCAAAAGAAGGAUCACAUUGUGUCAUUUAUGCCACACUUGUUUCUAUUGGUGGAAAGACUUCAAGUGAAAUUCCAAGCCAAUAUCAAGCUUUUCAAGAUGUAUUUGAGAAGAAAAAUGUGGAUACUCUUUCGAAACAUCAUUCUUAUAACUGCUCAAUUGACCUUAAAAAGGAAGACAACUGCUAUUUGGACCAAUCUACAAUUUAUCACAAAAUGAGUUGACUGAACUCAGGGAGUAUAUUGAAGAGAAUGUGGCCAAGAACUUCAUAUGCCAUUCCAAAUCUCUAGCAGGAGCUCCAAUUUUAUUUGUGAAAAGAAAAGAUGGAUCAUUGUGGAUGUGUGUUGAUUAUUGAGGACUCAACAAAAUCACCAUCAAGAAGAAGUACCUGCUACCUUUGAUAUGUGGACUCUUUGAUCAAUUGAGUCAAGCUAAGAUCUAUACAAAAAUAGAUCUUUGAGGAGCAUACAAUGUGGUAUGCAUUAAAAAAAGAAAUGAAUGGAAGACUACAUUUUAAAUAAGGAAUGGAAAUUUUGAAUACAACGUCAUAUCUUUUGGACUUACAAAUGUACAAGCAGUAUUCCAACAUCUAAUGAAUGAUGUCUUUUGAGAGUUUUUAGAUGAUUUUGUUGUUUAUUACGUAGUCGACAUCUUAAUCUAUUCUAAGAAUAGAAAAGAACAUGAACUUCAUGUUCGUUGUGUAUUACACAAAUUAAAAGAUGCGAGACUCUAUGCCAAGAUAGAAAAGUAUAUAUUUUAUACUACUCAAGUCGACUUCUUAGGAUACAUCAUUUCAAAGGAUGGACUUAUGAUGGAUUCUAAAAAAGUUCAAACUAUUAUGAAUUGGAAGAUUCCAAAAUCGGUAAGAGAUGUCUAAUACUUUUUGGAAUUUGUCAAUUACUAUCGAAUCUUCAUCAAAGUCUUCUUUCAAGUUACAGCUCUAUUGUGAUUGCUCGUUUUACUUAUUCCAAAUAAAUUUAAUGAAAAUAAACCCUUAUAGGAGGAUUUGAAUAUGGAGAAUGACUAGUUGCUUAAGCGUUCACGUUAGGGUCACACAAUCAAUUACCUCCUGAAUGUAUCGUCUCUAUUUCCAAUAUUUGAACACACAAGGAAACUAUAAUCUUCUUCUUCACCUUAUUGGUCUCUUCCUUAUAGUAAUUCAAUUAUAUCAAUAACUGCUAUUUCCACCAAUAUAUUCACCCUCAUAAUCUCCAACUGUAAUACUACGCCCUCACAGCUUUCAACAUACAAUUAUCCUCAUUCCAAUCACUGGAAUUCUUCACACAGAACUACCAUUCACAUUACGGUAUUUCACAUAAACAUAGACUCAUUCUCUCUGCUAAACUACAAUCAGAUUUCAACAUUCAAUCUUUCUUCUUUUCAAAUAAUACGAAUCACAUUUCCAUUCCAUAAUUCACUUCACAAUAUUCAAAAACUCUCAAUCCUCUUAUUCAAAGAAAAUAACAAACAAAAGAAAAGAGGUAGCACCAAGCUUACCCUGGUUCACAACUAUCACAGUGAUGGCACCUUAAUUAAAUUCUAUAACUCCUAUAUACUUUUCCGUGAUUCUCUAGAUUCUAAUCAUAAUUUUGUAAUUAACGACUUUUAAGAACUAAAUCACUCAUCCGUCCUCCUGAAUUUCCUAUUAUAUGGACUAUUAAUAUAUUUUACCAAUAUCUUUCAAAAACGAAUUAAUAUCUAUUCUAUAUAGCCUCACUCCUAUCUGUGCAACGUCCUCACAAACACUCAAUUUAUACCUAUCUAAAAAUUAUCUAACAAAACUCUACAAAAAUUACGAUCCCUCUAGCCUAUCUAAUUAAUCAAUUGCCUCAAUAUCUGUUAUUGGUUCCACCGAUUUUGGUUCUAAUUGCAAAUCUUCGUCCUCCUCCAAUCCUUCCAUCGGCUCCUGCCUCAACUGAGCUGAAAGGUCUUCAUUAUACUUGCCCAUUUCAUGGACUUGAGCUUUCAAUUUCAAGAUCUGGACAUCCCAAAGUUCUAAUUGUUGUUGCUGUUGACUUAUCCAUUUUGGAAUAUCUUCAAUCAAUACUUGUGACUGGCUCCUCACUGUUAACUCUUAACUAGAACUACUACUCUCAAAAAUACAAGAAAUAUAAGAAAAUGGCACUCUAGCCAACCCAAAACAAUACGAUAGAAUGACUUUAAUUGGUGAUCCACUCCUAUUCUUUUACUACUUGGUGAUAAUGACAAUAUGUUACCCAUACUAUCCGUGAAAGGUAAUGGGAAGUAAUCUUUCUUGGUGGCAGCAUUAAGUUUCUAAAAAUCCUGAUAAAUUCUGAUUUUUCCAUUCUUUUUCAGCACCAUCAUGAUUGGAGAAACCCACUCACUAUUUGGUACUGGGUAAAUAAAACCAACCUCAAGAAGCUUAUCCAAUUCUUCCUUCACUAUGAGAGAAUAUUUAGGAUUAAGGCGAUGUUGCCUCUGCCGGACCGGUUUAGCAUUCUCCUCUAAAAUGAUACGAUGCUCACAGACUUCAGUGGGAAUACCUUUUAAAUCAUCAUAAGUCCAAGCAAAAGUGGAUUUAUGAUGCAAGAAAAAUUCAGUCCAACAGGUCAAAUCUUGUUCCUUAAUACCUUUGUAGACCUUAUUUAUCCAAGGUUCUGCUGUGGUCGCCAAGUUGAUAGUUUGACAUAAAGGUGCAACGACGAUGUUUUGUUUCAACCCCAUGCUAAUUUAAAGUUAAUCGGUAAGUUCGACAUGUACAAAGUAUUGAAUCUUGUAUCUAGGGCACUAACAUGGUGCACAUUAUACUUGGUCAUCCAAUCAAUACUAACAUAAUCCGAGUUUUUUGAGUCCGUCGGAUAUAUCAAGUACUCCCCCGGACCUCCACAUUGGUACACCACUUUAGGGUAUAGUGCUGCCUCCAUGGGCACCUCCGUAAUUGGUGCUAUUGCAUCGUCAUCGGAGCUAAGUUCAUCAUCCGAUGUUAAUUCAGAUGUUGGCAAUUGAGACUCCCCGUGAUAGUGUACUGGGUACAUUUGUAACACCAUUUUGUCUUCGCCCUUGCCAAUUGUCAAGAUACCCCAAUCCCAAUCAUUUUUGACCUUUACUUGAUAAAGCCAGGGUCGUCUCAAUAAAAUUGGAUAUGAUAAAGUCAAACGUUGUAAUCAAAAGACGAUAUAGUCGAUUUUAUAUGUAAUAUCGGUAAUCAUAGUUUGAACACUACGUAAGAUACUCAUUGGUUUAACUCGGCUAUGAUGUGCCAUUUGUAAGACCAAUGUCGUAGGUAGCAAUUGCUUUAGAUUUAAGUCCUCCAUUGUAUCCGCGUUCAUUAAAUUUACACUGGAACCACCAUUGACUUGUACCCCUGGAAUUAAAAUACCAUCAAUUGAUACAUCGAUUGUUGGUGCUCUCAGAUCUGGAUUUAAGUUAACUUCAUGAAUUUCUUUAGUGUGAGAUCUUUUUCAUAUUAACGUUGAAUUUAAUAUAGAUCGACAUUUUGAUGCUACAAUCAAAAGUUGCUUCAUUAUAAUUGAAGGUUGAAUAACAUCGAAAUCCUUCAGAAUGUCAUAGGAUUCUAUAUUUAGGGUAAUUUCCAAUGCCCUCUUUCUUUUCAUUGGUUUGAGUUUAACUCCAUGAGGUAAGAUAUUCUUCCGCCCUAGACUUGAAAUUGGAACAACAACUGGGGUUUCUUUGAAAUUUCCACCCUCGAGAGGAUCUUUUAACAAAUAGGACGUUUCUCAAAACUGCGUAGAGAUCGGAACUACUUGGAAUGAAACCGAAGCCUCCGUAAUUGGGACCUCAUUGGGUUCUAUCACCGAGUCAGGUCUCAUACUGGAUAUAAAGUCCAUAAUAGGAUCUGGAUUGAAUGAUCCCAACAAAUUGGCACGUAGAACCAAAUUAGGUUCCUCAGUCUAUUGAGGUCUCAAUAUUGGAAUAUGUCCCAAUACUCAUAUUGGUUCGUUUUGCCCCGUGGAUGGCGCUACUAGCUCUCUUGCGAUUGAUUCAUCCAUGUCCUGAAUUAGAUUCUUAUCUUUUUGUUGGCCUCUGGUAAGUAUUGCGCACACCACUUCGAUACGAUGUACUAGUGAGUCUCAUUGAACAGGGCUUUUGUCCUCCAUCGGUUGGCUUGUUUGCAUUUGUUGGUCCCGAUUAUUAUAAUUAAAAGGUGCAUUGCACUGCUGAUAAGUGUGACCAGACUGCUUAUAAUUUCUACAUAUUGGAGCAUAUUCAUCAUUGGCCCUUGGAUUAGGACAUUCACUCACAUAAUGUCCGAUUUGUCUGCAAUGAUAGCAACAAAGUGGUCUCCUGCUAAUUCCUUCAGGGAUAAUGGGUGUCUCUAUUGGUAUAUAACGGCUAGGUCUGUUCCAUAUCGGAUGAGAAAGGAUCUUAAUUGAUCCAUUGUUACUGUAGACUAUGGCAUUGGCUUCAUCAUGGGUAGAUAUUGAUGGUAUCCUGGUUGGUUCAUCACCAAUCCGUGAGUAUUGGAUAUACCUUUUUGGUGAAAUUUAGAGUUUAGGAAAUUGGAAUAAUUCCUGUUUUGUUUAUUCACUCGAUUUCUAUUCCAGCCAAAUCUAUUAUUCGUUUGUACUUGAUUGACAUCCCACGAAGUUGGUUGAGUCAUUAUCUGAUUACUGAGUUGUUGUUGCUUCUAUAAAUUCCAACAGUUGGUGGUAAUAUGCUUGCCUCCGCAAAAGGUACAUUGUACAGUCAUUUGGAGAGAUGAAGGACAUUCUGUUAUUAAAUGACCUUGCCCCUUACAAUUGUUGUACCAUACAUUGGUCCUAGUAUUGGUAGGCUUUUGCCUCUUCUCCUUAUCUUUGGCCAUAUUGACGGCCAUUUCUUCUAUUUUCUUCGUCAAAUUCAAUAACAAGGUUUUAUUGGAAUCUUUUAGGGCUGACAUUAUUGAUAUCUCUGUCAUAGUUAACACUUGUUGUUGAUACAAAAAAUAUGAAGCAUACGUUAUUGUCUCGUUCGGUGGUAUAGCUUACAAUGGGGUGACAUUAACUGGCCCCUGAAUAUUGGUAUUGGAAUUGGCCCCUGUUUCUAACAUCCAUGGAUAACUACCCAUUGAUUCAUUCUAAGUCAGAUUUUGAUAUCUACCUUGAACUAGAAUCAUCAUGGCUCCCGCAGUUAAAAACUGAUCAUAAUGGCAUUCUUCACAAACCUUGGCUCUAUUAAGGGACGCAGCCAUCGUAAUAGUUUGAGCUUCCUUUACAAACAUUUUUAGUUCUGGUGGGUACAAACCAUUGAUUAAUAUGGAUAAGAUAAAUGCCUCCAACAUUUGGUGAUUUGGCCACUUACUGAGUAUAUCAACCACUCGACCAUAGUACGAUUCUACCGCCUCUCUUCGGAUCAUUUUGCUGUUCAUUAAUCUCUCUCGAAGGCGGUCUUCAAAACCAAUUGGCCGAAAAUGAGAUAAAAAUAUAUUCUUCAAUGCUUCCUAAUUCGGAAAUUGAUCCAGUGGUUGGUUGUUGUACAUGGCAUUUGAAUGAUACAACUACCAACCGCCAUGGGAUUUGAAUGGUACAACCGCUGGCAGCCAUCACAACCAAAUAUCUUCAGUUUUGCCAUUAUUAGCUACACAUGCUGUAAAAAAGUGAGACAAAUAUUGAUCGGGAUCCGCAUCCAAAAAUCUCCAAAAAGUAGGUAGUGGCGCGAUAUUAGUCAUACAAUUGCCUACUGUACCCAUUUGUACUACAAUCAAAACGGUUGGUCUUCCUAACGCCAUUGAAUUUCUUGUUCCACUAAACUCCGUUUUAAAAUAAUCUCUGCUUUCCCUUAUUCUAAUUUUUGAGCUCUCAGUGCUCCUCGAUUUACUAUUAUUUUCUGUAAUUAGUUUUAUUGGUUAAACUGCAAGUGAAAACAUCAGAUUUUAAAAUACAAUAUAUUUAUCUUUAUUGGCGACCAAUUUGUGCCAAUCUAAAGAGCCACUAUUGCUUGUUUCAGUGGUACCUCCUACUGGAAAAAUAUCCAAUGGAAUACCAAAUUCUUCUACGCCUCCUUCUCUUUCAAUUAACGGCAUCAAGAUUUCCAUUGAAAUGUUAACGAAAUUUUCUCCGAGUGUUCUUGGCAGUUUUUCUAAUGGUACAUACAAUUACUAAAUUAACAGUCUGUCUAGUUCUUGAUAUGUUUGGAUGCGUCGAUAAGCUUGUAACCAUGGUUUAAUCCAAUUCUAUCGAUGCUUCCUUUUAAGAUUACAUUCUUGCUCCUCUCUAAGCAAGUUCCUUCUUUGCGCUCUUCUACGUCUUUCUCUCAACUCAUUUAUUUUCCUUGAUGCAAUGCUCUCGUUCUUAUUAACCAUAAUCUUACUUCAAAUACUACUAAAAUCGUCUUCCAUUGCCAAUUUUCUCACACGUUUGGUAAUUAAUUCGUAACAUUCAAAGCUAUUAUCACUUCUCGACAGUGGUGCCAAAAUGUGAUUGCUCGUUUUACUUAUUCCAAAUUAAUCUAAUGAAAAUAAACCCUUAUAGGAGGAUUUGAAUAUGGAGAAUGACUAGUUGCUUAAGCAUUCAUGUUAGGGUCACACAAUCAAUUACCUCCUGAAUGUAUUGUCUUUAUUUCCAAUAUCUGAACACACAAGGAAACUAUAAUCUCCUUCUCCAUCUUAUUGGUCUCUUCCUUAUAGUAAUUCAAUCAUACCAAUAACUGCUAUUUCCACCAAUAUAUUCACCCUCAUAAUCUCCAACUGUAAUACUACACCCUCACAGCUUUCAGCACACAAUUAUCCUCAUUCCAAUCACUAGAAUUCUUCACACAGAACUGCCAUUCACAUUACGGUGUUUCACAUAAACACAGACUCAUUCUCUCUGCUGAACUACAAUCAGAUUUCAACAUUCAAUCUUUCUUCUUCUCAAAUAAUACCAAUCACAUUUCCAUUCCAUAAUUCACUUCAUAAUAUUCAGAAACUCUCAAUCCUCUUAUUCAAAGAAAAUAACAAACAAAAGAAAAGAGGUAGCACCAAGCUUACCCGGCUCACAACUAUCACAAUGAUGGCACCUUAAUUAACUUCUACAACUCCUAUAUACUUUCCCGUGAUUCUCCAGAUUCUAAUCAUAAUUUUGUAAUUAACCGCUUUUAAGAACUAAAUUACUCAUCCGUCCUCCUGAAUUUCCUAUUAUAUGGACUAUUAAUAUAUUUUACUAAUAUCUUUCAAAAAUGAAUUAAUAUCUAUUCUACAUCUACUUACCCAUUUGACUUGUAAAGACAAACUUCAAUAGAAUCAAGAAGCAGAAGUAGCAUUUGAAGCUUUGAAGAUAGCCUUUGUUUCUAUACCAAUCUUCUAUUGCAUUGACUUUUUUAAGCCAUUUUUUAUAGAAACAAAUGUAUCAGACUUUGUUUUGAGUACUGUAUUGUCAUAAAUGGAAACAGAUGAUAAACUUCAUCCAAUAGCUUUUCAUUCCAAAAAAUUUUGAGCAAUCAAGAUUAACUACGAGAUCCACGACAAAGAACUUCUUCCAAUCUUAGAUUCAUUUCAAGAAUGUUGCCAUUAUCUAAAAGGUGCUUCUAGCCUAGUCACUGUGUAUACAUAUUACAAAAAUCUUGAAUAUUUUAUAUUAGUAUGUGUUUCGAAUCAUCACUAAGUCCGUUGGAAUAUAUCUUUAUCAAGAUUCGAAUUCAAGAUCACUUAUCGACUAGGAAAACAACAAGGUUUGUCAGAUGCUCUCUCUAGACAAUCUUAUCUUUCAUCAAAGGAAGGAGAUGCUGCUUUUGAUCAACAAAAAAUAAUUCUCUUGAAGCUAGAGCAUCUUCAUCUUUAAACAAUGAAAUCAACACUAAUUAUUGAUUCAACUUUCAUUAAGCAAGUUCACUCAAGUAUGUCUUCUGAUCCUCUUAUUCAUGAUAUUAAGGAAAAUCCUUCAAAGUCUCAUGAUACUUUCAAGUUUGAAUUCAAGAACAAUCUAAUAUUUUUUGAAAGACGCCUAUAUGUUCCAGAAGGUGAAGCUUGAUUACGUGUUCUUCAAGCUCUUCAUGACUUUUCAGCAAUAGGACAUUUUGGGUACAAUAAAACUUUGGAAUUAAUAUCCAAGGACUUUUGGUGGCUCUAAAUGUGGAAAGCAGUGAAAGAUUUUGUACAAUCUUGUGAUAUUUGCUGAAGAUCAAAAACUCCUCGUCAUCGACCUUAUUGACUUUUUUAGCCAUUAUCCAUUCCAAAACAACCAUGGUCUUUUGUUUCAAUGGAUUUCAUCACGGAUCUUCCAAUCUCAAGUUCUUAUAAUUCUAUAUUCGUGAUAGUAGAUUGUUUUACUAAGAUAGCUUAUUUUGUACUAUGUACAAAAUCUAUCUUAAGUGAAGAAAGAACUAAACUCUUUCUUGAGAAUAUCUAUCACUAUCAUGGAUUAUCCAAGGAUAUUAUAUUAGAUAGGAGAACUUAGUUUGUAUCAAGAUUUUGGCAGACUCUUUUUAAGAUUCUAAAAGUAGAUAUAAAAUUAUCUUCGGCAUUCUAUCCUCAAACUAAUGGACAAAUGGAGCAUGUCCAUCAAGUUUUGGAGCAGUAUUUAAGAUGUACCAUUAACUACCAACAAGAUGAUUGGACAACUCUUUUGCAAUUGGCACAAUUUUCUUAUAAUAAUAUGGUACAUUCUUCUACAAAUAAAAACCUUUUUUUACCAAUUAUGAUUAUAAUCCAUGACUUAAUACUUUUCACUUUUCAAAAGUUGAUAAUCCUGCGAUAAAAGAUUUGGCAAUUCAUUUUUCAAAGCUACAUGCAAUGAUGAAGGCACAAUUAAAAGAAGCUCAAGAAUAAAAAAAGGUCAAUGCAGAUGUUUAUCAAAAGGAACAACCACCAUUUUACAUGGGUAACAAGGUAUGGUUAUUUUGUUGCAAUGUCAAGACUACUCGUCCUUGUGACAAGUUGGACUAUUGAAGGCUUGGACCAUUUUCUAUUUCCGCACAAAUCAAUCCAGUUGCAUAUCGUUUAUUCCUACUGGAGUCAAUGAAAUUCCAUCUAGUAUUCCACGUGUCUCUUCUUGAAUCAUACAAGACAGUGGACAUACCUAAAAGAAGACAAGCUACACCUCUUUAUAUAGAAGUAGAGAAUAAUGAAGAGUUCAAAGUGGAAGACAUCUUAGAUUCAAGGUGGCGCCAAAAUAAAUUGAAAUAUCUUGUCCAUUAGUAUUGAUAUGAUAUUAGUGAACAUAUAUGGGAGCCAAUAAAGAAUCUUAUAAAUACAACAAAGACGGUCGAGGCUUUUCAUUGACGACAUCCAUCUAAAUCAAAAUAAAAAUCUUUUUUAUAAAAGAAAUAAGAUCUAGGCAAGAUAACAUUCUAUUUUCAAUCUUUAUUUUUAGCUUCUUUAUAGUUGUGAUGGUGAGGACAUGGAGAACCAAUAACCAGUAGAUUUGACUUAAGAGCCUUCGUUUGCUAACCUACUAGAUGAAACAUUACGAUUGUCAUAACCUUCAAGAUGAUGCAAUUGAGAUGAAGAUCUUUAAGAAUAACAUGUUCUUCCUUGAAUAGAUGGCAAGAUACAAUGCAUUUGGUAUCACGACCUUGGAAGGGACUCCCAAUGUUGGGUGAUUUUACUAGAAGUAGGAACAAUUCGUUAUGGUGUUUCAAAUGUAAUAUUAGAAAGAAGUUAUGAAAGCUUCAACAAUGAUCAAAUAACUGGGUGGUCUUCCCACCUUAGUAUGAAAUACUAUUGAUGGUUGAGAGGCCCUAUCAAUCAUCUUUGAAGAGAAUAAAGAUCAGAGUAUGUGGUGAAUAUAAUUCGUCACAUUAUAGAUUUCUUCAAUAUAUGAUGAGUGCUCUUCAUGGAACUUGUCCCUAGAAGGAGGAGUAAUAUCAUGGACAUACGCAUGUAAGCCAAUAAUUAUAUGUAUAAAUAGAUAGAAGUAAGUAAAAGUAAGUAAAAGUAAAUUAAUUCUAUAAUAUUUGCUAUACAAGCUUCCUAGAAGCUUUAUAGAUAUUACUUUGACUUUAUAGGUAUCUUUAAUUGACUUUUUGGAUUAAAAACGUGAUCAACAAGUUGGCCAUGUGCCACACAUGUUAUUAGCUUGAAGACCAAGCUAACUAUAUGGCCCACACGUAGAAAAACUUGCCUUGUAAGUCAAGGCAUGUGUCCUACAAAGUUAACACAUAUUGGAGGUCAUAUAGAACAUCGCCACAUUGUCAUAUUGUGGUUCAGCUACUAUGUGAAAAUAAUGUGAUUAUAUAUUUAAUGUACAAGUUACUUAAUAAUAUAGUGAGAGAUAUGCUAUUGGAUUUUAGUUGGUUAUAGAAUGUGGUUAAAUUACUACUUUAAAAGGAGGUUGUUUAAAAAGAUUACUAUUAGAAUUUGCAUAACUUUAUUUUCUUUUGAUAGUAACUUUUGAGAUUGAUUUUAUUGGUAGUAAUUUUAAAUAUUUAGAGUCACCUUUAUUAGACAUUGAUGAUCCUUGAAGUCUUAUUUUAAUUCUUUAAUUUGGUGUUUAGGGCAUAUAUUGAGUAAAACCUAUAAAGAAAAGAAUUAGAGAAGGAUUUUAGUAGCAAAGAGAGUUUAGGGCAUCCAUAUAGAUGAAUGAAGAUGGAUGAUGAAAAUCUCCAUUCCUAUUGGUCAAAAAUCAUGACUAAUAGGCUUCAAGGAGGCUACCCGAGGCCAUAUUAGAGAUUAGGGUUAGUUUUUUUAGGGCCAUUCGAGCUUUGAAGUCUAAGAUCAGUAAGUUUAGGUUUUUGGCUAUGGUUUUGGUGCAAAUCUUGUAUGAUUUGGAGUUUAUAUGAAGGAGAUAUAGGUGCUCAAAGUUAAGGUGUUGAUUUGGGAGCUAUUGUCACUCUUUUUGUUAUAACGCACGCAUAUAGAAGGCAAUUGAGGAUCGGCGACUGCAACUGAAGAGAGUACUUUUGCGGCUACACUUUUUGCAUACUGCUUGCUGGAUUCUAAGUUAAAGUGAAGGAUUUAAUAGAUUUUUAAGUCAGUGCAUGCAAUCUAAGGAUAGUAAGUGACCUGAUUUACUAGUGAUUGUGUCUUGACCUAUAUCUUGAGCAAUUUGAUAAGGUUUUGGCUCAAAAUUUCAAAAAAUGUAUAAAUUCAUGUUAAUAAACUUUAUAUAUAAGUUUAAUGACAUUUGAGUAUUGGAUUCUUGAGAUAUUAAGAAAAUAGUGCUCGGGUGCUUGUAAAUUAGGAUUUAGAGCAUCUCCUAGGAUUUCUUAGAUGCUUGAAGAUCGGGAGUGAAUUUGCAGUUGGUUUUUUUUUGUGGUAAAAUUUAAGGGUGAAUUUUACCUAUUCUAUAAAUUUGAAACAAAUUGAUCAAGAAUUAUGAAUUUCUAAAGUUCAAGAUGAGAAAACCUUUUGUAGAAAAAAUAUAUUUUGAAGGGAUUUUGUUAUAUUUUAAGUUUUAUGCAAAUUAAAGGAGUUUUGGAAGCUAAGAUAAGAUUCAUAUAAAAAUUUAAGCUAAAAUCUCUACAACUAGAUACCUAGUAUAUUUCUAAAUAGUAAAUCAUGUAAUAUGAUAAUGUAGCCCCUAAUUAGAUAUUAUAUAUAGAGAUAAGAGUGAAGCCUUCUUUACUCUUAUUAACUCCUUUCUUGCUUCUAGUCUAGUUUUAAGUGUUUCUAGUUUUCUUGUCUUUUGGCAAUAGUCAUUCUGGUUUCUUUCUUAAUAUACAUAUUGAGUUAUUUCUAUUUUUUCAUCUUUCUUUGAGAGAAGUCUCACUUAUUUAAUUAUUUUUAUCAAGUUCUUGUCCUUGAAACAACCAAGGCCACUUUAUUUUUCUUAGUAUAUGGAAUAAAAGCUAUAUUAUCCAUAAAAUUUGAGAUCAAUUCUCUUAAGAUAGUAAUAGUUGAUAGGUUAAUUAUCCAAGAAUCAUAGAUAGAUAGAUAAGAAUAAUUGGAAGGCAUUCAUGAGAUUCAAUGGAUCUAGACUCAAUACAUAAAAGUAAUUCAAUGAAAGAAAAAAAAAUUCUUUUGAUAAAAAAUACAAGAAGAGAGUCUUAUAAUUAAAGAUGCUAGUAUUGUUACAAGAUGCUAGGAGAAUGGAUUUCUUAGGUAAGUUUGAUGUUCUUUAGUUAGGACCUUAUCAUAUUUGAGAAGUGUUUGAUAUCAACUCCUUAUAAUUAAAGAUAUUAAGUGGUAAAUUAUUUUUAAGAAGAAUAUUUUAGAAUAUAUGUAAAGAAUAUAAAAUGUAAAAAAAUUCAUUCCAUAGAGGAAAAAAUACUAUAUUCUUUGUAAAUCUAAAUGAGUAAGGAUCUAGCUAAAUAAUGUAGUCAAACUUGAUUUUUAUCAAGAAAAUAGGAAUCUUGACUCAUCAAGAGAGAAAAAAAAUCUUUACAUGGUUUUUAGUUUAUUUAAAAUAUUAUCUCUUUUACUUAUUAAGAACUAAUAUAUCUUAUAUAUAAAUAUAUAUAUAUAUAUAUAUAUAUAUAUAUAUAUAGUUUUAGGAUUUAGACAUAAGAUGGCUAAGGUUAGUAUCUUUGGAUUGUUGGGAAGUUGGUCACAAAAGUGAUUAUAUAAGAAGUGGUAUAUAUUUGAAUUUGGUCUACAAAGGGAGCUAGCUAUAUGAACUAAUAUUAGAUUAAAAAAGUAGCCAACCUAUACAAUUUAGAAGAUAUGUAAGCCUUAUGGCUUCUAACUUAAAUUCUUUUUCUUAAAUAAGAAUUAUAUAGCAUUAAUUUUUAGAUUUUUUACUUAGAUUUUUUUUUUUUUUUUUUUUUUUUUUUUAAAUUAUUAUUAUCUAAUUUUUAAAAUUUUAUUUCUUUUUAUUUUUAUAGAAUUAUUUUUCAUAGAAAACUUGGCCAACAAGUUAAUGACAUAUUAAUAGCUUGUAGAACAAGCUAACUAGGUGUUGCAUACAUAGAUAAUUUGCCUUAUAAGUUAAGACAUGUGGCUAGCAAAGUCAAUACAUGUUGGAGAUCUUAUAGAAUAUUGCCAUAUAACUUCUAAUUAGAGAGUAUAUAUGGAAGCAAGAGUGAAGACUUCUUCACUCUUGUCAAUACCUUCUUAGUCCUUAGUCUUGUUUCAAGACUUUUUAGUCUUGUUUUUUAGCAAUAUCCAUUCUAGUUCAAUAAUAUAUCAUCUUUGAGUGACUUUCUAGUUUUUUUUAGUGACAGAAGAGUGUAUUGAGGAUUUUUUUUUUUUUUUUAAGAUUCAUAUCCUUGAUAUUAUUCCAUCUUAUAUUAUUAAGUAGAAUAAUUUCUUUAAUAGUCUUUUAACUCAAAAAAAAUAGUAGUAGAGGAUAGAAAUGAAAUUAAUACUAAUCAUGAGAUUUUUAGAAAUAAUUUAAAGGCUCUUUGGUACUAUUCCUUCUAAUCUUGAUAAAUAUUAAAAUUAGCCAAAAUCACAUGUAAACAGGCACUUGCCUAUGUAGCAAGAGCUUUGGAUUCUCUACCUCUUUAAGUUGUUCUAAAUGGCCGCCAUCUGUGAGUCAUUGAAUUAACUCACUUAUGUAUUUAAUAUAAAAAAUAUACUUAUCAUAUUUAAAAUCACAAAUUUUAUGAAUUAAUAAUAGAAUUUUUAAGAAAUAGUAAGAAUUGAAUUACUAAAUAACAGAUAUGUACUUUUAGACAAAAUUUAAUAAGAAAAAUUUCUAUAAAGAAUAUAUUUUUAGUUAACUAAUAUUAGAUGAAGGACUAAAAAAAGUAAUUUUAGUAUCAAAAAUAUUUUUUAAAAAUAUUUUUUAUUAAUUUUUUUUAAAAUAUUUAUAUAUAGAUUAUAUAUAAAAUAAAUAAAAAUAAAUAAAUAAAAAAUCAAAAUAAGUAGAAAGAAAAAUAGAAAAGAAACAAAAGAAGAAGAAGAAGAAAGAAGGAAAAAAAAAGAAGAAAAGAAAAAGAAAUCAAGAUCAAAGAAGAAAAGAAGGAUAAAAGAACAAAAAAAUAAAAUAAAAAAAUAAAAAAUAAAAGAUAAUUAAGAAGAUAAAAAGUUACUUUUGAAGGGCGGUAGCUUCUUCGUCAAUAGGGCUUUAAGCCACCCUAAAUUCCAUUCUCUCUUUUUCUUUUGUAUUUUUUGGUUGUUGGAGAUUUGAGCUCUAAUUUCUUUAGAUCUCUUUUUUGAACAUGUUCUCUUCUAGUGUACAUUGUAUAUGCAUUGCUAUUGCAUUUUUUUAUUUUUAUUUUUUUUUAUUUUCUUCUUUUGUUAUCAUCGACGUUGCGGGUGGCUAAAAUGUGGAAUUGAAUUAGUAUUAUUAAAUAUUAUUUAUGUUGGCAAUUGUGCUCAUCAUCAAUUUUUAAGGCAACAAUAUUGCCUAGAAUUGGUAGCUUAAGCUACAAAAUACAAAGCUAGAAGUGGCAAAGUCUGCAUCAAUAACGUGUUUUUAUUUUAGUUUAUUUUAUAUUAUGAGCUAUGGCUAAAUCAAAUAACUUUAGGAGUUGGUCUCAUCUUCAAUGGCCCUUGGUUUAAUACUUAGUAGAAUUGUUGUAUAUAUAUGAAGCUAGAGGUUCAAUUCAACUACACUUAGAAAUGAGAGAGGCAGUGCAUCUCAAGACUUGCGUGCGUAGAUGGAAUCAAUUCAUUUGAGGCCUGAAAUUGGAUGAAUAGUGUAGUGAGCAAUAGGCUUACUUUGCAAAGAGUCAUGUAAAAGUGUAGACUAUUGGUAGCAUUAUAUAGAAUCUUUAUUAAAUAGAUAUUAUAUUUGUGUGAUAAGUAAUAGUGACCAAUUUUAUGUUGUACAUGGUCGUCUAUGGCUAGAAAAUUGGAGUGAGACUUAUGUUCUAAAGAUCCUUUAGUCUUAAUCAAGUACUAAAAAAAGUCCAAUGUAUAAUUGGAAGUUGAUGGUUAGAAAAAUAAAAAUAAUAAAAAAAACAAACAAAAAUAAAAAAAUAAAAAAUAAAAAAAAAAACAUCAUUUAGUUGUGAGGAAUUGUAAUUGACAAAACUUCUAAGAAAAGAAAAAUAGUUUAAUAUUACCUAAACAUUAUUAAAUUCAUCAACAAUAAUUAUUAGUCAUAGUUACACUAUUCAAAAUUAUGCAACCCUUAUACCUCAUGUAGGAUUAAGAAUAUUGUGGCAAGCAAUGCACUAAAAUCUCCCAAGUUAAUAUUAUCUAUACUAUUGAUGCUUGUGUAAGACUCUCAUGCAAUUGUGAACUGAGGACCAAUGUUAAAUCAAGUCAAGUACAAGGUAUUGUUCUUCAUUAUUUUUUACUAAAACCUUUUGUUGUUGACUCAUGUUUUAUUUCAAAAAUCUUUGAGUUCAUUAAGAAUUAAACAGAGCAAGUAAAGCCACAAUUAGUUCAAAUAUAUAUAUAUAAAAUAAAAAAUAAAACAAAAGAGAUUUUUUUGUAGAUCUCAUAGAGGUACAAUUGUCCUUGAAAGCAAAUCUUGUAUAAGCUUUGAAGUUAUUGAUGUACUCAAGCAACAAACCAAAUUUGUAAUCUAAUAAAAAAGAAUUACUAAAUGAACAAACUUAUUGCUUAGACUAAAGAAUUAGUACAAUUUAAGAAGUUACAUCAAUGUAUUCAAAUAAAGAGAUGAUGUAGGUGAUUUUGACUAUAAGUGGACUUUUGCUACUAGAGCAAGCAAGAAGAAGUAAGGAGCAGACUGCAAUGGAAAGAAAGUUGAGCAUAUAAGCCAUGGUGGAGUCAAUUCACAGCACGUCAACUGAGAGCCUAUCCUUUCUAACUUGAUGAUCUUUCUAAAUAGAAAAAUGGAUGAAGUUAGAUUAGCUCAAUUGAAGUAGAUUCAAAAAAAUUAGAUUAAAAGAAUUUAGAUCAAAAUAGAUGAUUUUGAAUAUGAAAAAAAAGAUAAUGGGCUAAAUGAAUAUUUUUAAUAUGGAUGAAUAUUGAGUUUAGCCAAACUUAAGUUGGAUGAUAAAUUAUUUAUGAAUGAAAAAUUAUUCAUAGAUAAAAACUUAUAUAGAAAGAUUUUUUUAGAUAAUAAUUAAUAAAAAUAAUCAAAUAAUGAAAUAAAAUAAUAUUAAUUUAAUUAAAGAUUAAAAGAAAAAAUUGAUAUAUGCAAUUUGUAAAAGAUUUAUUAAUAUAAGAAUGAAUUAAUAGUAGAAGUUGGCUUAAUUACUUCGAUAUUAAAAAAGAUUUAAGAGCAAAUUAAAUAAGAAUUAAUUACUGGCUUUAUCUUCUAAAAUUCAUGAAGAUAAUUGAUUUGUUGUGAAUUAGAAUAAACUUCCAACUACUAAAGGUUUAUUUUAGCUCGUAAAAGUAUGAACUCUCAAUUAUGCUCUAAACUUUAAAUUUUUUUUAUUUUCCUAUUUUAUGAUAAAUAAGUAUGUUAGAUUAAGAUUUAUGUAAGUAGAAUUUAGUUUUAUAGAAAUUUUAGGAUUAAAAGAUUAAAUGGUAUAAAUUAUAGCCUAAUUCUUUGAGUUAGAUUAAUUAUGAUCAAAGUAAUAAGAGUUAGAAAAUUAGAAUAGAAAAUUAAUUAGUUUUAAUAAUUUGGAGGUUAUUAGUCAUUACAAUGAGGGUUGAUUAAAAGCCUAUGAAUUCAUCUAUAUUCAUUUCACAUGAUUUAGAAUGAGUUAGAAUCAUAAAUUUCUAAAAGAUUUAAUGAAGUUUAGUAAUGAUAGUUUUGAAAUUUCCUCCAAUUCAACAAAUUCAAGUCGCAUAGUAGUUCUUCUAAUUAAUGGAAGCUUUUUUAAUGCAAUGGUAGUACCGGAUUUACCUCAUGGAAUGAAGAAAACAAGAUCAGCACCCUCUCCUUUGAAAUACAAGUGGAGCAAUGAAAUUCUCAUUUUGAAGGAUUUUACAAGAAUUGCCAAGAUCAUUGUAGGUAAAAACUUUGAUUAAAAUUGCAAUUGAGCAUAGAUUGAGGCAUGUGAGUAAUUAAUUUUAGCAAAGAAGGUAUUUUGAAUACAAUGGUGAAGUUAUAUUUAUCAAAAGUUGCUUUCUUGACAACUUAUUAGAUCCAUCAGCCUUAGUAACGAAAUUGGCUCUUGGAUGAAUGAAGGCCUUAGAUCUACAUUAGAGAGCUUAGAGAUCAAGGGUGGAGAUGUGGCCGCCCUUUCACAAUCCACCACUCAAUUGUAUAAGAGUGGCUUGGUUCUCCAAGCCCUUUCUCUCUCCUCUUUUGGUGAAGAAUGAAGCCAUGCCAAAUUUUGGCCCUAAAUCCUAAUCUUAAUUUUUUUUUUUUGAUUUUUAAUCUCAUUUAAAUCACCUAUCUUUGAAAAGAUAUUUCUUAGUGCCUCCUAAUUGGAUUAUUGUAAAAUUUUGGGAGUAAAGGAAUCUUUAAGUCAAGCAAAUUUUUUUUCUAAUAGCAUAAAUUUUACUAAAUUCAAAGACAAAUUGAAUUUUUUGUUAAUUUUCAAGUGGAAAGAGAUUGCUUACUAUGAUGGUCUUAGUCAUUCAACUUCAAUGGAACAUGUACUGCAGCUUAAGUACUCGAUUGAAUUUAAAUUUAUUUAAGCAAGAGCGCCUUCAAAUUAAAUUUUUAACAAACUAAAAACCAUUCAAUUUGGAAUUAAUUACAAAUUUUGGAAAAUUUUGGAGUAGGAAAGGAUUGCUUCCCUCAAUUCUUAGAUGUUAUGAAGGUACCUUUGCUUUUAUCUCUCUAUAGUCCUACUUUUACUUUUAUUUUAAAAGUAAAUUGUAACUUUCAUAUUUAAACUUUUAAAUUUUAACUUUUAACUUUUAAACUUUAAUAUUUUUUACUUUUUAAUUUUUACUUUUAUUUUUAAUUUAACCUUCAAGAUUUUUUUACUUUUAUUAUAGAUUAAUGGUAAUAAUUUGAUGAAGUACUUUCACCAUUAAUUAUUUAAGAAAUAAUAAUUUAUAAGUUUCAACUAAUUAAUUUUUUAUUUAUUAUAAUUAAUUAUAUUUUUGUAAUUAGAUAAAAAUUAAUAAUUAAGGAUUAUAUAAAAGAUCUUGAAAAACUCAUUGAGAUUUAAAUGGAGAUUAUACAAAUAGCCUUUAAGACCAUAGUAAUUUCAUUAAAUAUUUUAUUUAUUUUUUUUAUUUAUAUUGGUAACCAUUACUUAAAAGACUUAAAAUUAAUUGAAUUGUUAACAUAAAGAUUUAAAUCAACUUAGCAAUUAUAUAAUUGGAAGGUCUUCUAUUCCACCUCUUGAACUUAUUGUAUGGCAUCAGUUUUAUAAAGUGGUGAAAUUUGGGCUUAUAAAAAGACAUGUUGAAACUCCUUAUAUUUUUCUAAGAUAGCUAUUGACAAGCUUGUUUUUUCACUAGUUAGAUUUGUAUAAAUAACAAAUAGAAUUUCCUUCUUAUCCAUCUUCAUAAAAACCCUUGCUUCCAAAAAUGAGGCCUUUAUUGUUAAUGACUUAUUGAUAGGUUUUUUCUAAAAGAAUUUUAUAGAAAACUCAAUCUUAUGAUCCUUCCAAUCUAUAAAUGGAUUAUAUCUUUUUAACCACAAAAUUCCUAGAAUGAUAGAAUUGGAUGGAAUUCUAAUAAUAUUAAAUAUUAAUUUACUAAUAUAACCCUCAAAUGAUGUUUUUAGUGAUAUAGUCUCAUAAGUAGUAUUACCUAAAGAUAAAAAUUGACUAUCUAUUACUUCUAUAUGUAUAGGUUUUGACUUCUAUACUAAAAGAAUUUUGUGAAAUUUGAAAAACUUUUCAUCUAAAAAUCAAGUAGAUGCUCUUGAAUCUAAUAUGAUAUUUAUUUGAAGUUUAUGUAGGCCAAAAAAUAAAAAUUUAGUAAAACAACAAGUAAGUUGGAGAGAAAAAGAAGGACCUUGAUGUAUUUAAGGUGUUGAAAUAUUCAACUGUAUGGUCUCUAUUGUGGCUGGGUUUCUUUAUUUUCUUAAAUGAUUACACUCUUAGUCUUAAUUAUAUAUUAUUUUUUAGGAUAAUUUUCAGAUUUGUAACCUUUACCACAAUAUAAGUAUAGGCCUUAUUGAAAUCAAUACUUCUUCUUUUUUGUAAGAAAUUUGAACUAUAUUUCAUCAAUUUCUAUAUCAUUAAUUUCAAAGUAUAGAAGUACUAUAUUUGUUUAAAUAGCAGAGUACAAAUUUCUAGUGUGUUGAUUUGUCAAAGUCUACAAACAUUGAUCUUGAGGGCAAUGAAAUAAUUGAUUAUCCAACUUCACAACUUAGCUAAUUGUCAAGGACAAGAACAUAAUAAAGACAAAUAAAAAAGUGAGACUUCUGUCAUAAAAAGAUGACAAAAUAGAAACAACUUGAUAUAUAUAUUAAAAAAGAAACUAGAAUGGCUAUUGCCAAAAGCCAAAAAAACUAAAGAUCCUUGAAACUAGACUGGAAAGAAAGAAAGGAGUUAACAAGAAUGAAGAAGGCUUCACUCUUGUCUCUAUAUAUACUAUCUAACUAGGAGCUACAUGGCGACGUUUUAUAGGACCUCCAAUAUGUGUUGACUUUGUAGGACACAUGCCUUGACUUACAAGGCAAGUUUUUCUACGUGUGGGCUACAUAGUUAGCUUGGUCUUCAAGUUAACAACAUGUGUGGUACAUGGCCAACUUGUUGACGACGUUUCUAACCCCAAAAAAUCAAUUAAAGACACCUAUAAAAUCAAAGCAGCAUCUAUGAAGCUUCUAGGAAGCUUUCAUAUCAAAUACUAUAGAAUUAACUUAUUUUUACCUACUUUUACUUACUUCUAUCUAUUUAUAUAUGUAAUUAUUAGCUUACAUGCAUAUGUCCGUGACAUUACCCUCUCUUCUAGGGACGAGUUCCACGAGGAGCGAUAAUCAUAUGUUAAAAAAAUCUAUAAUGCGACGAAUUAUAUUCAUCACAUACUCUGAUCUUUGUUCUCUUUGAAGAUGAUUGAUAGGGCCUCUCAACCAUCGGUAGUAUCCCAUAUUAGGGCGGAAAGACCACCCAAUUAUUUGAUCAUUGUUGAGGCCUUCAUAACUUCUUUCGAAUAAAACAUUUGGAAUACCAUCAGGAGUUGUUCCCACCUCUAGUAAAAUCACCAAACAUUGAGAGUCCCUUCCAAGGUCGUGAUAUCAAAUGCAUUGUAUCUUGCCAUCUAUUCAAGGAAGAACAUGUUAUUCUUAAAGAUCUUCAUCUCAAUUGCAUUAUCUUGAAGGUUAUGACAAUCGUAAUGUUUCAUCCGGUAGGUCAACAAACGAAGGCUCUUAAGUCAAAUCUGCUAGUUAUUGGUUCUCUAUUUCUUAAGUGUCACAACUACAAAGAAGCUACAAACAAAGAUUGAAAGUAGAAUGUUAUUUUGCCUAGAUCUUGUUUCAUUUAUAAGGAAGAUUUUCAUCUUGAUUUUGAUGGAUGUCAUCGAUGAAAAGCCUCCACCGUCUUUGUUGUAUUUGCAAGAUUCUUUACUGGCUUCCAUGUACGUUCACUAAUAUCAUAUCCAUGCCAAUAGACAAGUUAUUCCAAUUUAUUUUGGCGCUGCCUUAAAUCUAAGACUUCUUCUACUUCAAACUCUUCAUUAUUGUCCACUUCUAUAGGAGGAGUUGGAGCUUGUCUUCUUCUUGGUAUGUCCACUAUCUUAUAUGGUUCAAGAAGAGAUACGUGGAAUACUGGAUGGAUUUUUAUUGAAUCCGAUAGAUAUAAACGAUAUGCAACUGGAUUGAUUUGUGCGGAAAUAGAAAAUGGUCUAAGCCUUCGAUAGUCCAACUUGUCAUAAGGACGAGUGGUCUUGAUAUUGCAAUGAAGUAACCAUAUCUUAUCAUCCAUGUGGAAUGGUAGUUGUUCCUUUUGAUAGACAUCUGCAUUAACCUUUUAUUGUUCUUGAGCUUCUUUUAACUGCGCUUUCAUUGUUGCAUGUAGCUUUGACAAGUGAAUUACCAAAUCUUUCACAGUAGGAUUAUCAACUUUUGAAAAGUCAAAAGUAUCAAGUUAUGGAUGAUAACCAUAAUUAGCAAAGAAAGGUGUUUGUUUUAUAGAAGAAUGUACCAUAUUAUUGUAAGCAAACUCUGCCAAUGGCAAAAGAGUUGUCCAAUCAUCUUGUUGGUAGUUAAUGGUACAUCUUAAAUAUUGCUCCAAAACUUGAUUAACACACUCUGUUUGUCCAUCAGUUUGAGGAUGGAAUGCUGAAGAUAGUUUUAUAUCCACUUUUAAAAUCUUGAAAAGAGUCCACCAAAAUCUUGAUACAAAUUGAGUUCCCCUAUCUGAUAUAAUAUCCUUGGAUAAUCCAUGAUAGCUAUAGAUAUUCUCAAAAAAGAGCUUAGUUCUUUCUUCACUUAAGAUAGAUUUUGUACAUAGUACAAAAUAAGCCAUUUUGGUAAAAUAAUCUACUAUCACGAAUAUAGAGUUAUAAGAACUUGAGAUAGGAAGAUCCGUGAUGAAAUCCAUUGAAACAAAAGACCAUGGUUGUUUUGGAAUGGAUAAUGGCUAAAGAAGUCAAUAAGGUCAAUGACGAGGAGUUUUUGAUCUUGAGCAAAUAUCACAAGAUUGUACAAAAUCUUUCACUGCUUUCCACAUUUGGAGCCACCAAAAGUCCUUGGAUAUUAAUUCCAAAGUUUUAUUGUACCCAAAAUGUCCUAUUGCUGGAAAGUCAUGACGAGCUUGAAGAACACAUAAUCAAGCUUCACCUUCUAGAAUAUAUAAGUAUCCUUCAAAAUAUAUUAGAUUGUUCUUGAAUUCAAACUUGAAAGUAUCAUGAAACUUUGAAGGAUUUUUCUUAAUAUCAUGAAUAAGAGGAUCACAAGACAUACUUGAAUGAACUUGCUUAAUGAAAGUUGAAUCAACAGUUAGUGUUGAUUUCAUUGUUUGAAGAUGAAGAUACUCUAGCUUCAAGAGAAUUAUUUGUUGUUGAUAAAAAGUAGCAUCUCCUUCCUUUGGUGAAAGAUAAGAUUGUCUAGAGAGAGCAUCUGACAAACCUUGUUGUUUUCUUGGUCUAAAGUGAUUUUGAAUUCAAAUCUUGACAAAGACAUACUUCAACGGUGUCGUAUUGUAAUACGAGUAUACCAUAAAAAUAUAAAAAAAAGGGACUUUUAUUAAUGUUCAGUUACCUCGAAUAUUGGGAGCAACUACCAAUUCCAAUGCCAAUAUUCAUGGGCCAGUUCAGACACCCCGUCACAGUCGGUCAGGGCAGACUUACCAGUAACGAAAUGCUCCAUUCGAGUCCAAUAGUGGGAGUCAACAAAAUGAAAAGGAUUAAAUCGAUGACUGAGCGAGCCUGACGCGAAGGACCAAUUUGACCCAAUUACGGGAACAUCCAGGUCUUACUAUGGGCCUCUUAGCCAAUCUGACGCGAAGGACCAAUUUGACCCAAUUACGGGAACAUCUAGGUCUUACUACGGGCCUCUUAGCCAAUCUGAUGCGAAGGACCAAUUUGACCCAAUUACGGAAACAUCUAAGUCUUAUUACGGACCUCUUAGCCGAUAUGAGACUUGAAUUGGUUGGACGAUUCAAUGUGGUCCCAAUAAUGGGAGUUUGAUUCCGUUUCAGGCUGUCCCGUUCUUUGUACCAUUUUAGAGAAUAUUAUUUCUAAAAAAAGAACCUUUUAAAAGGCAAAAAAUGGAAGAGAAAGCUCUGAUGGCAGAGCCAAUUCCAGAUCCAAGACGAAAGAUUAAAGAAAUUCAGAGGCUAGGGUUUGAAAGAGGGGAGAAUUAGGGUUAAAGGAGAGGAUAGGUUAAGAAAUGAAGAGGGGAGAAUAAAGAUUUUAAGGAUCGGAGAGUUAGCUUCAUGCUUCGGGAGGGAAAAAAAAAGACAGAGAAUUGGGAUUUUUUUUCAUAGGGUUUUGGGAAGACUGAGGUUCAUGCGGAGUGAAUGAAAAUUUUUGGGUUAAUCUAACAAGACAGUCAAUGGAUACAAGGUUGUGAGUAUAAAGCAAUAUCGGAGAUUAGCAGAUUGGGCUGUUCGAGAUUCUCUGUAAUGUUUAGAGACCUAUCGGCUGGAGCAAAAAGAAUUUCAGCGAGCAGUUGAAAGACAUCCAUAUAGAUUUAUGGUAUAUUCUUACAGUCAUUUAUAUUCCAACAGUCAAAAAUCGAUAGACUGCUUGAAUAUUAGCGAAUCUCCAUACUACCUUCUACAGCCAAACACCCGGUGGGUUCUCGAGCAGGAAAGCACGUAAUACAACAACGGACUUGGCGACGAUUCAAAAUACGUGUUGACAUAAAAUAUUCAAGGUUCUUGUGAUUCGUGUACACUGUGACUGGGCUAGAAGCACCUUCUAGAUAAUGGUGCCAUUCUUGAAACAAAUCCAUGAUUGCAAGAAGUUCUUUGUCGUGGAUCUCAUAAUUGAUCUCCAUUGCUGAAAAUUUUUUGGAAUAAAAAGCUAUUAGAUGAAGUUUAUCAUCUGUUUCCAUUUGUGAUAAUAGGGCAUUCAAAGCAAAAUUUGAUGUGUCUAUUUCCAUAAAAAAAUAGCUUAGAAAAAUCGAUGCGAUACAAGAUUGGUGCAAAAACAAAGGCUAUCUUCAAAGCUUCAAAUGCUACUUCUAUUUCUUAAUUCCAUUGAAGAUUGUCUUUACAAGUCAAACGUGUAAGUAGAGCUGCAACUUAAGAGAAGUCUUUGAUAAAGAUCCAAUAGGAGUUGGCAAAUUCCAAAAAGCAUUGGACAUCUCUUAUCAUUUUUGGGAUCUUCCAAUCCAUAAUAGUUUGAAUUUUGUUAGGAUCCAUCAUAAUUCCAUCAUUUGAAAUGAUGUAUCCUAAAAAGUCGACUUGAGUAGUGUGAAAUAUACACUUUUCUAUCUUAGCAUAGAGUCCUACAUCUCUUAGUUUUUGUAAUACUUGGCGAACAUGAAGAUCAUGUUCUUCUGGGUUCUUAGAAUAGAAUAAGAUAUCAUCUAGGUAAAAGACAACAAAAUCAUCUAAAAACUCUCGAAAGACAUCAUUCAUUAGGUGUUGGAAUGCUGCUCGUGUAUUUGUAAGUCCAAAAGGCAUGACGUUGUUUUCGAAAUGUCCAUACCUUGUUUGGAAUGCAGUCUUCCAUUCAUCUCCUUCUUUGAUGCAUACCAAAUUAUAUGCUCCCCAUAGAUCUAUUUUUGUAUAGUUCUUAGCUUGAUUCAACUGAUCAAGAAGUCCACAUAUCAAAGGUAGCGGGUACCUGUUUUUGAUAGUAAUUUUGUUGAGUCCUCAAUAAUCAAUACACAUCCGCAAUGAUCCAUCUUUUUUCUUCACAAAUAAAAUUGGAGCUCCCAUUGGAGAUUUGGAAUGGCAUAUGAAGUUCUUGGCCAAAUUCUCUUCAAUAUACUCCUUGAGUUCAGCUAAUUAAUUUUGAAAUAAAUUAUAGAUUGAUCCAAAUAGCAGUUGUGCUCUUUUUUGAAGGUCAAUUGAGCAGUCAUAAGAAUGAUGUUUCGAAAGAGUAUCUAUAUUUUUUUUUUCAAAUACAUCUUGAAAAGCUUGAUAUUGGCUUGGAAUUUCACUUGAAGUCUUUCCACCAAUAGAAACAAGUGUGGCAUAAAUGACACAAUGUGAUCCUUCUUUUGCAACAUGCCAGAAAGUUCUUGCACCUACAAAUAUAGGUUUAAUUAUACUAGACUUAUGAUUUUCUACUUGAUUAACUACGCUCUUAGUUAUACUUUUAGAAAAGUCAAGACUACAAGAAGUCCAAUCUAUUUUAGGGUUAUAUUUUUUAGCCAUGAUAAACCUAAAAUGACUGGAUUAGAAGGAGAUCUAAUGAUAUUAAAUAUUAUAAAGCUACUAUAAUCAUUAGUUGCUAUUUCUAUAGGAAGGAUUUCAUGAAUAACAUCUCUUGAAGACAACAAACGACCAUGUAUGAUUUCUACAUGAAUAGGUUUAGUUUUUUUUAUAAAAAAUAUGCUAUAUCUUUUAGCAAAUUUUUCAUUUAAGAAACAUGUUGAGGCUCCUGAAUCUAGUAAGGCAGAGGCUUUCAGAUGUUUAGGUUGUAGAAUAAUAUUUAUCAUAAAAUAUGGAGAGGAUUCAGUGGAGAAGAUAGAACCUUAAUUAGGAGUUGUAUAAGGUUCCAGCCGCACGGUGUCGUAUUGUAACACGAGUAUACCGUGAAAAUAUAAAGAAAGGGGACUUUUAUUAAUGUUCAGUUACCUCGAAUAUUGGGAGCAACGACCAAUUCCAGUGCAAAUACUGAGAGGCCAGGUUCAGUCACCCCAUUACAGUCAACCAGGGCAUACUGAAAUGCUCCGUUCGAUUCCAAUAAUGGGAGUCAGCAGAAAGGAAAAGGACCAAUUCAAUGACGGGUGAGCCUCGUUCAAAGAGCCAAUUAGAUCUAAUUUCAAGACAUCCAAUCCAGGUCUUACUAUAGGCCUCUUAGCCAAUAUGAGACCUGAAUUGGUCGGGCGACUUAAUGUGGUCCCGAUUACGGGGCUCCAAAUUCGUUUCAGGCUGUCUUGUUCUCUCUGCCGUUUUAGGGAACGUUGUUUCCGAAAAAAGAACCUUUUAAAAGGCAAAAAACGGAGGAAAAAACUCUGACGGCGGGAGCCAAUUUCGGAACCGAGACGGAAGAUUCAAGAAAUUCAGAGGCUAGGAUUUGAAAGAAGGGAGAAUUAGGGUCAAAGGGGAGGAUAGGUUAAGAAAUGAAGGAGAGAAAAUAAAGAUUUUAGAAGGGUCGGAGAACUAGCUUCAUGCUUCGGGGACGGGAAAAAAAGACAGAGAAUUGGGGUUUUUUUUUCUUCAUAGGGUUUUGGGAAGACUGAGGCAAUCGUUGCUGAAGUCAGUGUUGUAAUGGUGAAUCGAGAUUUUUAAUGAAGUGGGUGUGAUUACUCUUGACUGUUUUGUGAAAUCAAAGUUACGUCUGUGAUUGAAGAAUUAAAAGGGUAUCUAUAGGAUUGAAUAUGCAGAGUGAAUGAAAAUUUUUGGGUUAAUCUAACAAGACAGUCAGUGGAUACAAGGUUGUGAGUAUAAAAUGGUAUCAGAGAUUAGCAGAUUGGGUUGUUCAGGGUUCUCUGUAACGUCUAGAGACCUACCGACUGGGACAAAAAGGAUUUUGGCGAGCAGUCGAAGGACAUCCGUAUAGAUUUACGGUAUUUUCUUGUAGUUGUUUAUAUUCCAACAGUCAAAAACCGAUAGACUGCUUGAAUAUUAGCGAAUCUCCAUACUACCUUCUACACCCAAACCCCGACGCAUUCUCGAGUAGGAAAGCACGUAAUAUGACAACAAGUGGUGAACCCGACGUGAAAGCUUGAGGUGGAAGGUAUUAGAUUUUGUUUGAUUUUAUUUUUAUUUUUAUGGAAAAUAAAAAUAAAAAUUUUGAAGGAUCUUUGGGAGGAGUUUCUGAUGGGGAUUCUUCUAAAGGACAAGGUAUGCACAUAGAUCCAUCUAUUGCUAAUAUGUUUCAAGCCUUCUCAUUAUCAAUGUAGCAACAGCAAAGCAAUGAUCGAAAAGAAGCUUUGGCAACCAAAGCAUUGCAAGCAGUGGUCAAUAAAAUUGAUCAAUUUGAUGGAAGGAAUAUUUCAAGGUAUUUAAGUUGUUAAGUUCAUGAAAUGGAAUUAAAUCGAGUUUCUGAGAAGAAAAUGAUUGAAUUAUUUGGACUUGCCACGAUAUCGGAGAUAAGAGAUCAUAUUACAUUGAUUACGGAUCGUUAUGAGAAUUCAUGGGAGGUUUUUUCACAUGCAUUGAAAGACGAAUAUUUCUUGGAAGAUGUUGAUCGCAUUACUAAGAGGUUGUUUCUGGAAUGGAUUGAACGGCCUAAUAAGAAUUUACAAGCAACAGAGCUACUAAGGAAAUUUGAGAGGCAGUACUCUCAAUUAUCGAAGGUAGAAAAAUUGACAUUGGAGCCGAACAAAGUUGAUCUAUUUCUUCAAGCUGCUGAUGGAGAAUUGCAAGGGAAAUUAGAACUCUUUCUUGAAAAAAAAGAAGAAGAUGAAGGAUUGACAACAAAGUGGAAGAACGUUGAAGAUGCGGUGGAGUUGCUUACAAAAAGAGAAAAGAGGAAGGAUAGGAGCAAUAUUUCGAAAACAGUACAAGCACCCAAAGCUCCAGUACGUACAACACCACCAACAAUGCUUACAAUUCAAUCUUCGAUAUCCUUAUCAAAGAAAGCAGAUAUGGCGAUGGAACAAAUUAUACGAGGAAUACAAGAUCUUCAAAUCGAAUUGGCAAGACUUGAAGAGAAUACUUCUACAAACAAUUCGAAGAAUGUUUCAAAAUAAAGAUAUGUACAAAGAUGCAUUUGGUGUGAUGAUGCUUCACACACUAGGAAAGAUUGCAAUGAAUUUAAUAAUAUGAUACGGCAAGGAAUUAUUCGCUGGAAAGAUGGGAAGAUAGCAUUAAAAGAUAGGGAGGAUCUUCUUCAAACCAAUUUUGGUAAGGAAGGAAUGAGAGCAUUAGUUCAAGAUUACUUAAAAGAGCAUGAAACAACAAAACGAGAAAGUGCAAGUUAUGGUGCUAGAGUAGAUGAUGACCUUGGUGGAAGAACGAAAACUAGUGAGUUUUGGGCUUCUGCCAUUUCUACAAUGCAAGAAGGGAAAUUACCUCGAGAAGCGUUAUUGAGAACUGCAGCUACAAUACGAGGUAGAACAGGUUGGGGGCAUCCUGUUGAGUCUCUUUCAGUUCAUGCAUAUAUUGCUAAGAGUCAACAUGAAGCUUUGAUGGAAGAAAAGAGACGAGGAAAUUUUGAUGAUACUAGAGAAGGAAAUUCUUCUAAAAGGCAAACUCGAGGUGACAAGGCUCGGGAGGCAGCUUCACAAGAAUUGCCUGUAAAGGAUACCUUAGCAUCAUUGGAAGAAAAAAUAAGGGAGACAAAAGAUAAGGACAAAUCAAUUGCUUAUAAGCUACUUUUUGACAUUGAAGCGGCAACAAAUUUGAAAGGGGUGUUGGAAGAACGUAUAUUAAAUGCUAAGGUGGAAUUCACAUUGAAAGAAGUUUUGGAAAUUGCAAAGAAAGAGUUUCAUGAUGUUAUCAUUGACAGCAUUAAGCAAAAGAGGCAAUUAAUGGGCGAAACUGGAAUGAGUCAUGCUAUUAAUGCAAAAAUAUAUAAAGAUGAAGAAGACGUUGAUAUUGGUUACAAGCAACCAACAAAUGAAAAGAAUGAGUAUAAUCAACGAAUACGUUUUGAAGAUUAUAGUGAUAAGGAAAUGGAAACUUUGAGCCAUUAUACUCGAAAGCAUUGGGCAAGGGCAACUAUUGAGGUAUUGGUGAAAGUAGGAGAUAUAGAAGAACUAAUUGUUUCUUUAGUCGACCAUGGUUCUGAAAUAAAUCUUAUGUCUAAAGAUCUUUAUAAGAAGCAAAAAUGGCCAAUUGAUAUGGAACAUGGAUGGGCAAUACGAGCAACUAAUAACACAUGGGGCGAAUUAUAUGGAGCUUGUUCAGAUGUCAAAAUUUGGAUUGGGGAUGUUGCGAUGGAGCAACAUUUCUUUGUUCAAGAUACAACGUCUUAUCCGUUCAUUUUAGGACAACCUUAUAUUACGGCAACACGGAUGGAAACAAAAGUACUUGACGAUGGUUUUACUUAUGCAAGGCUAUGUAGCGAAGAUGGGAAGAAAGCUGUACAAUUUCUAACAGUACCUCUUAACCAUGAACGGAAUCGAGAUAGGUUGAGGGAGAAACCAUUGCCAAAGAUUGUUGAAGGAUUUAAGGAUUUUGGAGAGGUACCACUAUAAAGCGAGAUCAUGGAGGUACAAAAGAGGAGGUACUCUCGCGAGAUGAAGGUGCCUUUGAUGCGAGUUUUAUUGGUAUUUUGGAGAAUGGAAAUAUUAUGUAUAAGAAAGUUAAUGAUUUUAAAAGAAAAGAAAGAAAAAGAUUAUAUAAUAUUGAAGGAGAAUUACGCAAGUUAGGUACAUUGCAAGAUGAUGAGAGGAUUUUAGGUGUUUAUGAAGAAAAUGGACUGGAAGAUUCAUUGGAAUUGAUUACAUCUAUUGGGUUAGGGGAUAAUGAUAAGAUUGUUGAGAUUCAUUUAAGAGAGGUUUAUACCAUACUUGAAUCUUUUCAAGCACCAGAAGUCACUGUAGAGACGAGAUAUAAAAUGGCAGAUAAGAAGGUAAAGCCUGUUGCUGGACCAUUACCAGAAGAUUCUAAGGAACAAAUGGGAGAAGCAUCAAAAGAAG
RNAcentral lists this long non-coding RNA (93955 nucleotides) under Physcomitrium patens. RNAcentral describes it as "long non-coding RNA (PPAT_LNC002858)". The record is from RNAcentral. Lineage: Eukaryota; Viridiplantae; Streptophyta; Bryopsida; Funariales; Funariaceae.